This 111410-nucleotide long non-coding RNA is filed under the name Triticum aestivum (bread wheat). RNAcentral's name for it is "long non-coding RNA (TAES_LNC000736)". The record is from RNAcentral. Lineage: Eukaryota; Viridiplantae; Streptophyta; Magnoliopsida; Poales; Poaceae.
ACCGAAUAAUCUUAUCCACUAGAUUAUGAUGAACUGACGGCAUGUAUGUAUGCAACUUGGUGGACGGUUCUUCUUGGUCACUGAGAAAUAGCAGCUGUUCCAACAAGUUACAAGAACGGUUCCUUUUGCCAUCUAUAGGUAGGUACACACACGCGAUCGAAAUGAGAUUUAUUUCACUAACCAUGCAUGCAUCCAUACAUGGUACUACUACUCCCUUAGUUGCACUGAAUGCUGCUCCUGUGUGGUUGCAGAGACGACGACAUGCCACAGUUCUGUGUGCAGCAGCAGUAGGUCAUGAAGGGGAAGGGGGCGCAGUAGCCCGCGUCAUACCCUUCCGCCCGGCACGGCUUGUUGCAGGUGCCGCGCUUGGCGCACAGCCCCCCGUGCCACGUCUCGCUGAUCUCGCCGCAGAUGAUGUAUCCGGCUGCACCCCAUCACCAUCACCAGUUGCCACGAUUAGCCAAGAAUUAUGAUCAAUCAAUCGAAAGAAUGAAUGAAGAAAAGAAAUUAUUACUACGUACGAGGGUGCUCAGCAACCGAGUCAGGGAUGUCCCGAGCGCAGUUAGCCAUGGCGAUGAUCAGCAGACACACACUCAGCUUCAUUAAUAAGCUCUUCUUCAUCGCCGACCACGCUCCCAUGGCCAUGGCCUAUGCCUAUGCCUAUGCUUUGGUUGCUCCUCCCCCCUUCCAAUAUCCGCAUAUAUAGUCUAGGGGUUCAGAGGUGCAAUAAUGUGUUAGAUUUAUCCCACCAUAUAGCUCUUUCCUUAUGGCUACAACAUUAGCCUUCUCAAAUCACACGUUGUCAUAGCCAAAUUUAUUUCAUAAGAUAUCUAUGGCUUACGUACUACUCCCUCCCUUCCUAAAUGUAAGUCUUUGUAGGGAUUCUACUAAAUGGACUAAAUACGGAGCAAAAUGAAUGAAUCCACAUUUAAAAUGCAUCUAUAUACAUCCGUACAUAGUUUAUAGUGAAAUCUCUAUAAAGACUUAUAUUUAGGAACGGAGGGAGUACAUCAUUCCCUUAGGAUAUAUUCACAUGUCCCGUUUCUUGUUUCUUGCAGACUACAAAGACGUGUAUGAUGUUUGACAAGGUCAAACAUUGUACGAUGUAUCCCGAGCAUUCAUCUUAUAGGUACGAGAUAUAUGUUUGUCGGAUAGUGUGGGUAACAUCUAUCUAUCUAUCUAUCUAUCUAUCCGUCCGUCCGACGGUCGGUCUGUCUAUCUAUGUCUAUCUAUUCUAUCCUUUAUCUAUUCUGUCUGUCUAUCUAUCUAUUUAUUUAUUUAUCAUUAUAUACUAAAAGCAAAAUACAGUGUCUCAUAGAGGUAUCACAUUAAGUCACACCAUCCAAAUUAACCUAAUCAUUGAUUCUUAAAUUUGUGGCUAGACUUUCAUGUAGAACUAUUAGUCAUCUAACCAUGUCAAUGUAAUCAGCUUCAUGAUUUAUAUUGAUCUACUGUAUAUACUAAAAGCAAAAUACAGAGUAUCAUUGAGGUACCAAGUUAAGCCACAUCAUCCAAAUUAACUUAAUCAUUGGAUCUAAAUUUAUGGUUAGAUUUACUGCAAGAUUAUUAGUCAUCUAACUGUAUCGGUGCAAACAUGUUCACGAUUUGUAUUGAGAAGGUUAUAUUCAUAUAUGGAUGUGGUUGAUCAGGUGUGGAAACGGCUUACCCGAAAGACGUAUCUAUUUAGUAAAAUAUAAAUCUAAUUAUAUUGUAAAAGAAAAAUACAGGGUCUGAUAGAGCACUAGUGUAGAACCAGGCUAUACCACCGGUUCGUAAGGCCUUUAGUGCCGGUUCUGUAACCGGCACUAAAGGGUGGGGACUAAAGGUCCCCCCCUUUAGUACCGGUUCUGAACGAACCGCUGCUAAAGGGCCACCACGUGGCACAAGCCAGCGCGGGGGGCGGGGAGACCUUUAGUACCGGCUGGUAACACCAACCAGUACUAAAAGUUUUGGGGGGUUUUAGGUUCAGGAUUUCUUGUUCCUUUAAUUUUGUGUUUUCCAUUUAAUUCUUUUUCAUUUGCAGGUAUUUUACGAUACUACAUAUUGCACACGUUAUGCAUAUAUAUAAAUAGAAUUUCUCGUAGAACCGAUCAUAUAUAUAGGAGUAGGAUUUUCUACAAGUGCUUGCCACAGAACUAGUUAAGGGUUUCAACUGUGCAAAAGUUCUCAAAAAUUCUGAAAAAAAUACUGAACCAACACACCUAUAAUAUAACAUGAUCCAACGAAGGGAUUAAAAAAAUACGACUGUAUGUGUCCUGGACAAAAAAACAAAUAGUUCAGUAUAUAUUUAUGUCGUAGUGAGCUGAAAUGCUUAUUAUUUUUGCCGAGGACACAUAGAUGCAUAUUUUGACAAUCCCUCCGUUGGAUCAUCUUAUUACAUUAGAGAGAUGCUCCCAUAUUUAUUUCAUAUUUUUUGAUAACUUUUAAUCCGUUAAAAGUUUAGCGACCCUUAACUAGUUCUGUGGCAAGGGUUUUGGGUUCAGGAUUUCUUGUUCCUUUAAUUUUGUGUUUUUCAUUUAAUUCUUUUUCAUUUGCAGGUAUUUUACAAUACUACAUAUUGUACACGUUAUGCAUAUAUAUAAAUAGAUUUUCUCGUAGAACCGAUCAUAUGAUCGGUUCUACGAGACCGUAAUAAUAGUUAUUCUUCACCCCCCUCUAUUUUACCAUCAAUGCACUGUAAUUUUACGUUCCGUAAGUUUUGUCUUAUUUCCGACAUAAAAAGAGACCGUAAUAAUAUAUAUAAUCAUCGUAAAAAAUAUUUCAUGUUAUGUAAAAUUACAAACGUAAAAACAUAGUGUAAAAUACACAUAAACUGCAAAUUUUCUUGCCUUAUGACCUAUAUUUUUAUUUUUUAUGCCAAAUUUUACGUAGUGAAUCAAUAGGAAUGUAACUAUUUGAAUACUAAACGUAAUUUAAUUAUGAUAUGAUCGUAAGAUUACCUCGGGUGAAGAAUAACUUAUUCUGCACCCUGGAUGAUGAAUAGUAACACUAUAUAUAUAUAUAUAGGUAAAAUGUUUGGGACACCUAGUUCGGAUCUGACCCGCUAAUUCAUUUUUUGCUUACAAAUAAUCAAUACUACCUUUCAAAUAAUUCACUUUCCUUUUGUACUUGCAUGCACUGCCAUUGAUUGUUGAUUGGUUUUCAGAAAAUGGCAUGUUAUUGAUUCCCACAUAAACAAUUUCUUUCCUUAAAUACUAUAGUAUCGUUAAAAAAGGCGAAAAACUCAUAUUUGGGUACGUAAAUAUAUACCCUAUGAUUUUUUUCAUUUGGGUACGUGUAUAUAUACCCUAUGAUUUCCCUUAAAUACUAUGGUUUUUAUUUGGGUACGUAUAUAUAUACCCUAUGAUUUUUUUGCGGAUACUCUAUGAUUUAUUCUAGGUAUUAGAUGUCUUUCCUUAAAUACUAUAGUAUAUACCCUAUGAUUUAUUGUAGGUAUUUGAUACCUACAAGCGUAUCCGAUAUAUUUGUAAGUGAAUACUUAAGUUUUCGCCAAAAACAAACAGUGCAUACUCAAGAUAUAUCUGUAAAUACUCAAUGUGAAAUUUGUUUAUGUCCUUUUUAUGAGUGAAUUCAUGUACGUAAACUAAAUACCUCGACAAAUGAUACUUACAUUCGUAUCGUUAAAAUCAUCCAUACAACAUACCUGAUGGUGAUGUAUCUGAUGUAUGAUAAUAGAGGAAUCAUAACCACAAAAAAUACGGCUACAUACGAAAAAUAAUAUGUAUUAUCCUAACAUAAUUUGUGGGUAUAUACCGUAACACAACUAGGUAUCAUAGAAAGAGAAACCACUUUUCGUACAUUCACAACAGAGAGAGAAAGUGGCAAAAUCCACAAAUCUUUUUAAACGACACAAUGGCAAUAUGCGUAAAGUGUACAGCGUCUAGUGUUUCACAUGUACAUGGAUCUUCUAAAGGAAGUGUUGGUGCAUGCAUCCUAAUUAAUGCCUACGUCCAAAUUAGAGCAAGUAACCGCUAAUUAACAUAUAGUUAAAUGGAAUUAAUUAGUACGUUGCAAUAACUUUCCAAAUGAAAUACUGCAAACGGUUAACGGUUAUACCCGUUAGUGUCUAUACCUGUUACAACGGCACACAUCCUAAUGCAAUCCAAAGGUAGACAAAUAAGGAGCCUGGGCACCUAGGUGUCUCAAAUGGCCGUCCUAUAUACAAUGUCUCGCACCAUCCAUUCACACAUACACAUGUAUACAUAUACAAUUUGGUAUAUACAAUUUCUCCUACAUGGAGGCAUUACUUUGGUAGCGGGUAAUGAUAUUCUCCUUUGGGAUCUACGACCUGGUCGAGCAAAAAUCCCGCUAUUUCCUCUUGAAUUGCUCGUACGCGAUCCUCCGGUAGGAGCUGAUCCCGCACCUCAUCAACUUUUAAGAAGAAGAUCAAUAUGCAUAUAUUUGUUGUGUGAUUAGAUAUUGGUGAUGAUGUAAAAAUUAUGAAUAGUGUUCUAGCAAACGUACCUAUAGCUGUCUAUCAGAUGUGCUCCUUUCGGACCCCAUCAUGCGAAUGUUCUCGUAAACGUAGUACGCACGUAAAUCAUUCCCCAGCGCCUGCCUCAUGGCCUUUACGAGAAUAGAAUUUCAAUCAGAUAAUACUUAAUCAAGCAUGAUAAUUAAUGGUAUUGAAACUAGAAUCAAAGAGAUGGUAGUUAGUUAGUACUACUUAAUUACUUACCCUGGAUCGAUACCAAAACAACUUUUGUUUCCAUUUGCCUGGAACCAUUUUGAUGUACUUUUGCCAAGCCCUGCCCGCCGGCAAACAAAAUAAAUAAAGGAGUUAUUAAUUAGUUGAUAUCAGGAAAUGACGAACUAAAGAGGCCGACAUAUACUUCAAUAAUGAUUGAAAUUACCUGUCGAUUAUCCCCUUCACGGUUGCGUAGUCACUAGAUUCUUUAAGUAGUGAGUCUAGUACUUCAACUUUUCCUUCGUCAACUCGAAUGUCUAACAAGAUCCAGUGGUAACUGCAUGCGCAUAUGUUUGCAUGUAUAAAAUAAGCGGGCAUGUGCAUAACACUCAUCAACUACCCUAAACCCUAUACAAUUAUUAAUAUCUAGCUAGUAAUUAAACAAAAAUAGAAUUUAUAGUAUAAUACAGUGUGACUCACCGGAAGUUGUAAGGAAGUAGUAUAUCUGCAUUGGUAUUGAGGCGCUUCAAGAACUCUAGCAUGUUUUUCUCUACGUCGGCUUGAUACCAUUCAUAUGACCACGUGUCUUCAUUAAUGGUAUUUGGGUCAAUGAACCUAAUGCCAUAGCGUCCAACUUUUUUCAUUUCAUAGAUCUUCAUCCUGUGCAUAAUACCAAAAAAUAAUAUAGUGAGGAUAAUUACAGGUAAUAUAAUGAUCAACAAGAGCACUACAGCUAGCUUCAGACUUAAAUUACAGAAAAAAUCACUUACAGACAAUAGCAACUGACGAUAGAUUUGUCGAGUGCGUCUUGAUUGAAUAACUAAAACAGUUCUGAAUACUCAACAGACAGAGCUAGCUGAUGGAAGUAAUGUUCUUCCUUGACUUCCACCAUGCGGGAGUCUCGAUUGUUGGUCUUGGUAAUUUUCAUGUACCAUUGAUGCAAUUCAUACAUUCUUGUUGGGAGCUUCUUGACCUCCUCAGGCUUGACCAGAGGUUCACCGCGGACAUAUUUCUGUUUUAGCUCCUCCUCUUUAAAAGUUUCCAUGGGCUCCAAGCCUAGGAGUUGUUCUACAGUGCAUCCGAUCUCUUUAGCAUGCCUUAUAUGGUUGUCGGUUAUUACCAACUGAUCAGCGCCGGUACUCGCAUGUGUUGGCUGACGCGGUGGCGGACUUCGAGGAGGAGUCGGCUGACGCGGUGUCGGUAGCCUUGGAAAGAUGAUGCAAUCCUUUCUCCAUAGGAUGAUACGAUGUUUGGCCUCUCCCAGUGUGUGCUCAUCGUCACCUUCAGGAAUGUCAAGCUCUAGCCCCGAAUAUUGGUCCACCACUUCAUCAACCACAACACGAGCAUAACCAGCUGUAAUCGGGUUACAAUGGAAGGUUGCUUCGGGGGAAUUUGCAUAAGCAACAGCGUCCGCCACCUUCAUGGAUAUGUUCUUUAUUUUGAAGUGUAGCUCACAAUUAGUGUUCUCCAUGAUGUCAUCCACAGGGUAUCUAUCCAGCAGCUGUGCCUCGCCUGGGGCAGAACCCAUGCCGCUUCUCAGCAUGGAUGGGACGGUGCUAUCCAAUGCUGGAUCAUGCGCUAGCUGCUGCUACUGCUGAGACCCCCUUUCUUGGCUAACUGAGUCGAUUUGCUGCUGCUGCCACCGGAAUUGGAGUGCCAACUCCGCGUGCUUUGAUUCUAGGCCUUUAAGGCGUUCCGCUUCCUGCUUCCUGCUGUCUACUCCUCCUCCAGCUUCCUCUUCUUCUCCUCCUCCAUAUUCCUUCUCGCACGGCUUCUGUAGUCGAUGUUCCAGUCCGCAAACCUCUCAUACCACGGAACAAUGCCUUUGCCUCAUGUUCUUCCCGGGUGUUCAGGAUUUCCCAAGGCGCGCGUAAGCUCGUCGUUCUCUCUGUUGGGCGUGAACACCCCCUUUCGAGCCUCUUCUAUUGCAACAAGUAUCUUAUCUUCGACUCCUUUAAGACUUGCCCUCUUCGAAACCUUGCUUGUCUUCGGGUCCAACGCCCCCCAUGCGCAUAGAACCAAGUCCUGACCCUGGGGGGCCAGCUCUUAGUAACUGGAGUGACCCCUGCAUCCACCAUCUCUUGCUCAGACUUAUACCACUUAGGCAUUGCCACCGCGUAGCCACGUGGCCCCAACUUAUGAACUGCUCCUUUUUUGCGGCAUUGGCCUUGUUUACUCUCGAGCGUUCCUUAGAUAAUUCCGAUUCCUUGAAUUUCACGAAAUCGGGCUAGUGCUCUCUUUGCUUUUCCAGUGUUCCCGUGAAUUCUGGAGUCUUCUUCCUCCUUCGACGUACUUGGCCCAUAUAGUUUUCUUGUGGUUGUUGAAUGCAACUGCCAUCUUCCUAAGAGCAGCGGCCUUCACUUUCUGCACAUCUGCAUCUGUAAAAUGAUUUGGUAGGGUGAUGACCCACAAGUGUAGGGGAUCUGUUGUAGCCUUUUCGAUAAGUAAGAGUGUCGAACCCAACGAGGAGCAGAAGGAAAUGAUAAGCAGUUUUCAGUAAGGUAUUCUCUGCAAGCACUGAAAUUAUCGGUAACAGAUAGUUUUGUGAUAAGGUAAUUUGUAACGAGUAGCAAGUAAUAAAAGUAAAUAAGGUGCAGCAAGAUGGCCCAAUCCUUUUUGUAGCAAAGGACAAGCCUGGACAAACUCUUAUAUAAAGUAAAGCGCUCCCGAGGACACAUGGGAAUUAUCGUCAAGCUAGUUUUCAUCACGUUCAUAUGAUUCGCGUUCGGUACUUUGAUAAUUUGAUAUGUGGUUGGACCGGUGCUUGGGUACUGUCCUUCCUUGGACAAGCAUCCCACUUAUGAUUAACCCCUAUUGUGUAACAGCCUGAUUUUUGGCCCUUUUCUUUUUCUUUUAAUUUAAUUAGUUUUUGCUCUGUUUUUCUUUUUGGAGUGGUUCCGUGGCCUUGCCACCCGGGAAACCAUCUUCAUUUCCUCUCCGAAGUGGCUCAUCAUCCUUAAAACUUUGCCAAGAUCAUGUCACUCCACUCCAUGACCAAACCCUAAUUUCUUUUUCUAGGGAAAAUUUCUUUUCCUAUUAAAGGAAUAACCCUGUCUGCCCUAGGUUGUGAAGCAACCUAUAUUUAUGCCCAUCCAAAAAUCCCCAAAUAAUUCUUAUAAAUUGUUUGGGUCAUAUUUUCCUCAAAUAUGGCAAAACAUUUCAUUGGCCAUAUUUCUCAUCAUGCUCAAUAAAUUCAUUUCCUAUUCUGUCCUAAAUGGCACAUUGUGAAGCAAGUGCUAUUUAUCUUUGCCCAUUUGACCCCAAACUCUUUGGACAUCUUUUCCUGUCCAACUAAUUGACCUGUGCCAAAAUUCAACUUUAUUUGCCUAGUCAAACUUCCUCAGUGAUUUUUCAAAGUUCCUGUAUGAGGGAAGCCUUUGUAAAGGAAGUGCUAGCUAGGGUUAUCCAAAUGGGUUGAAAUUUUGCACACUCCUUCAUGUGGUCAUAUUAUCCCACUCCUCCAAAUUUCAGCUCCAUCCCUUGAUCUAUGUGAGCACAUGACCAAAUCUUUUCUUCUGUUAAUAUUUUCAGGUUGUGAAGCAAGUAUAAUGUAUAUUGCUUCAAAAAUCAUGAUAAAUUACCAGAUGGUUCUCCUACCCAAAUAACUUCUCUCCACCAAAUUUGGCACCAUUUCACUUAGCAAAUAUUUCUCUAGAAUUAUUGCAAGAUUCUGGUUAGUGAAGAUAGCUGUGAAGGAAGUACCAUUUUGGUAAAUCCAUUUGGUAUGAAACUUUUACAGCAUCUUAAUAUGAUAAAAUCAUUUGGCCUUGCCAAAUUUCAGCUCAACUUGCCUCUCCAUGUGAGUGCAUCAUCCAAAUCCUUAAUUCUGGCCAUUGUAGUGGUUUCUACAGCAACCCUCAUCUAAACUCCUCCUCUUAGUCUGAUUUUUGGUGCUCAACAUCACCUUAGUGUGUGAUCAUCACUGGACAAACUAUUUACUGCGUUACCAAGCUGGUGUCACCACUGCACAGCACAAACACUUGGCUGCUGGCUUGCUUUGGGGCCAUUGGCAAAUCUUUUCUUUGCCCCUGGACCCAAUUCUUUAUUCACUUUGACUUAGGACACGACGAUCUAUCUAUUGGACAUGGCCGGUCCGGCCAGAACGCGCCGGUUGCACCAGUGCCCGUGGUGAUCACUCUGGCGUCACAAAUAGUGCAAGCUCUGGCUCGGUCCGGCCACAGUGCUCGUCUCCUCCCUCCUCGUCUCGACCUCAAACGUUGUCCAGGAGCUCGCCCAUGCUCGACUGCAUCGGCCUGCAUCGCUGCUUCGUCGUCGUCCGCCAUCAAUGCGCCGCUAGAGCCGCGCCCGUGCCGCGUCCAGCCUCUGCCCGCCAUUAAAGCUUGGUCGGGAGCUCGUCCGUGAGCUCUAGACCCCUCCUCCGCGCCUAUAUAAGGACCCCCGAACCCCUAAGCACUUCACCAGCCUCUCCCCAAGCCUCCUCGACCACCAGAGUGCUCCGAUCUCGCCGUUGGUCGCUGUCAUCCUCCGUGGCCGCCUCGGCCUCGGCAUGAUUCCAGCCAACCCGAGCCUCCUCUCCUCCUCCCACCACGUCCACCGAGUCCCCCUCGUUCCACUCAGCCGCCCCACCCACUUGCCCCCUCGCCGGAGUGCCUGCUUCGCGGGAGAGCACCACCGCCCGCCCGUCCCGGUCCUCCUCCUGGCGCCACCUCUCCCCUCCACCCCUCUCCUCCCCGGAGGCCGUGCUCCCUCUGAACGGGACCCCCUCGCUGCCCCGGUCCCUCCGGUGCCCUCGGCUCGGCCAGAGAUGGCCGGAGCUGGCCGGCCCCCUCGCCGCUUCCUCCCCUGCUCCUCCUCUGUCCUGCACGGGAGCACAGGAGCGGGAGGAAGGAGACGAACUCCCGUGCCCCCUCCCCCUGCGCCCGGGCCCCGCCUGGAAGUGGCUCCAGCCACGGGUCCACGUGGAUAAGUGGAGACGGGUUUCUCCAGACACGCUUUCCUUUUUCGAAAACGUAUUUCCCCUUAUUCGCUUUCAGUUUUUCCUCCCAGGGACCCGUUGGUGAUGAAAAUAUUCAUAGAUUGGUCCCUGAUCUUCAACUCCUCACAACUUUUCAAGCGUAACUCCGAUCGAGGUGAAACCAACGCUCACUUCUUCGUCUCGUCGAGCUCUAUCUUUUGGUAACAUUUUCACUAGGUGGUAUCACAGUGAAAAUGACCAUUUUACCCUUGUCUCCAAUCAGCCCCUUUGAGAAAGAACCGCCCGGCGUUUCGUUCCGCAGCUUCACCACAUUUCUUCCCGGUGAUUUCUUCCACCCCAGGCAAGCCACAACCACCAUUUUCAUGAUAGCCAUGCAGUAGCAUUGGUUUUUCAACUGGACUCUUUAAUAAUUGUAUGAUUGUUUUGCUACUGCUGUCAUUAUUUCGGUUAUGCUUGUGGAUCGGUGAUUACCGUCAUGCUAUGCUUUCUUGCACUCUGUUAUCAUGAACUACUUGCUAGUAUUCCUUUCAUAUUGCCAUGCUUGAUAGUAGUACAUGUUGGGUUGGUCAUGUUCUUCGGUACAUGACUAACGUCGGUCACUGAGUACUGUUAAUAUGCAUUGUUCCUUUGCUGCUAGUUGGUUAAGUGUUUACUCGGUAAUGUUAUUAAUGUGUUCUUGCAUGGUAUUUAUUGUUGAUGCUAGUGGUCAUGUUAUGCUAUGAGUAGUGUUGUACUUGUAAUAUUCAUGCUCGUCAUUAUGCCAUGCUAAGUUGGAGAUGAUUCAUUGUUGAUAUGGUGGAUAGUUAUGUUGCACCCGUGCUUAUGUUGAUAUCAUGCUCAUGCAUUGUAAUUGCAUCAUGUUAUUUUAUCAUGGCUCAGCAUAUUGCAUUCAAGUUUAACCGGAUUAAAUUGAACUUGAACAACUGUUGGCUGAGUCAUGGUGCCACCAUAUCGAACUGACCAGUGCAACCACGCUUACCUUUAUGGGAAGGUCCUAACUGGGUCUAUUGUCGUGCCUCUCGCCGGUGCCUCCAACGAGGGAAGGUUAUGGGCGCGCGCUACCCUGAUCAGGUUGGCGGACAUAAGCCUUGUGUGCCCGUUGUUGUUGUUAUGGAUCCGGGUCCCCGUUUGGGACCGUUUAUGUUUGGCCACGACGGUGGCCGUUGGUGUCUUUGGUAGACACGGGGCCACCCAGGACUAGCCCAGUGGGGAGUGAGUUGGAGUUUUCGGGAGAGUGUCAUGGCAGUAGGACAAUUUUGUCGGAACGCCGUUGGUCCACCCGAAUGGGAGUGCAAGGCCAUGGGUUCCGUGGUGUGGGUACAGUGUACUAACCUCUGCAGAGUGUAUAUUAAACCUAUCAAUAGCCGCGCCCGCGGAUAAGGGCCCAGUUCGUAGUUGGUCACACUGUGAGUCAAUAGUAAUUAAUAAUAAUGCGCUUAAUAACAACCAUGGUUCGAUGAUGAGAUAAGUUGGUUGUGAUCGCCGGAAAGAUCACCGUUUGAGACCAAGUGUUGGUCAUGGUUGUGAUCGCCGGAAUGAUCACCGUUUAGUUACGAGGUAACCCGUUGAACCAAGAGUGGUACCGUUCGUGAUCAUGAGAUGAUCACCGUGGUAUCGAGGAUACCGAGUUGUCGGAUAUUCGUGAUGUUGUGCGAGAAUCAUGGGUAAAGAUCAAGCUCCUUGUGGUCAUUUAAUGAUUACUACGGUAUUGUUUAUACCAAGCUUGAUUUGAUCCUGAGAUGAUCGUGUGAUGUCCGAGGUUGGUAAGUGCUGCAUGUGAUGGUUACGAGAUAACCCGAGCAGAAGAUGGUGCAUAUAGUGUCAUCAUGUUGCAUGCUAGUAUCGUCAGAUUUAUAUGUUCAUGCCAUGUUCAUAUUGUUCUAGCUGUAUCAUGUUCAGGUUGUUCAUGCCAUGUUAUCCUGAUGAUCUCAUGAUAAUUCCUGCUUAACUUGUAAUUGCCAUGUUGUUGUAUGUCUUGAACGCUUUUGGUAAUUGUGAGCUUGCAAGUACAUUCAAUGUACUGACCUGGCGUGUCAUGCUAGUUUGCAGGUCAUGCCGGAUUUGAUUGCUUGCUUGUCAUGGCUUCCGUUCGUGCGAGCUAGGAUAAGCGUUCCAGCCAGAGUCCCUGCGGAGUGGAGUUCACCACCGUCGUCGUUGUUCCGCUGCUAGAAGUUUUUCCGCUGCAUCGUGUUGUUCUGCUGCUUGCAUGGAGCAACCGUGGCAGGCGUAGUGUCGCCGUGCCGAUGUUAUUCACUGUAAUAUCGGAGACCUUGUAUUCAUAUUCGUGUAAUAAUAGAAAGCUGGUUUGUUCUAUGCUAAGCAGUGCCGUAUUCCAGAAGACUUCUCCUCGAUCUCUGGGCUGGAAUACGGGGCGUUCCGGUUUCUCUGAGCCGGGGUGCCACAUAUUGCAAGCAUCCGCAACUACAACAGAAGUAUUAAGGUAAACCUAACCAUAGCAUGAAACAUAUGGAUCCAAAUCAGCCCCUUACGAAGCAACGCAUAAACUAGGGUUUAAGCUUCUGUCACUCUAGCAACCCAUCAUCUACUUAUUACUUCCCAAUGCCUUCCUCUAGGCCCAAACAAUGGUGAAGUGUCAUGUAGUUGACGUUCACAUGACACCACUAGAGGAGAGACAACAUACAUCUCAUCAAAAUAUCGAACGAAUACCAAAUUCACAUGACUACUUAUAGCAAGACUUCUCCCACGUCCUUAGGAACAAACGUAACUACUCACAAAUCAUAUUCGUGUUCAUAAUCAGAGGGGUAUUAAUAUGCAUAAUGGAUCUGAACAUAUGAUCUUCCACCAAGUAAACCAACUAGCAUCAACUACAAGGAGUAAUCAACACUACUAGCAACCCACAGGUACCAAUCUGAGGUUUUGGGACAAAGAUUGGAUACAAGAGAUGAACUAGGGUUUGAGAUGAGACGGUGCUGGUGAAGAUAUUGAUGGAGAUUGACCCCCUCCCGAUGAGAGGAUCGUUGGUGAUGACGAUGGUGAUGAUUUCCCCCUCCCGGAGGGAAGUUUCCCCGGCAGAACAGCUCCGCCGGAGCCCUAGAUUGGUUCCUCCAAGGUUCCGCCUCGUGGCGGCGGAGUUUCGUCCUGUAAGCUUGCUUAUGAUUUUGUCCUCGACGAAAGACUCCAUAUAGCCAAAGAUGGGCAUCAGAGGGCUGCCAGGGGGCCCACGAGGAAGGGGGGCGCGCCCCCACCCUCGUGGACGGUGGGUGGCCCCCCUCUGGUACUUCUUUCGCCCAAUAUUUUAUAUAUAUAUUCUAAAACGUGCUCCCGUGAAGUUUCAGGACUUUUGGAGUUGUGCAGAUUAGGUCUCUAAUAUUUGCUCCUCUUUCAGCCCAGAAUUCCAGGUGGCGGCAUUCCCCCUCUUCAUGUAAACCUUGUAAAAUAAGAGAGAAUAUGCAUAAGUAUUGUGACAUAAUGUGUAAUAACAGCCCAUAAUGCUAUAAAUAUCGAUAUAAAAGCAUGAUGCAAAAUGGACGUAUCAACUCCCCCAAGCUUAGACCUCGCUUGUCCUCAAGCGAAAGCCGAAAUCGAAAAAUAUGUCCACAUGUUUAGAGAUAGAGGUGUCGAUAAAAUAAAAUACGGAGAUGAGGGCAUCAUGAUCAUUCUUAGAACAGCAAUAUAUAUAUAUAUAUAUAUAUAAUCAUAUGAUUUCUUAUGCUAAAGUAACAAUUCAAUCACAAUUUCAAGUAUGAAUCAUAAACUUCAUUGAGAACUAACAAACUAUAAUCUCAGUCAUUGAGGCAAUUGCAAUUUGUCAUAACAUCAGAAAGAGUCAAUAAGAGCUUUUCAGCAAGUCCACAUACUCAACCAUCAUUUAGUCUUUCACAGUUUCUAACACUAAUGCGAUAUUUAUGGUUAUGAAGUUUUAAUCGGACACAGAGAAAGAUAGGGGCUUAUAGUUUUGCCUCCCAACCUUUUACCUCAAGGGUAAUGUCAACAAUAAUAGUUCAUGAAAACUCACAUCCAAUUAGCUAUAUAUAUCAGGAUCUUUCCAACACACUGUGCUUGCCAAAGGAUAAAAUGUAAAAAGGAAAGGUGAAGAUCACCGUGACUCUUUGCAUUAAGUAUAAGACAAGAAUAAAACAUAGACCCUUCGCAGAGGGAAGCAGAGGUUUUCAUGUGCUUUUAUGGUUGGAUGCACAAAAUCUUAAUGCGAAAGAACGUCACUUUAUAUUGCCACUUGUGAUAUGGACCUUUAUUAUGCAGUUCGUCCCUGUUAUUUCUUCCACAUCACAAGAUCGUACAAAGCUUAUUUUCUCCACACUAAUAAAUCAUACAUAUUUAGAGAGCAAUUUUUAUUGCUUGGAACGAUGACAACUUAUUUGAAGGAUCUUACUCAAUCCAUAGGUAGAUAUGGUGGACUGUCAUGGCAAAACUAGGUUUAAGGAUAUUAGGAAGCACAAGUAGUAUCUCUACUUGGUGCAAAGAAUUUGGCUAGCAUGAGAGGGAAAGGCAAGCUCAACAUGUUGGAUGAUCCAUGACAAUAUAAUUUAUCUUAGAUGUAGGAAAACAUAACCCAUUACGUUGUCUUCCUUGUCCAACGUCAACUCUUUAGCAUGUCAUAUUUUAAUGAGUGCUCACAAUCAUAAAAGAUGUCCAAGAUAGUAUAUUUAUAUGUGAAAACCUCUCUUUCUUUAUUACUUCCUAUUAAUUGCAACGAUGACCAAAACUAUGUUUGUCAACUCUCAAUAACUUUUAUUCUUCAUACUCUUUAUAUGUGAAGUCAUUACUCUACAUAAGAUCCAUAUGAUCCAUUUAUUUCUUUUUACUUCUUCUCUUUUAUUUUAUUCCCUCAAGAUCAUAGUAAGAUAAUCAAGCCCUUGACUCAACACUAAUCUUUAUUAUAUAUAGCUCACGGACUCGAUUACAUAGAAGGAUCAUAAAGCAAAACUCAAAACUAGAUCAUACUAAAACUUUAUUCUACUAGAUCAAGAUAUUACCAAAAGGAUCGAACUAAGAAAAAUGGUAAAGAUAAAAGUGUGAUGGUGAUACGAUACCGGGGCACUCCCCCAAGCUUGGCAGUUGCCAAGGGGAGUGUCCGUACCCAUGUGUUUAUGUCUCCUUCUUCGGGGGUGGUGAUGUGAUAUUCUUGGCGAUGAUGCCCGUCAGGAUACGAUUCUCUUCCUCGAGCUUAUUGACUUGCUGCUUGAGGUCCAUUAUUUCCUUACGGAGCUUGCCUGUGACUGCUAAAGCUCCUUUCACCCAAGGAUGUUGCAUAGCUGCGGGAGAACAAGUAACACUCCUUUUCAUAUUUUCAUAAGAAAGAAAUCUAACAUUGGAAGGGAUGACCGAGUUUGGAAUAGCUGAGCUCUGUAGUUCCCCCAUCGUGAAUCCAGCUCGGAAACGAGAAGUAACUUCUUCAUCCUCCUCCAUGGCAUCUAUCCUUUUCAAGUCAGCCUCCAUCUCUUCCUCAGUUGAUGGCCCAAAGUGGUCAGCAUUGCUGUUUGCUCUUGGCCCCGGUGUCGGAUGAGACACCCGACUCUCCCCGACUGACUCUUGAGAAGACAUCUUGCUCUAAAUCUGCAGCAGAAAUAGCUCGAAACAAAAACAGGAGAUAUUUGCGUGGUACGGUGGUCAAAACCUUCGGGAGAUUAUAUAAUAAAUUUUUACUGACCAAAAGAAGUAUCAUGCAAGAAAACGGAGUCCGGAGAGCACAUGAGGUGCCCACGAGGCAGGGGGGCACGCCCAGGGAGGCAGGGCGCGCCCUCCACCCUCGUGGAAGCCUCGUGUCCUUCCCGGACUGCUUCUUAUUUUCCUAUUUUCUUAAAUAUUGCAAAACAGAGAAAAAUUGCCAUUAGAACUGUUUUGGAGUCGGUUUACUUACCGUACCACGUACCUAUUCCUUUCCGGAGUCUGAAAUGUUCUAGAAAGUGUCCCUUAUGUAUUCCUCCGGGGUUAUGGUUUCAAUAACAUUAGUUUCAACAUUUAUGGGAUUAACUGAGAUAUAAUGUUUGAUUCUUUGACCGUUCACCACCCUCGGAUUUGUGCCUUCGAAGUUGUUGAUUUUUAUAGCACCGGAAUGAUAGACCUCCUCGAUGACGCAAGGACCUUCCCAUUUAGAGAGAAGUUUUCCUGCAAAAAAUAUUAAAUGGGAUUUGUAUAACAAUACAUAGUCACCUACAUUUUUGUAUCCUUUUGUCAUGCCAUCUUUUAACCUUUUCUUUAAACAGUUUGACAUUCUCAUAAGCCUGGGUUCUCCAUUCAUCAAGUGAGCUAAUGUCAAAAAGCCUCUUCUCACCGGCAAGUUUGAAAUCAUAAUUGAGCUCUUUAAUUGCCCAAUAUUCCUUAUGUUCUAGUUCAAGAGGUAAGUGACAUGCUUUACCAUAAACCAUUUUAUACGGAGACAUACCCAUAGGAUUUUUGUAUGCAGUUCUAUAAGCCCAUAAUGCACCAUCAAGUUUCUUGGACCAAUUCUUUCUAGAUCUAUUAACAGUCUUUUGCAAAAUUAAUUUAAGCUCUCUAUUACUUAAUUCUACUUGACCACUAGACUGUGGAUGAUAUGGAGAUGCAAUUCUAUGAUUAACAUCAUACUUAGCAAGCAUUUUACGAAAAGCACCAUGAAUAAAAUGUGAACCACCAUCAGUCAUUAAGUAUCUAGGGACUCCAAACCUCAGAAAAAUAACUUCUUUAAGCAUCUUAAUAGAGGUGUUAUGAUCAGCACUACUAGUUGGAAUAGCUUCUACCCACUUAGUAACGUUACCAACAACAACUAAAAUAUGAGUAUACCCAUUAGAGGAAGGAAACAGUCCCAUAUAAUCGAAGCCCCAAACAUCAAAUGGUUCAAUAACAAGUGAAUAAUUCAUAGGCAUUUCUUGACGUCUACUAAUAUUACAAAUUCUUUGACAUUCAUCACAAGACAAGACUAACUUACGGGCAUCCUUGAAGAGAGUAGGCCAAUAAAAACCGGAUUGCAAUACCUUAUGUGCAGUUCUGUCUCCAGCACGGUGUCCUCCAUAAGCCUCAGAGUGACACUUGCGUAGGAUCUGUUCCUGUUCAUGCUCAGUACACAACGUCUAAUAACACCAUCUACUCCUUCUUUAUAGAGGUGUGGGUCAUCCCAAAAGUAAUGUCUUAAAUCAUAGAAGAACUUUUUCUUUUGCUGGUACGUGAAACUAGGUGGUAUAAACUUAGCAACAAUAUAAUCAGCAUACCAUGGAGCAGUACGAGAAGCAUUUAUCACAACUAAUUGUUCAUCAGGAAAGCUAUCAUCAAUAGGUAGUGGGUCAUCAAGAACAUUCUCUAACCUAGACAAGUUGUUUGCAACGGGGUUCUCAGCUCCCUUUCUAUCAAUAAUAUGCAAAUCAAAUUCUUGUAGCAAGAGAACCCAUCUAAUAAGUCUAGGUUUAGCAUCUUUUUUUCCAUAAGGUAUUUAAUAGCAGCAUGAUCAGUGUGAACAGUUACUUUAGAAUCAACUAUAUAAGGUCUGAACUUAUCACAAGCAAAUACAACUGCUAAAAAUUCUUUUUCAGUAGUAGCAUAGUUUCUCUAGGCACUGUCUAGAGUUUUACUAGCAUAUUCAAUAACAUUUAAUUUCUUAUCAACUCUUUGUCCUAGAACAGCCCCUAUAGCAUAAUCACUAGCAUCACACAUAAUUUCAAAUGGUAAAUUCCAAUCAGGGGGCUGAACAAUAGGUGCAGAAACCAAAGCUUUCUUAAGUAUUUCAAAUGCUUCUACAUAGUCAUCAUAAAAAACAAAAGGAACAUCUUUUUGUAAGAGAUUAGUCAGAGGCCGAGAAAUUUUAGAGAAGUCCUUAAUGAACCUCCUAUAAAAACCGGCAUGACCAAGGAAGCUUCUUAUACCUUUAAUGUCCUUAGGACAUGACAUCUUUUCAAUAGCAUCAACUUUAGCCUUAUCAACUUCAAUACCUCUUUCAGAAAUUUUAUGCCCCAAGACAAUACCUUCAUUAACCAUAAAGUGGCACUUCUCCAAAUUCAAGACAAGAUUAGUUUCUUCACAUCUCUGCAAAACUCGAUCAAGGUUGCUUAAGCAAUCAUCAAAAGAAGUUCCGUAAACGGAGAAAUCAUCCAUGAAAACCUCAACAAUCUUUUCACAAAAGUCAGAGAAUAUAGCAGUCAUACAUCUUUGAAAAUUAGCAGGCGCAUUGCAUAAACCAAAAGGCAUACGUCUAUAAGCAAAGGUACCGAAAGGGCAAGUAAAAGUUGUCUUUUCUUGAUCCUCUUUUGACACAGGUAUUUGAGAGAAACCAGAAUAACCAUCUAGAAAGCAAAAAUGUGUAUGUUUGGAUAAUCUUUCUAGCAUUUGAUCUAUAAAAGGUAAAGGGUAAUGAUCCUUUUUAGUGGCUUUAUUUAAUUUGCGAAAAUCAAUUACCAUUCUAUAACCUGUAACAAUUCUUUGUGGGAUCAGUUCAUCUUUAUCAUUAGGAACUACAGUGAUACCUCCCUUCUUAGGGACACAAUGGACAUGACUUACCCAGUGACUAUCAGCAACAUGAUAAAUUAUACAUGCCUCCAGAAGCUUUAGUAUUUCUUUUCUUACCACUUCUUUCACCUUAGGAUUUAACCGUCGUUGGUAAUCAACAACCGGUUUCGCGUCUUUCUCCAAUUUUAUUUUGUGUUGGCAUAGAGUGGGACUAAUGCCCUUAAGAUCAUCAAGAGUAUAUCCAAUAGCAGCACGGUGCUUCUUGAGGGUUUUCAAUAAUUUCUUUUCUUCAUGCUCUGAAAGGUUAGCACUAAUAAUAACAGGAUAUAUCUCUUUCUCAUCAAUAUAAGCAUAUUUAAGAGUAUCGGGCAAAGGUUUAAGCUCAAACACGGGAUCAUCCUUGGGUGGAGGAGGAUCCCCUAGGAUUUCAACAUGCAAGUUGUGUUUCAAAAUAGGUCCCUAUUUAAAGAAUACUUCAUCUAUUUCCCUUCUUUCAUUCAUAAACAUAUCAUUUUCAUGGUCUAGCAAAUAUUGUUCUAAAGGAUCAGUAGGAGGCACGGCAAUAGAAGCAAGACCAAUAAUUUCAUCUUUACUAGGCGAUUCUUUAUCAUGGGGUGUUGGAAAUAUGCCCUAGAGGCAAUAAUAAAAUGGUUAUUAUUAUAUUUCCUUGUUCAUGAUAAUUGUCUAUUGUUCAUGCUAUAAUUGUGUUAUCCGGAAAUCGCAAUACAUGUGUGAACACAUAGACCAUAACGUGUUCCUAGUGAGCCUCUAGUUGACUAGCUCGUUGAUCAAUAGAUGGUUACGGUUUCCUGACCAUGGACAUUGGAUGUCAUUGAUAAUGGGAUCACAUCAUUAGGAGAAUGAUGUGAUGGACAAGACCCAAUCCUAAGCAUAGCACUAGAUCGUGUAGUUCGUUUGCUAAAGCUUUUCUAAUGUCAAGUAUCAUUUCCUUAGACCAUGAGAUCGUGCACCUCCCGGAUGCCGUAGGAAUGCUUUGGGUGUACCAAACGUCACAACGUGACUGGGUGGCUAUAAAGGGGCACUACAGGUAUCUCCGAAAGUGUCUAUUGGGUUGGCACAGAUCGAGACUGGGAUUUGUCACUCCGUAUGACGGAGAGGUAUCUCUGGACCCACUCGGUAAUGCAUCAUCAUAAUGAGCUCAAUGUGACCAAGUAGUUGGUCACGGGAUCAUGCAUUACGGAACGAGUAAAGUGACUUGCCGGUAACGAGAUUGAACGAGGUAUUGGGAUACCGACGAUCGAAUCUCGGGCAAGUAACGUACCGAUUGACAAAGGGAAUUGUACACGGGAUUGCUUGAAUCCUCGACAUCGUGGUUCAUCUGAUGAGAUCAUCGUGGAACAUGUGGGAGCCAACAUGGGUAUCCAGAUCCCGCUGUUGGUUAUUGGCUAGAGAGCGGUCUCGGUCAUGUCUGCAUGAUUCCCGAACCCGUAGGGUCUACACACUUAAGGUUCGAUGAUGCUAGGGUUAUAAGGAAGGUUUGUAUGUGAUUACCGAAUGUUGUUCGGAGUCCCGGAUGAGAUCCCGGACGUCACGAGGAGUUCCGGAUUGGUUCGGAGGUGAAGAUUUAUAUAUGCGAAGUCAUCAUACGGUCACCGGAAAUAUUCGGGGGUAUACCGGUAUUGUACCGGGACCACCAGAGGGGUUCCGGGGGUCCACCGGGAGGGUCCACCUGCCCCGGAGGGCCUUAUGGGCUGUAGUCGGAAGGGAACCAGCCCCUAAGUGGGCUGGGCGCCAUCCCCCCUUGGGCCCAUGCGCCUAGGGUUGGGGGGAACCCUAAAGGGGGGCGCCCCCCUUGCUUGGGGGGCAAGCCCCCUCCCCCUUGGCCGCCGCCCCCUCUAGAUCUCAUCUAGAGGGGCCGACCCCCUUCCCCCUUCUCCCUAUAAAUAGAGGGGUAGAGGGAGGGCUGCAGCACCACAUCCAAGGCGCAGCCCCUCCCCUCCCCAACACCUCUCCUCCUCCACGUGAGCUUGGCGAAGCCCUGCCGGAGAACUGCCACUCCACCACCACCACGCCGUCGUGCUGCUGUUGGAGCCUUCUUCCUCAACCUCUCCCUCCUCCUUGCUGGAUCAAGGCGCGGGAGACGUCACCGGGGUGCACGUGUGUUGAACGCAGAGGCACCGUUGUUCGGUGCUUGGAUCGGAUUCUGCCGUGAUCUGAAUCGCUACGUGUAUGACUCCUCCAACCGCGUUCUUGCAACGCUUCCGCAUCGCGAUCUUCAAAGGUAUGCAGAUGCACUACCCUCUCGUUGCUAGUAAACUCCAUAGAUUGAUCUUGGUGAUGCGUAGAAUUUUUUUAAUUUCUGCAACGAUCCCCAACAUGGGGUUGUCUACGAAACUUAGCAAAAUUAAACUCAUGAGAGAUAUCCCCUAAACCAACAGAAACAAUAUCCUUAUUGCAGUCUAUCUUAGCAUUAACAGUAUUCAAGAAGGGUCUACCAAAUAUAAUGGGACAAAAGUCAUCUUGUGGGGAACCGAGAACAAGAAAAUCAGCAGGAUAUUUAACUUUCCCACACAAGACUUCAACAUCUCUAACAAUCCCAACUGGUGAAAUAGUGCCUCUAUUGGCAAGUUUAAUUGUAACAUCAAUUUCUUGUAACUCAGCAUGUGCAAUAUCAUGCAUAAUUUCUUUGUAUAAGGAAUAAGGUAUUGCACUUACACUAGCACCCAUAUCACAUAAGCCAUGAUAGCAAUGAUCUCAUAUUUUAACAGAAAUAACAGGCAUGACUACAACAGGUCUAUGUUUAUUUUUAGUAUCAGGUCUAGCAAUUCUAGCAGCUUCAUUACAGAAGUAAAUAACAUGCCUAUCAAUAUUAUCUGCCAAGAGAUCUUUAACCAUAGCAACACUAGGUUCAACUUUAAUUUGCUCAGAGGGAGUAGGUGUUCUAGUAUUACUCUUACGAACCACAGUUGAAUCUUUAGCAUGAUCCUUUAUUCUAACAGGGAAAGGUGGUUUCUCAAUAUAAGCAGCGGGAACAAUAGGAUCAUUAUAAGUGACAAUCUUUUCUUCAACUUUAAUAGGUGCAACUACUUUUACUUCAAUGGGAGGAUUAUAUUUAAACCACUUCUCCUUAGGGAGAUCAACAUGAGUAGCAAAGGAUUCAUAGAAAGAAGCUACUAUCUCAGAGUCUAGUCCAUAUUUAGUGCUAAAUUCACGGAAAACAUCGGUAUCCAUAAAAGAUUUAACACAAUCAAACUUAGGUGUUAUACCUGACUCCUUACCUUUGUCAAGGUCCCAAUCUUCAUAGUUGCAUUUAAUUCUUUCCAAUAAAUCCCAUUUGAAUUCAAUAGUCUUCAUCAUAAAAGAUCCUGUACAAGAAGUAUCGAGCAUGGAGCGAUUACUGAGAGAAAGCCGAGCAUAAAUUUUUUGAAUAAUCAUUUCUUUUGAGAGCUCAUGAUUGGGGCAUGAAUAUAACAUUGACUUCAGCCUCCCCCAAGCUUGAGCGAUGCUUUCUCCUUCGUGAGGCCAAAAAUUAUAUAUAUAAUUACGAUCACGAUGAACAAGAUGCAUAGGGUAAAACUUCUGAUGAAAUUCCAAUUUCAAUCGGUUGUAGUUCCAUGAUCCCAUAUCAUCACAUAGCCUAAACCAUGUCAAUGCCUCUCCCUUCAAAGAUAAAUGGAAUACCUUCUUCUCGGGCAUACCUGCAAGCUUAAAUAAUCCACGAACUUCAUCCACAUAGAUUAGGUGCAAAUUGGAAUGCAAUGUUCCAUCUCAGGAUUAGCUAGCAGUUUCUCUAUCAUACCCGAAGGAAUUUCAAAGUAAACAUUUUCAGUAGGUUCAGUAGGUUGAGGAGGAACUCUUUGCUCUACUGGUCGGGGUGAAGAUACCCCGAACAAGCCCCUCAAAGGAUUAUGUUCCAUAGUAACAAGUGACAGUAAAUUUCAGCACACUAUAUAAAUUUUUCCUUACCAAAUUCCACCUACCAAAGGCGCUUCACUCCCCGGCAACGGCGCCAGAAAAGAGUCUUGAUGACCACAAGUGUAGGGGAUCUAUCGUAGCCUUUUCGAUAAGUAAGAGUGUCGAACCCAACGAGGAGCAGAAGGAAAUGAUAAGCAGUUUUCAGUAAGGUAUUCUCUGCAAGCACUGAAAUUAUCGGUAACAGAUAGUUUUGUGAUAAGGUAAUUUGUAAUGAGUAGCAAGUAAUAAAAGUAAAUAAGGUGCAGCAAGAUGGCCCAAUCCUUUUUGUAGCAAAGGACAAGCCUGGACAAACUCUUAUAUAAAGUAAAGCGCUCCCGAGGACACAUGGGAAUUAUCGUCAAGCUAGUUUUCAUCACGUUCAUAUGAUUCGCGUUCGGUACUUUGAUAAUUUGAUAUGUGGGUGGACCGAUGCUUGGGUACUGUCCUUCCUUGGACAAGCAUCCCACUUAUGAUUAACCCCUAUUGCAAGCAUCCGCAACUACAACAGAAGUAUUAAGGUAAACCUAACCAUAACAUGAAACAUAUGGAUCCAAAUCAGCCCCUUACGAAGCAAUGCAUAAACUAGGGUUUAAGCUUCUGUCACUCUAGCAACCCAUCAUCUACUUAUUACUUCCCAAUGCCUUCCUCUAGGCCCAAACAAUGGUGAAGUGUCAUGUAGUCGACGUUCACAUGACACCACUAGAGGAGAGACAACAUACAUCUCAUCAAAAUAUCGAACGAAUACCAAAUUCACAUGACUACUUAUAGCAAGACUUCUCCCAUGUCCUAUAUGAUCUUCCACCAAGUAAACCAACUAGCAUCAACUACAAGGAGUAAUCAACACUACUAGCAACCCACAGGUACCAAUCUGAGGUUUUGGGACAAAGAUUGGAUACAAGAGAUGAACUAGGGUUUGAGAUGAGACGGUGCUGGUGAAGAUGUUGAUGGAGAUUGACCCCCUCCCGAUGAGAGGAUCAUUGGUGAAUGACGAUGGUGAUGAUUUCCCCCUCCCGGAGAGAAGUUUCCCCGGCAGAACAGCUCCGCCGGAGCCCUAGAUUGGUUCCGCCAAGGUUCCGCCUCGUGGCGGCAGAGUUUCGUCCCGUAAGGUUGCUUAUGAUUUUUUCCUCGAUGAAAAGACUCCAUAUAGCCAAAGAGGGCAUCAGAGGGCUGCCAGGGGGCCCACGAGGCAGGGGGCGCGCCUAGGGGGGUAGGGUGCGCUCCCACCCUCGUGGACGGUGGGUGGCCCCCCUCUGGUACUUCUUUCGCCCAAUAUUUUUUAUAUAUUCUGAAACGUGCUCUCGUGAAGUUUCAGGACUUUUGGAGUUGUGCAGAUUAGGUCUCUAAUAUUUGCUCCUCUUUCAGCCCAGAAUUCCAGCUGCCGGCAUUCCCCCUCUUCAUGUAAGCCCUGUAAAAUAAGAGAGAAUAGGCAUAAGUAUUGUGACAUAAUGUGUAAUAACAGCCCAUAAUGCAAUAAAUAUUGAUAUAAAAGCAUGAUGCAAAAUGGACGUAUCAUAGGGUGAAAUGUUCCAUGAGAGAUUCCCAAAGCAGAUCUUUUGCUCUGUCGUCGACCCAAGUAAGAUCUGGGCGUUCCUUUGCUGGCUUUUUUCCAUUCUUGCAUGGAGAUCGGGAGUUGGUCCUUCACAAGAACUCCGCACUGACGAACAAACUUGUUCGCAUUCUUCUUAGGCAAGAUUGGUUCGCCGUUAGUUUUGAUGGCAUCGAUGUUGUACUUUACGCUCUGCUUCAACUUUUUGCCCAGGCCUCGCACUGUCCUGCGUGUAGAAGAUUUGCUCGAUCCGGAGGGCUGAAAGAAGAAAGAUCGAUUGGUUAAAAUAUGUUCAAAUCAUUUAAAACAUGUGAUGAUCACCAGAUGCCUGCUUAUAUAAAUAUACCUCGCCGGUCUCUAUUCUAAUUUGAAGAUCAACAUUUUCUUCAUCAUCAUAAUCAUAGUUCUGGACUUCAUCAAUUCGGUCGUCACGAUCGAAUAUCAUAUCACCCUCCCCGGUAUUGUUCAGAUAUCGGGAGCCGUCAUCUUAUUCAUUCUGAUCAUCUCGCCCGCCAGGGGAGCGUAUGAGCUCGAACAGGGCCUCUUCUCCUUCUCUGCCGGUAUUGUCCGCCAUAGCUUUUAUUUAACUAAUCCAGAAGAAAUAUAAAACAAUUUAGUAUUCAAAUUACAAUGCAUGCCUGCAAUCAACAUUAAGGAUUCAUCGUCUCGAAUUUUAUCGAAUAAUAUAUAUAAUCUCGAAUACAUCGUCUCGAAUAAUAUAUAUAAUCUCGGAUACAUCAUCUCGAAUAUUAUAUAUCGAAUACAUCACUAGCUAGCUAGCUAAUAAAGAUCGAAUACUAUAGAAUAAUCUAGUUCAUUCGCGGUUCCUGAGGUGCGGGCGGUGGACACCCAAAGAGAAGGAACCAUCACAGGAUCAUAGCUCGGGUGAGAUCCCCGAAGAACCUGCCAGGUAUUGGAGAACCUGACGUCCAUAGCAGCCAUGUACCGACUGACGUGCUCGUCCUCCUCCCUGACACGACGACGUACCACCUCCGGCGGGGCUGGCUCCCUCCGCACCGAAAGUGGCCCACGCGAACGCCACCAAAGGAAAUCAGGGUCGACGACGGGACCCGGGGCCGGGUUCCUCACCAAGCGGCGCGCCCUUGAAGGUAGCACCUCCCAGUACCAGCCCGGUGGAGCCCAGUAUCGGACAUGGGUCCUCUGAAGCAGGACGUCGUCGCGAACGGGACGACGACGAGGAUGCGGGCCGGGCAUCGUUGACGUCGAUAACAAAUUCUUAUGGAAAAAUUCCUAUAUAUGCAAUGUCAUUUUAUUAGGAAAUUUUGAGCAACUUUUUCCUAUGAAACUUCUCCUAGUCCUUCGUCUAACAAAUAUAUAUGGUCAACUUUUUCCUAUGCAACUUUUUUAUAUGCAAUUUUUUCUAUACUAGGAUAUACAACAUCGUAUAAAAUUAAAAACAGAAAAAGAAACACUAAUUAAGCAUCUAACACUAAAAACAGAAAAACAACUUCUAUACAUCCAUUAAAAAAUAGAAAAACAACAUUAUAUACAAAAAUUCCAUACUAAUUAAACACUAAUUAUAUCCAUCUAACAUGCAUUCAUACAUAUAUACNNNNNNNNNNNNNNNNNNNNNNNNNNNNNNNNNNNNNNNNNNNNNNNNNNNNNNNNNNNNNNNNNNNNNNNNNNNNNNNNNNNNNNNNNNNNNNNNNNNNNNNNNNNNNNNNNNNNNNNNNNNNNNNNNNNNNNNNNNNNNNNNNNNNNNNNNNNNNNNNNNNNNNNNNNNNNNNNNNNNNNNNNNNNNNNNNNNNNNNNNNNNNNNNNNNNNNNNNNNNNNNNNNNNNNNNNNNNNNNNNNNNNNNNNNNNNNNNNNNNNNNNNNNNNNNNNNNNNNNNNNNNNNNNNNNNNNNNNNNNNNNNNNNNNNNNNNNNNNNNNNNNNNNNNNNNNNNNNNNNNNNNNNNNNNNNNNNNNNNNNNNNNNNNNNNNNNNNNNNNNNNNNNNNNNNNNNNNNNNNNNNNNNNNNNNNNNNNNNNNNNNNNNNNNNNNNNNNNNNNNNNNNNNNNNNNNNNNNNNNNNNNNNNNNNNNNNNNNNNNNNNNNNNNNNNNNNNNNNNNNNNNNNNNNNNNNNNNNNNNNNNNNNNNNNNNNNNNNNNNNNNNNNNNNNNNNNNNNNNNNNNNNNNNNNNNNNNNNNNNNNNNNNGGGGAUGGGCCGGGGGCGGCGACGGAGACGAGGGCGGUGACGGGGACAGGGACGAGGGCGGCGACGACAACGGCGCGCGACGGGGGCGGCGACGGGGACGGCGCGGGGCAGGCGGUGCGUCGCCGAUGGAGAAAUAGAGGAAGAAUGAAAUUUUUUCAAGUGUUGUUUAUAUAGGAGGGACCUUUAGUCCCGGUUGGUGGCUCCAACCGGGACUAAAGGUUAAAUUUUGCCAGGCCAAGCGGCGGGAACGGCACCCCUUUAGUACCGGGUGGUGGCUCCAACCGGUACUAAAGACCCCCCUUUAGUACCGGUUGGAGCCACGACCCGGUACUAAAGGGGGUGAGCUCGCACAGGUGCGGUGCGGCAAGUUUAGUCCCACCUCGCUAGUCGAGGAGCCCCAGGACCUGGUUAUAAGCCCCGACGCGAGCAUUACAUUGAGCUCCUCUCUAAUGCAGGCCUUCUGGGCCUAACUGUUCUACUCUACCAUGUGGGGCCUACUGGGGUUGCGGGCCUGCGUCCUGGCCCAACUACAGGUUGGGUUUCUAGUCGUAUGCAGGCCGCUUUGGCCAAGUAGGUGGGCUUUUUUAUUUAGUUUUUUCUAUUUUCUGCUUUAUUUAAAUUCUUUUAUUUAUUUUUGAGUUGUUUUUUUGCUGUAUUUAGAGUUUCUUUGUGAAUAUUUUUGCUUUAGGUACAAAAAAUUACAAACUUUCUGUUAGUGCGAGUAGUUUUCAAAUUUGAAUUAUUUGAAAUUUUUGUGAAUAACUUAACUUUAAAAAUAGAUUUUAGUGAUUCUUUGUUCUUAUGUUUAAUAUUAGUGUGUUUUAUCAUUAUAUUCAAUUUGGUAAUACUUAGGUUAUUUACAAAAUGAGAUGCCUUUGUAACAGAUGAGUUUUCGUCCGAAACCCUGAUACUUCGAAAGAGAUUGUCCAUUUUGUACACGAAGUGCAUCCAAUUUUUGCCGUAACCCUCUCUACUUUUUUGUACAUGCUAUGUGGGUGAAAUGAUGAUACCAUGCCAACUUUCAACCUUUUCAGAGUUCAUUUAUAGUGCUUUUCAAUUUCAGGGUCAUUUAGCUCAAAAAAUUCAGUAAAUGCAUGAAAAAUAGCAAAUGAUGUCAGAAAGUUACACGUUUGUCCGAAGCACAAAAGUACACAUUUCAAGUGCCAAAACACAUAAGCACCCUAACUAUUACAAACAUAUACAAGUCCGGAAACUCACUAGAGAAGAAAGUGAUGACAGUGAAGCCGAUCACAUCCCAGAGUGGGAUCUUUGUGCCGUGUGAAACUUUUUCUUCGCGUGUGUCCCUUUGCGCCGUAACCAUGGACAAUCUUCAUCAUUUAACAGUAUGCUCUGGUCAAUAUUCACUCUGAAUGGAGCAUUUUCAUCAAACUUUUCAUAAUCUUCUGAUAUGUCUGUCUUGUCAUCCACUCCCAUGAUGUUUCUUUUCCCUGAAAGAACUAUGUGGCGCUUUGGCUCAUCGUAUGAUGUAUUCGCUUCCUUAUCUUUUCUUUUUCUCGGCUUGGUAGACAUGUCCUUCACAUAGAAAACCUGCACCACAUCAUUGGCUAGGACGAAUGGUUCGUCUGCGUACGCAAGAUUCUUGAGAUCCACUAUUGUCAUUCCGUACUGCGGGUCUUCCGUUACCCCCCUCGUGUCAUAUUGACCCAUUUGCACCGAAACAAAGGGACGUUCAAACCACGUCCAUAGUCAAGUUCCCAUAUGUCCUCUAUGUAACCAUAAUAUGUGUCCUGUCCCAUCUUGGUUGCUGCAUCAAAGCGGACACCACUGUUUUGGUAGGUGCUCUUCUUAUCUUGGGCGAUCAUGUAAAAUGUAUUCCCAUUUAUCUCGUACCCUUUGAAAGUCAUUAUAUUCGAAGAUGGUAACUUGGACAGCAAGUACAUGUCAUAUUCAAUAGCGGCGUCAUGCAUGGCACGUGUCUGCAACCAACCGGCGAAAGUCCCCGUUUGUUCACGUGUAAUCCAGUCGUCAGACUGCUCCGGGUGUUUGGAGCGUAGAAAAUUCUUGUGUUCCUCCAUAUACGGAGCCACCAAGGCGGAAUUCUGUAGAACUGUGUAGUGUGCUUGAGUGAGAGAAUGCCCGUCCAUACAUAUUAUUUGUUUCCCUCCUAGCGUGCCUUUUCCAUCUAGUCUUCCCUUAUGCCGCGAUUCAGGAAGACCAAUCGGCUUAAGGUCAGGAAUAAAGUCAAUACAAAACUCAAUGACCUCCUCAUUUUCAUGGCCCUUGGAGAUGCUUCCUUCUGGCCUAGCACGGUUAAGAACAUAUUUCUUUAAGACUCCCAUGAACCUCUCAAAGGGGAACAUAUUGUGUAGAAAUACAAGACCAAGAACGUUAAUCUCUUCGCAUAGGUGAACUAGGACGUGCAUCAUGAUGUUGAAGAAGGAUGGUGGGAACACCAUCUCGAAACUGACAAGACAUUGCACCAAAUCAUUCUCUAACCUUGGUAUGAUUUCUGGAUUGAUUACCUUCUGAGAGAUUGCAUUGAGGAAUGCACAUAGCUUCACAAUGGCUAAUCGAACGUUUUCCGGUAGAAGCCCCCUCAAUGCAACCAGAAGCAGUUGCGUCAUAAUCACAUGGCAGUCAUGAGACUUUAGGUUCUGGAACUUUUUCUCUGCCAUAUUUAUUAUUCCCUUUAUAUUCGACGAGAAGCCAGAUGGUUCCUUCAUACUGAGCAGGCAUUCAAAGAAGAUUUCCUUCUCUUCUUUGGUAAGAGCAUAGCUGGCAUGACCCUGAUGUAUGCCGUCUUUUCCGUGCAUACGUUGCUGGUCCUCCUGUGCCUCUGGUGUAUCUUUUGUCUUCCCAUACACACCCAAGAAGCCAAGCAGGGGCAUGCAAAGAUUCUUCGUCACGUGCAUCACAUCGAUUGCAGAGCGGACCUCUAGGUCUUUCCAAUAGGGCAGGUCCCAAAAUAUAGAUAUCUUAUUCCACAUGGGUGCGCGUCCGUCAGCGUCAUUCAGAACAGGUUGUCCGCCAGGACCCUUUCCAAAGAUUACCUUCAAAUCCUUGACCAUAUCAUGUACAUCAGCACGAGUACGGUGGCGAGGCUUUGUCCGGUGAUCCGCCUCACCUUUGAAAUGCUUGCCUUUCUUUCUUACGAGAUACCUGCUCGGAAGAAAUCAACGAUGUCCCAGGUACACAUUCUUCUUACAAUUAUUCAAAUAUAUAGUGUCGGUAUCUUCCAAACAGUGUGUGCAUGCGCGGUAUCCCUUGUUUGUCUGUCCUGAAAGGUUACUGAGAGCAGGCCAAUCAUUGAUGGUCACGAACAACAAUGCCUUUAGGUCAAAUUUUUCCUGUCUGUGCUCAUCCCACGCACGUACACCUGUUCCAUUCCACAGCUGUAAGAGUUCUUCAACUAAUGGCCUUAGGUACACAUCAAUGUCGUUGCCGAGUUGCUUAGGGCCUUGUAUGAGCACUGGCAUUAUAAUGAACUUCCGCUUCAUGCACAACCAAGGAGGAAGGUUAUACAUACAUAGAGUCAUAGGCCACGUGCUAUGGUUGCUGCUUUGCUCCCCAAAAGGAUUAAUGCCAUUUGCGCUUAGACCAAACCAUACGUUCCUUGCAUCACCUGCAAACUCCUUCCUGUACUUUCUCUCGAUUUUUCUCCACUGCGACCCGUCAGCGAGUACUCUCAACUUCCCGUGUUUCUUAUGGUCUUCUCUGUGCCAUCGCAUCGCCUUGGAAUGCUCUUUGUUUAGUAACAAAUGUUUCAACCGUGGUAUUAUAAGAGCAUACCACAUCACCUUGGCAGGAAUCUGCUUCUUCCUGGGGCACUCACCCUCGACAUCACCAGGGUCAUCGCGGCUGAUCUUAUACGGCAAUGCACCACAUACCGGGCACGCGUUCAAAUCCACGUACUCACCGCGGUAGAGGAUGCAGUCAUUAGGGCAUGCAUGUAUCUUUUGCACCUCUAACCCUAGAGGGCAGACAACCUUAUUUCCUUCAUACGCACUCUCGGGCAAUUCGUUGUCCUUUGGAAGCAUCUUCUUUAACUUUACCAUCAACUUUCCAAAUGCCUUGUCAGAUACACCAUUCUCUGCCUUCCAUUGCAGUAAUUCCAGUUGGUGCCCAGCUUUUUCUUGUCAGCUUCGCAAUUCGAGUACAACAAUUUCUUGUGAUCCUCUAACAUGUGCUGCAACUUCUUCUUCUCCUUUUCACUUGCGCAGUUUCUCUCUGCAUCGGCAAUGGCCCGACCUAGAUCAUCAGUUGGCUCAUCUGAUGCCUCUUCUUCAGCUUCUUUCCGCAUUGCCGGCUCAGCUUCUUCCCCCAUUGUUGUAUCAUCGUAUUCAGGGAACACUACUAGGGAAAAGCCUAGCAGUAGCGCGGGUAAAAUGCUUAUCAGUAGCUCGGGCAGCCGCGCUACUGAUACGGCGCUACAGCUAAUGCUUAGCAGUAGCGCGUGUUGACCCGCACUACUGCUAUCUAGGGAUAGUAGUAGCGGUCAUCGCAAAAACGCUGCUGCUAAUAUCUAUAGCGCCCUAGUAUAAAAGGCGCUACUGCUAAGACCUCGCUGCUACUAAAGCCAUACCCCGUGCUACUGUUAUUAGUUUCUGAAUUUUUUCUGCUCCAUAUUUUGUGCUGCUAAAUUUUGUUUAGUGUUUUAUACAAUAGUCUCUAGCAUAUCAUACACAUACAAAUCUGAUCAUAUCAUACACAUACAAAUAGUCUCAUCAAAUUGAUCAUGUCAUCACCAUAAUCUUCAUCCAACACAAAAUGAUGUCUCUCGUCAUCAUCUUGAAAUAGCGAUACAAGUUAUGAGAUGUCUUGAAUACUUGCAACUACAUCGUCAUCCAUCUAAACAAUGAUAUAGGCAAGAAGAGCUAUCACUAUAUGAGUGAGAGCGAAACUAUGCAGUACAUGAGGUGGCGGUUAUGAGUCCUCUCUCACGUUAGCGUGAACCUCAAGUAACUAGCUUCUGCUUCUUGUCUGCUUUUGAACCAUUUAUGGCUGGCGCCCGAGAACCGCUCAGAUCAUUUACCCUGCACAUAAUCAUCAUUUUCCAAAUAUAACAUGUCCAAAACAUCACAUGUCCAAAUUCCAAAUAUGACAUCUCCAAAUCACAUGUCCACAUAUUACAUGUCCACUUCAAAUUGGCAUAUAACAAGAAGAAAAAUAUAGAACUUGAAGAAAAAUGCAAGAAGUUUUUUUAAAUAGCAACAAUUGCUUAAACUAAAAAUAGCAAUAGUUUGAAACCUAUGGUUCAUACUAACUACCACUAAAGAAUAGCCACUAAUCUGUCCUAGGUUUUUUUAACUAGGGUUCAUACUACUUAAUUGAAUAGAGUUCAUACUAAUUGUAAUGAACUAACUAGCACUAAAAAUAGCCUAGGGUUCAUACUAACUAGCACUAAAUAGCUAGGGUUCAUACUAACAGAGAGAGAGAGAGAGAGCAGAGAGCAGAGAGGAGGGGAGGGGAGAGUGCUUACAGAGGGCAGAGAGAGAGAUGGGGUCGGGGGAGACGGCGGCACUGAGGCGCGGUCGGGGAAGACGGCGGCGAGGCGGGGNNNNNNNNNNNNNNNNNNNNNNNNNNNNNNNNNNNNNNNNNNNNNNNNNNNNNNNNNNNNNNNNNNNNNNNNNNNNNNNNNNNNNNNNNNNNNNNNNNNNNNNNNNNNNNNNNNNNNNNNNNNNNNNNNNNNNNNNNNNNNNNNNNNNNNNNNNNNNNNNNNNNNNNNNNNNNNNNNNNNNNNNNNNNNNNNNNNNNNNNNNNNNNNNNNNNNNNNNNNNNNNNNNNNNNNNNNNNNNNNNNNNNNNNNNNNNNNNNNNNGGGAGACGGUGGUGAGGCGGGGACGAGGAAGACGACGGCGGAGAGCGAGGGUAGGGGCUAUGGCGAGGUCGAGGUCGAGGAGGAGGAGGCACAAGCGUCGAGGGAAGAUUCCGGCGGAGAGCGAGGGCAGGGGCUCCGGCGAGGGCGAGGGCGAGGGCAAGGGCUCCUGCGGAGGCGACGAGGGGGAGAAGAGAGAGUGGGGAAUUGGGGGAGGAAGCAGAGGAGGGAAGCCCGCACGGGGGGUUAUGUCAAAAUGGUUUUAGCAGUAGCGUGGGAAAAUAAAACGCGCUGCUGCUAAAAUACGUAGCAGUAGCGCGCUUCUCACAAACUCGCUACUACUAAGCUAGGCCCGUCCUGUGGACAAGUUCAAACUUAGCAGAAGCGCCCUACCCUAAAAGCGCGCUACUACUAAUUUGAUAGCAGUAGCGCGGUUUGUAGAAGGGCGCUACUACUAUACCUAGCAUGUCGGCAAUGGUGUGGCAAUUAUAGUAGUAGCGUGUUUUAUUCCUGCCACGCUACUACUAAGUGGAUAGCAGUAGCGCCCUUUCUGACCACGCACUACUGCUAAGUAGCAGUAGCGCCUCAUUUUAACACGCACUACUGGUAAGAUUCUGUGUAUAAGGUUUUCCCUAGUAGUGGAACCCAUGGCUAGGAUAGCUAUCGUCGUCCUCUUCUUCUUCAUUGUCUUCCAUCAUAACCCCUCUUUCUCCAUGCUUGGUCCAAACAUUAUAGUUGGGCAUGAAAUCAGACUCAAACAGGUGGACGUGAAUGGUUCUUGAGUUAGAGUAAUUGUGAUCAUUCUACAGCCAACACAUGGACAAGGCAUAAAACCAUCCGCCCGCUUGUUUGCCUGAGCCGCAAUCAGAAAAGUAUGCACACCUUCAACGAACUGGGGAGAGCAUCAGUCAUCGUACAUCCAUUGCCGGCUCAUCUUCAUUACACAGCACCGAAUAGACCAAAUUAAUACAAGUUCAUACAUAAAGUUCAUACAACACUUAUUCUCAUAAAUCAAACAUAUAAAUAACUCUCUAGCUAAAGCAUUUAAAUGCAACAACAAAUGCGAUCAAGAUCGCAACUAAGGUAACAAUUGAUCCAACAACAUAAUGAUACCAAGCCUCACUAUCAAUGGCAUAUUUUCUAAUCUUUCUAAUCUUCAAGCGCAUUUUCUCCAUCUUGAUCUUGUGAUCAUCGACGACAUCGGCAACAUGCAACUCCAAUUCCAUCUUCUCCCCCUCAAUUCUUUUUAAUUUUUCUUUCAAAUACUCGUUUUCUCUUUCAACUAAAUUUAACCUCUCGACAAUAGGGUCGGUUGGAAUUUCUGGUUCACAUACCUCCUAGAUAAAAAUAUCUAUGUCAACUUGAUGGGCAUAAUUUGUCAUAAACACGAAAUGCAACAAAAUAUUUAGAAAAGAAAAUAUACCACAUCCGAAUCAUAACCCGGAUGAGGGCCGACGGGGACGGAUAUCAAAACCAUGGCACUAUGAAUAACAAACAACAUACGAGUAAGAUAAUUAUACAAGUGACUAUAUUCUAAAUCACACAAAACAUGAUUUUUUAUAUAUAAAAAAGAUAAGAACAAGAGGCUCACCCCACAAGGUGGUGCCGGCGAUAGGACGGUGUGGACGAUCGACGAUGGUUAGGACGGAGACGGGAAGGCACUAAGUAAACCACACCUACAUAUGCAAACUAAGAGUUAUUUUGAGCUCAAAUUGCAUAUAAAUCAAAUAAACUACCACAUAUAUAAUUCCUCCAAAAUUACUAAAACCCACAAAUUAAUGACUAUAUAAAGCAUUGCAAGAGCUAGUCUAGCAAUGAGAGAUGAAAGGACAAAGUUGCUUACCUUUGUGAUCACUUGAAUGGAUGGGGGCCUUCAAAUCUUGACAAAAUUUGGGCAAAAUGUGUGAUGAGCUCGAGGUAGAGGGGAAGAACAGAGAGGAGAGGGGAAAGGGAAAAAACAGAGCGAGCUCGAUCGCGGGUGGACGAAGGGUUUAUAUAGGACGAACUUUAGUACCGGUUCGUGCCAUGAACCGGUACAAAAGGUGCUAGAGGGGCCCCAGACUGACAACAUCAUGCCACCACUCUCUUUAUUACCCGUUCAUGGCACGAACCGGUGCUAAAAGUUCGCCAUGAACUGGCACUAAUGAGAGUGAUAACCCACAAGUAUAGGGGAUCAAUUGUAGCCUCUUUCGAUAAGUAAGAGUGUCGAACCCAACGAGGAGCUAAAGGUAGAACAAAUAUUCCCUCAAGUUCGAUCGACCACCGAUACAACUCUACGCACACUUAACGUUCGCUUUACCUAGAACAAGUAUGAAACUAGAAGUGCUUUGUAGGUGUUGUUGGAUAGGUUUGCAAGAUUAUAAAGAGCGCGUAAAUAAAAAGUAGGGGCUGUUUAGAUGAAGACACAACUAAGUUAGUUUUAGUAGAGAGCUUUUUGUCAGACAAGAAAGUUAUUUGUCCCUAGGCAAUCGAUAACUAGACCGGUAAUCAUUAUUACAAUUUUAUUUGAGGGAGAGGCAUAAGCUAACAUACUUUCUCUUCUUGGAUCAUAUGCACUUAUGAUUGGAACUCUAGCAAGCAUCCGCACCUACUAAAGAUCAUUAAGGUAAAACCCAACCAUAGCAUUAUAAGGCAUCAAGUCCUCUUUAUUCCCAUACGCAAACAACCUACUUACUCGGGUCUGUGUUUCUAUCACUCACGCCACCCACCAUAAGCAAAUCAUGAACAUAUUGCAAACCCUACAGCGGGGAUCCCUCACGCUUGCGCGACAUGGAGAGCACCAUAGGACAGCACCAAUAAUAAAACAUGCAACUCAAACCAAUCACGAUCAUCAAUUAACCCAUAGGACAAAACGGAUCUACUCAAACAUCAUAGGAUAGCCAUACAUCAUUGGGAAAUAAUAUAUAGCAUAGAGCACCAUGUUUAAGUAGAGGUUACAGCGGGUAAAAGAGGGGUUACACCACUGCAUAGAGGGGGGGGGGAAGAGUUGGUGAUGAUGGCGAAGUUGUUGGUGUAGAUUGCGGUGAUGAUGAUGGCCCCGACGGUGUUCCAGCGCCACCGGAAGAGAGGGGGAGAGAGCCCCCUUCUUAUUCUUCUUCUUCCUUGACCCUCUCCCUAGAUGGGAGAAGGGUUUCCCCUCUGGUCCAUGGCCUCCAUGGCAUGGGAGGGGCGAGAGCCCCUCCGAGAUUGGAUCUGUCUCUCUGUCUCUCUCUGUUUCUGCGUUUCAGAUUCUGUCCUUUCACCGUUUCUUAAAUUCCCGGAGAUCCAUAACUCCGAUUGGGCUGAAUUUUGGACACGAUUUUUAUCCGGAUAUUAGCUUUCUUGCGGCAAAAGAAGGGCGCCAACCGCCUUACGGGGUGGCCACGAGGGCCCAGGGCGUGCCUGACCCCCUAGGGCGUGCCCCCUGCCUCGUGGCCCCCUCGGGCAUCGUCUCGCGUUGAUUCUUCUUCCCAAAAAUCACAUAAAUUCCAAAAAAUCUCCGUCAGUUUAUAUCCCGUUUGGACUCCGUUUGAUAUGGAUUUUCUGCGAAACAAAAAACAUGCAAUAAACAGGAACUGACACUGGGCAGUGGAUCAAUGUGUUAGUCCCAAAAAUAGUAUAAAAAGUUGCCAAAAGUAUAUGAAAGUUGUAGAAUAUUGGCAUGGAACAAUAAAAAAUUAUAGAUACGGCGGAGGUGUAUCAGCAUCCCCAAGCUUAAUUCCUGCUCGUCCUCGAGUAGGUAAAUGAUAAAUUUUUUUUUGAUGUGGAAUGCUAGCUACCUAGCAUAAUCUUGAUCACAUAGUCUAAUCAUGGCAUGAAUAUUAAGACACGAGUGAUUCAAAGCAAUAGUCUAUCAUUUGACAUUAAGAUAAUAAUACUUCAAGCAUACUAAUAAAGCAAUCAUGUCUUUUCAAAAUAGCAUGGCCAAAGAAAGUUAUCCCUACAAAAUCAUAUAGUCUGGCUAUGCUCCAUCUUCACCACACAAAAUAUUCAAAUCAUGUACAACCCCGAUAACAAGCCAAGCAAAUGGUUCAUACUUUUGACGUUCUCAAACCUUUUCAACUUUCACGAAAGACAUGAGCGUGAGCCAUGGACAUAGCACUAUAGGUGGAAUAGAAUAUGAUGGUGGAGGUUGUGUGGAGAAGACAAAAAGGGAGAAAGUCUCACAUCAACGCGACUAAUCACUACAAAAAAAAGACACAUCCGUGACAUUUUGGGCCGAACAAUUUUUUUUUCUGUCAUACAUAUGACACUUCUAUGAAGAUAAUUGUGACAAAACCCGGUAUCAUCAUAGAUGUGGUGGGCUCCUACUUCUAUGACAAAAAAUCAUGACAGAAAAUGGGCUUUUCGUCCUGGGCGGGCCGGAGACGCAGCUGCAUGACAUUCUUUGGGCCGUCCAUGACGGAAAAAACCGUGGUAGAAGCGAGGGCGAGGAAAAUUUCGGGGAGUUCCCGGUUACGGUGGGAGGUCGGGGGCCGAGCGAUGCACGUUUCUAUCGUACACGUACGCGCGUGUGUGCGAGGCGUUGGGCUCUAACUGAACCCGAGCGAUUGCACUGCAGGCUACGCGUUACUGAACCCGAGCGAUCGAUCGAUGGCUGUUAAUUGAACCCGAUCGAGCGAUUCCUUCGCUACUGCUGCGAACUGAAGCCGANNNNNNNNNNNNNNNNNNNNNNNNNNNNNNNNNNNNNNNNNNNNNNNNNNNNNNNNNNNNNNNNNNNNNNNNNNNNNNNNNNNNNNNNNNNNNNNNNNNNNNNNNNNNNNNNNNNNNNNNNNNNNNNNNNNNNNNNNNNNNNNNNNNNNNNNNNNNNNNNNNNNNNNNNNNNNNNNNNNNNNNNNNNNNNNNNNNNNNNNNNNNNNNNNNNNNNNNNNNNNNNNNNNNNNNNNNNNNNNNNNNNNNNNNNNNNNNNNNNNNNNNNNNNNNNNNNNNNNNNNNNNNNNNNNNNNNNNNNNNNNNNNNNNNNNNNNNNNNNNNNNNNNNNNNNNNNNNNNNNNNNNNNNNNNNNNNNNNNNNNNNNNNNNNNNNNNNNNNNNNNNNNNNNNNNNNNNNNNNNNNNNNNNNNNNNNNNNNNNNNNNNNNNNNNNNNNNNNNCGUUUCGACCGUAGGAGGUCCGUUUCGUCCGUUUUGCGGUACGCCACACCCCUCCCGAUCAACAGGACCCCCGUUUCGACCGUAGGAGGUCCGUUUCGUCCGUUUUGCGGUACGCCACACCCCUCCCGAUCAACAGGACCUCCGUUUCGACCGUAGGAGGUCCGUUUCCUCCGUUUUGCGGUAUGCCACCCCCCCGAUCAACAGGACCCCGUUCUGAACGUAGGAGGUCCGUUUCCUCCGUUGUGCGGUACNNNNNNNNNNNNNNNNNNNNNNNNNNNNNNNNNNNNNNNNNNNNNNNNNNNNNNNNNNNNNNNNNNNNNNNNNNNNNNNNNNNNNNNNNNNNNNNNNNNNNNNNNNNNNNNNNNNNNNNNNNNNNNNNNNNNNNNNNNNNNNNNNNNNNNNNNNNNNNNNNNNNNNNNNNNNNNNNNNNNNNNNNNNNNNNNNNNNNNNNNNNNNNNNNNNNNNNNNNNNNNNNNNNNNNNNNNNNNNNNNNNNNNNNNNNNNNNNNNNNNNNNNNNNNNNNCCCCCGUUUCGACCGUAGGAGGUCCGUUUCGUCCGUUUUGCGGUACGCCACACUCCUCCCGAUCAACAGGACCCCCGUUUCGACCGUAGGAGGUCCGUUUCCUCCGUUUUGCGGUACGCCACACCCCUCCCCAUGAACACGACGCAUUCCGUUGCCUCCCCAUGAACACGACGCAUUCCGUUGCCUCCCCAUGAACACGACGACGAUGCUGUUUCUCCGUUCCGACCCAGCCAUGUACACGAGCCCUGGCCGUAUGUAUGCGCGAGUAGGCGUUCGAGACCCCGCCCGUAUGUACACAUACGUGGCCGUAUUUUCUUUCUUGCACCCUGGCCGCUGUACGUACAUGUACAUGCAACGUGCGCGCCUCUACUACGACACGUACGCGCCUCUACCACGACACGUGCGCACCUCUACAUCCACCAGUAUAUAUGUACGUACACGUUCGCAACCAGAAUGACAAUGCUACGUACGCUUCGACCAGGUGGGUCCCGAUUGUCAGGCACUUCCUUGCCUGCGAAGAUGUAGCUGGUGGGUCCCAGCAGUCAGGGGGGCGAAUCGUUUUUUUGCCCGGACGCACUUCCUUGCGUGUGAAGAUGUAGCUGGUGGGUCCCAAUAGUCAGGGGCCAACGUUUUUUUCGCAAAAUACGGUGGCCCGUCAGGUGGGUCCCCGCUGUUAGGUGGAGGAAUAAUUAUUUUGCACGUAAUAAGGAGGCACUUCCUUGCUACGGCCGUGGACCCAGCUGUCAGCCUCUCCACGUACAGUCCACGUCCGAUGGAAGCCGUUCCUUGACCACGUUGACCACGCCGCGCCGAGAGCACCAGGGCGGUGGACGACGGGGAGGCCUAGGAAGGGGACGAGCGGAGCGGGGGAAGACGCGGCAGUGGAUGCCCACGCGUAGAGGAGUACGAGGGUUCACUGGUUCGCUACGGUGUGAGGCUGCCGUCGCCGCAGAAUAACAGGGGGUGUGGGUGAGUAGAGGGAUGGCCUGGCCAGCGGUGGGAGUAGUAGGGGCGGUGAGGCCUCCGCCGCAUCGCAGCUGGCCACGGGAGGCAGGAGCACGAGGCACGACCGGCGCUGGUUUGGGCGGCUGGAGCAAGAAGACCAGAGGUUGAAGAAGCACUACGGCCGUUGGAUGGACAUCGUACGGUCACUAGAGCUAGAAUCGUGCAUAUUGACUAAGUUGACAAAGCCCUCCGUCCCCGUCAACUUAGUAGGCCCACAAGUCAGCCUGCCACUAUACUGGGUCCCAUCUAACAGGGGGAGUAUUCAUUUUUUUGUGCGUAAUAAGGAGGCACUUCCUUGCGUGCGAAGAUAUAGCUGGUGUGUCCAAGCUGUCAGCGGCGGUAACGUUUUUUUCGCGAAAUACAGAGGCCCUUUCGGUGGGUUCCUGAUGUCAGGUGGAGGAAUCAUUAUUUUACGCGUAAUAAGGAGGCAUUUUCUUGCGUGCGGCCGUGGACCCAGCUGUCGGCCUCUCCACGUACAGUCCACUUCAGAUGCAUGUCGGUCGUUGACCACAUUGACCAGGCCGCGCCGAGAGCACCAGGGCGGUGGAUGACGGCGAGGCCUAGGAAGGGAAUAACACGGAGGCAAGGAAGACUCGGCAGUUGUUUCCCACACGGAGGGGAGUACGACUGUACGAGGGUUUACUGGUUCGUCUGCCGUCGCCGGAGAAUAACAGCAGGUGUGGGUGAGUAGAGGGAUGGCUAGGCCAGCGAUGGGAGUACGGUGGGGCGGUGAGGCCUGCGCGGCAGCAGAGCCGGCCGCGGGGAGGAGGGAGCAGGCAGUCCCGCCGGCGCUUGUUUGAGCGGCUGGAGCAGGAAGAGCAGAGAUUGAAGAAGCACGACGGCCGUUGGAUGGCCAUCCAACAGUCACUGCUUGUGCGUCAACCUUUUUUUUAGGAAAGCCUCAAAUCUGUGGAAAACAACAUACAACCCAUCUGCCAUUAUUUCUAAUAAUUUACAGCCCAUUUGCUAAUUAUUAAGGUUUUUUGGAGCCCAUAUUCUUUUUGUUAGCAUUAUAGCCCAUAUUGUGGCCACGGUUAAAAAAUUAUACGAAAUUUUGCAUAUUUCGGUGCGGUCCGAACUGUUUUUAAUCCCGAAAUUUCGACUCACAUUCAAACUGAUUUUAAAAAUAAAUGUAUAUCAAUAUAGAAUCCAACAAAUUCUCCACGCAUAAAAAUUAAUGUAAUUUAAAAUCUCGAAAUGCAAAAAAGAUAUUUGAAACUAAUUGCCGGUUUGAUGUGUUUUAAAAAUGUACAACCCAUUUCUCAUUACUGAUGGGCCAUUUUCUCGGCCAGCCGAAUGAAAGCUCUCCUCGUCUUGAAAGAUUUGCAGCCCAACUGGCCUGACAAAGCGACUUACUUGGCAAAUCACAAAAAAACUGGGCUGUGGCCGUGGACCUAGCUGUCAGCCUCUCCACGUACAGUACUCUUCCGAUGGAAGUCGUUCCUUGACCAUGUUGACCACGCCGCGCGGAGAGCACCACGGCGGUGGAUGACGACGAGGCCUAGGAAGGGGACGACGCGGAGCCGGGGAAGACGCGGCAGUGGAAGCCCGCGCGGAGAGGAGUACGAGGGUUCACUAGUUCGGCUGUGGUGUGAGGCUGCCGUCGCCGCAGGGCCUGGCCAGCGGUAGGAAUAGUAGGGGGCGGUGAGGCCUCCGCGGAAGCACAACCGGCCACGGGAGGCAGGAGCAUGCGGCACGAUCGGCGCUGCUUUGGGCGGCUGGAGCAAGAAGACCAGAGGUUGAAGAAGCACUACGGCUGUUGGAUGGACAUCGUACGGUCACUGGAGCUAGAAUCGUUCAUAUUGACUAAGUUGACAAAGCCCUUCGUCCCCGUCAACUUAGUAGGCCCACAAGUCAGCCUCCCACCAAGGUGGGUCCCAACUAGCCGGGGGAGUAUUCAUUUUUUUGUGCGUAAUAAGGAGGCACUUCCGGUGGGUCCGAGCUGACAGCGGGGGGAACAUUUUUUUCACGAAAUACGGUGGCCCGUCAGGUGGGUCCCAGCAGUCAGGGGGCAAACAUUUUUUUUGCAAAAUACAGUGGCCCGUCCAGUGGGUCCCUGCUGUUAGUUGGAGGAAUCAUUAUUUUCCGCGUAAUAAGGAGGCACUUACUUGCUGCGGCCGUGGACCCAGCUGAGACUCUCCACGUAUAGUAUACUUCCGAUGGAAGUCGUUCCUUGACCAUGUUGACCUCGCCGCGUUCCGUUGCAUGCAUGCGUCCAUGGGCGUGGUGCGUCCCCACUGUCAGCCUCUCACGUACAGUCAUCUUCCGAUGACUCUCGGUUGUUGACCACGUUGACCACACCGUGCCGAGCGCACCCAGACUGGAACGACCCGGAGAUGGGGAAGAUGGGGCAGUGGAGUCGCAUAUGGAGAGGAGUGGGAAACUUCACUGGUUCGGGUGCGCGGCAGCACAGCCGCGGUGCCGCCCACGGGAGACAGGAGCAAGAACAGAGGUUGAAGAAGGAGCACGGCUGUUGGAUUAACAUCCAACGGUCUAGCUGCUAGAAUCAUUUGUUGAUUAAGUUGACAAAGCCGUGCGUACACGUCCGCUUAGUAGGCCCACAAGUCAGUCACCAAAUCUGACGGGUCCCAGCUGUCAACGGGAUGAAUAUUUUUUUCGCAAAACAAGGAGGCACUUCCUUCCGUGCGAAGAUAUAGCCGAUGGGUCCCAGCUGUCAGGUGGAGAAAUAAUUUUUUUUGCAAAACAAGGAGGUCCCUCCUGUAGCUGGUUCGAAUCCAAACCUAGACUAUGACUAUAUAUGGUGCUAUGCUACUCUGCAAGUAAUGAAACUGACAUAUCCAAUGUUCGCUUCUCCUCUUCUCUACUUACUCUGCCUAGCAUCAGAAGCUCUGGCUGCAGCAACCAUGUCCGCUGGCUGCUCGUCCACCUGCUCUUCAGCAGGCAACAACCAGAUAUGCGCGAAGUCGGCACCCGUACCAUCGCCCGUGGGUCUCAUCACACCCCCGCUGGCACGCGCACCGCAGCUGAUUGCUCAUCGCAACCCGCUGCCGUUGGUGUGGUGCCACUGCUGCAAAUCACGCAGAGUCAUCCGUCGCGUCUCAACCACAAUCCGCAACCCUGGCCGAGUCUUCUACAAAUGCCCGAAUCAUGGGGUAAUAAUAUGUUUAAGUGUUGUUCUGCUGCUUUCAGUUGCUAAUUUUUUUAAUAGUUUGGUUGAUGAUCUUCCAAUUUGAUUCAUGCAGAAAAGGGAAGAUUCGUGUGAUUUGUAUUUCUGGGAAGUUGCUGAUGUGGGGGAAUGCAACUACGCUGAUUAUUUGGUUAGCCGAGGAAUCCCAAUACCAGCAGGUUGGGGUGUUGGACAAGUAACUGAAGGAACGGCAGAAGAGGAAGAUGCAGAGCAGAAAGUUAAAGAUGCAGUUCCUCUGAUAAUGGCCAAGCAAUAGCUGUUGAACGGCCUUGACAACAAUGAGGAGAUGAAAGAGCUUGUGAAGAUAAUGGGCAAAAUCGAUGUGCUCUGUAGGAUGAUUGUCUCUUUAUUUGCAGUGUAUGUAGCACUCGUGAUGUAUUCAGUGGCUACGACAUGAGCACUUUGCUGAAAGUAGUAAUGAAUGAAACCUAUGUAGCAGGCUGGGCGUAGUGUUGUGAACAUCUAAUGAUUUUUAUUAACGGAAAUCGGGGGUAUCCCCUUUUGCUCAUAUAAAUAAAUAAAUAGCAGAGGCCCUGUCGGGUCAGCUUUGUUCUCAUUCGAAGACGUCGAGCAAAUUGCAGUCCAACAGCAAACUAUGUCAUCAAAUUCAAGUUUCACAGCCAAAUAUGAGUACAACUAAACAACAAUGUCAUCAUGUUUUAGUGGUCAUACAAUCACCAAACACAAAUCAGCAUACAUAACAAGUGAUGUUCUCACAGCAAAAUACUAAACAACAUGUUCAUCAGGUUUCAGUUGUCAUAGCAAACACAAUUUCACAUAGUAGAUAAAAAACGUCUUCUGACAGGCAAAUACGACAAAAGCAAUGUAAUCAUCAUCCGCAGCAGCAGCGUCAACAUCUUCGCCAUGUGUAUCAGUCUGAAUCGUAAUUCCCCACGGUGUCAUCUUCUUCUUCGUCCUCAACGUCCUCGAACGUUGGCUUCUUCAUGAUCAACUGUUGUAUGUCCACAACACGACAGGCAAUCUUUUCGCCGGCGUCAUUGACGUGAUGGUUCUCAAAGACAUUAGGAACAUCUGUGUUAUCUUGUACAUCAGGAGCAGUGUAAGCAUCAUCUUGUUGUGCAACUUCAUUAAACGAAUUCCUCUGCUCAAACCUUUGCAAUACUCUCUAGUCAUCGCUACGUGCAAAUGUGUCUUCCAAGAAAAAUAUCUGUGUUGCUUGAUUUGCCAAAAUAAAAGGCUCGUUGGUCUGGUACGCCGCCUUGACAUUGAUGGAAUUGAAAUAAUCAUCAGCUCUCGGUUUUGCGAUCCUGGAAAACAGGUUAUACCAACGACAGCACAACAGAACCACACACCGAUGAUCCUCGAAACUGGAGAUAUACUGCAACUGAACAAUGUCUGUUAUGUUAGCAUACAUUUCAGUUGUCUCUUUGUCAUACGUAUCCGUGCUCAUGAUGGCACUAUUUUGUGUCUUCCUGCCUUCGUCUCAUGCAAGGGUGUUGUAGCGCACAUCUCCAACAACGUAAGAUUCAUAAUGUCUUACCCGAGUAUCAGGACCCAUUGCUAGUGAGUAAAGGGCAUCAUCAACUGCCUGCCCAUCCUCCCGCAUCUUCUUAACCUAUGGUUAGAAAAUAGACAAGCUGAUCAUCUUAUGUACUCAAUAUAUUAAAAAAACUGACAGUGCACUUCAAAAGCUUACAUGGUUCUUGAACCAUUUCGCAAAUCCUACCAUAACUAGUUUGUCAAUGUUUCUUGGAUUUUGCGGCAGUAACUCCUCUUUGUAGAUGCUACACAACAUAGUGAUUGCGUCAAACAUCUAAAUAUAUAAGAAUGUGCUGCAAGUUUAGUAGAUUAUGAUGUAUAAGCUGCAGUACUGCACUUACUUGAUAUAAGGUAGUAUCUCAGGACAGUUAUUCAACACAUACCAAACCAUUUUUUCCAAAUCUUUAGGUUUGUCCUCUUGUCGACUCUUCCCUGUAACUCGAACAGAAUAAUCGAAAACAUUGAGCCCGGGAUUGUCUUCACCCACCUCUUUGCUAAGCUGAUCAGCUGUUUCAAUGUAUUUUGAGCAGAAUGUCAACGCUUAUGUAGCAAUGUAGGCCUCUGCAAUGGAACCCUCGGGUCUAGCUCUGUUCCUAACAUAGCCCUUGAAAGUGCCUAGCCGCCUUUCAAUAGGGUACAUCCAGCCAUACUGUACUGGACCUCUAAGUAGUGCCUCAUCAGGUAGAUGAACAGCCAAAUGCACCAUCACAUCAAAGAAGGCUGGAGGAUAUAUCUUCUCAAGGUCGCAUAGGAUAGUUGGUAUCUUGUCUCUAAGACGCUCCAAGCUUCUAUCCUGAUAUUCCUACUGCGGAGUUCCCUGAAGAAUUGUCCCAACUCUGCAACUGCUCUGUAUAAGUCAGGACGGCCCAAUCCUCUAAGGAUAACAGGUAAAACCCUUUGAAGUAGGACGUGGCAGUCAUGAGUUUUCAACCCUUGUACCCUGUUUCCAUCUGCACCGACUCUCCUUUCAGGGUUGGAAGCAAAUCCAUGUGGGAAUCUCACACGUGACAGGACCUCGCAGAAUUCUUUUCUUUUUACCUUGUCCAAGACAUACACAGCUGGUGCCAUAUCCCGUGGUUUACCUUCAUCUUGCACCUGCAAAUCCUUUCUGAUACCCAGGUGUGUCAAAUCAAUCCUAGAUUUUAAGGUAUCUUUCGUCUUGCCUUCAAUAUUAAGAAGUGUGCCGAUAAUGCUGUCACAUAUAUUUUUCUCGAUGUGCAUCACAUCAAGAUUAUGCCGCAGAUCCAAAUCUUUCCAAUACUCCAAGUCCCACAAAGUGGACCUGCGGGUAAACAAUAAUCUCUCUUCUACCCUGGCACGCUUCCUUUUCCCGCUACCAUUACCAGGAUGGUUUCCUGGUGUAAUAUGCCUGACCUUCUCUAAUUCCACUUGCAACUCAUCGGCGGUGAGCCUCUUUGGCGCAUCACGGUUUUCAUGCUUUGCAUUGAACACAUGUCUUCGGUAUUUUCUAGGAUGCGGCUUGUCCUUGGCAAGGAAACGGCGGUGUCCAAUGUAACAGAUCUUGCUAAGUAUUGCGUAUGAUAGCGGAUUCCUAUCACAGCGAACACAUGCAUUGUAACCAUGUGUCGUUCGCCCUGACAUAGUGCCCAAAGCCGGAUAAUCAUGAAUGCACCAAAUUAUAACAGCGCGCAGAAAGAAAUCAGCUGGUGGGCUGCUAUAUAGGUCUCGAGUGAGAACACCCUUCCAUAGCUGUUGAAGUUCCUCCACAAGAGGCUCCAUGAACAAAUCAAAAUCCUUUCCAGGACUUUUUGGACCUGGGAUGAGCAAGGCCAUCAUGUAGUUUGAUUCUUUGGUGCAGACAUUUGGAGGCAUGUUGUAAGCAAUAACAAGCACUGGCCACAUGCUAUAUGUGGCGCUCUGGUGGCCAAAUGGGUUAAAUCCAUCUGAAGCUAAGCCAAGUCUAAUGUGUCCCAGGUCAGCAACAAACUCUUUGUGUUUAUCAUUGAAGCUUUUCCACUCACUACCAUGAGAUGGAUGGCUCAUUACAUUCUGAUCUUUGUACUCCUGGUUCCUAGAAUGCCACAGUACACCCUCUCUUGUUUCAGCAUCAUGAAACAACCUCUGCAAUCUUGGUAUAAUUGGAAAAUGUCUCAGAACAUUAUGAGGAAUCCUCUUCACAGCAUCGCCAUCUUUCCAUCUUGAUGAUUUGCAUUUCGGGCAUUCACUUAAGUUGGCAUAAUCCUUCCGGAAUAGAACACAAUUAUUCUUACAAACAUGGAUCAUAUCAUAUCCAAUUCCAACUGCACGAAGGAAAUUCUUCAUUUUACUGUAGGUGUGUGGCAGCUCAGACGCAUCUGGGAAAGAUUCGCGGAAAGCAGCCAACAUCGCAUCGAAUGAUUUGUUGGUCAUCCGCUCAGAUGUAUUCACCUGAAGAAAGGUGACCAUAGCUGAGAAUACUGACAGCUUAUUUCCUGGGGUGACAGCAACGUUGCAUUGUUCCAACAUGCGGGCCCACCGUUUUUCUUCUGCAGGUGAAAGUUCACGGAAUGCACGAGCAUUUCCUAGCAUUGUUUCAAUGUUGGUCAAACUCACUGGCUCCGCCACCACCACCACCUCCUCCUCUUCCACCUGAGCAUCAGGCAGAUCAAGAUGGUGAUCUGCUGCUUCCACGUAGCCAAUAACAUUGACGUUCACAGCUUCACCAUGAUGAACCCACCUAGUAUAUGUGACCGACAUCCCAUACAAGUGUAGAUGAUUUUGCACAGUUGACUGGGGUCUUGUAACUGAAUUCAUACAACUGCUACACGGGCAGAGCACAUCUGAUUUUGGACCACCGUACUCAGCUCUGAUAAAGUUCAUGAAGUUUUCAACCCCCUCGACAUAUGCAGUGGAGAAUCUUCAAGCAGAAGUUAUCCAAGCCCUGUCCAUCUGUUAGACAUACAAAUUAGUUUUUCUACUAGAUAUUACAGGAAACACAUAUAUGCUUUUUUAUGAAGUCCAGAAAAAAAAAUACCUAGGUCGAUGUCUAAAGCUAUGGUAAGAUAUUUGGACGAGCAGAUCUAAGUAACGAAAUAUAUGUAAAGCUAAUUCAGCAAACAGAUUUGAGUGCCAAAUUAUGGCAGGCUGUUCAGCAGUCAAUGAGGCCGAGCACACAGUCAUCGAACUAUCGAAGGCCAUCGCAACAACAAAGAUCGAGUAUAAAACGGUGUAGAGCUAUUUCACCUAACAGAUUGGCUACUAGACCAUGGCAAUCUACGUCACAAUAAAUAUAUGGCAGGAUAUUUUAGCAACUAAUCGGCCUUGGCAUGCCAUCUCAGCUAAGCAGAUUGAGUGCAGAACAUGGCAAGGAAGCUUCUUAAGCAGAGCAUAUUGACAGUAAACUACUUCGGCAAAUAGUGAGAUUAACAGCGUCUAUCAGCUAACAUUCAGCGCUACACCGACAUGAACGGGGCCUCAGUCUAGAAUGCGCGUACCGUGGGAGAAGCCGACCGCCGUGCGUCUCGACACGAACAUCGCCAGCGGUGGCGGCGCUGACCGCCGUGCGCCUCCACAAGAACGUAGCCAGAGGUGGCGGCGCGGCUAGUGGACGGCAGUCUACGAGAGCGUACUAGGGAGCGAGAGGAUCGCCGAACCGCGGCGCCGACGUAUUGGCACGGCGGGGAGGGCGGCUUUGGCGGAGCGAAUGGAGUGGAGGGGGACAAGGGGGGAGGGUGGUUUGGGGAAUAUUAUUGGCUAGUUGGCCGAAGGGCGGUUGAAUCGGAUUUGGGGGGAAUUUUUGGGUGUGUGGGGGGGGGGAGGAGUUUCGCGCGGUGGGCGGGGGGAGUUUGGCGCAUGGUCGGUUUCUCCAAGUGCAGUCUCACGUGUCAGUGAAGAGGCAAGCCGAAGCGCGUUCCGUUUGCGUGAGCCGUGUGCAGGACCGAACGUGUGUGGGGAGCAAUGCGACCGCGACAGGAGUGCUGUGAGUGUACCGCCUUUUUUCCUUUUAAACUAGGUGCUUCGCCCCCUCAAUUUUUUUUUGUUGCUUCGCGCGAUCCAUCGAUACUACUACUAGUAAUCCGGUAAUCCCGACUAAAACUGCGCGGCCGGGUCUUUUCCCGUGCGAUAUGCUGGGAGGUUGGCUUAGUUGGGGUUUUUAGGACGAGUAACACUACACCUACGUAAUCCCAGUUACGUAAUUAACGUAAUGUGAAACGUGUGAGAUGUUGAUUGUAGAUUGGGGGGAGGGAGGGGCCCACCACCAUGAAAAUCAGGGGAGGAGAGAGAGAGAGAGGCAAUUUACGUUAACCCUUUCGUAGGUUCCCGUAGAUGUAGAAAGAUGUGAAAUGCGUGAAUGUGUAGUGGACGUACUAUUGGAGUGCCUAAGAUAAUUUGUGUAUGUAUAGACCCUAUGUGUUUAUUUUACUUCGCAUGUUAGAUUUGUCUCGGUUCAAUAAAAAGCAGAGUUGGUGAUGAUGGUGUGCCUGUCAUCCUGCAAUAUAGGCCGUCCGAUCUAUAUCUAACGGAUAGGAAGGAAACUAUGACAAUUUACCCGCACUCCUCUCCACAUUUGCAGAUAAGGCGUUCCCUCGUUCAUCCUUUUCUCCCACAAGAUCUUGAUCUUCCGUGCAACGCACGGGCAUCUUGCUAGUACUCCUACAAUAUGUAUAUUAUUGUGAAAGUUCAUAUACACCGGCCGAGAUUAAUGCAAACACGGUAGAUUUUCAUUACAUUUCGAACUUUUAUAGGACAGAAAAAUAAAAGAAACCCGACCCUAAACCUAUUCUACGGCGGCGACCGACGUCCUCCAUCUGCGAUCUCUAUGUAUGGGGGCGGGGUUCAAGACCCGUGAAGUGAAGGUGCGGUCUCCGGAGAGGAAGAGUAGAACACGGGAUACGGACCAGCCAGUUGGCACACCAUGCCCUGCCGCCUCCCAUGCCCUACUCAUCCUCGGAGGAGUCCCCGACCUCGGCGGUGCCGGACGUUGGACGGCGGCAAGUAGGACGCGUGGCUGACGGUGCUCCCGUCGUCGGCCGCCAGCGUGGCCACCGCUUGUGCGGUCGCGUCCGCGUCCGGCUACGCCGCUAUUGCGUCGCGAGAGGCGACUUGAGCGAGGGCGGCGACCUCGAGCUUCAUCCCGAAGACAAGCUCUCCCGCAGAGCGUUCGCACUUGCGGUCAUGGCGGAUGUGGUGCCAGGUAGGAGGACGAUGUGCUAUGGUGUGGAGGUUAGCUGGGCGUUGCCGCUUUAAGUAGCGCAUUCUGGUGAGGCCAAGUGUCCGGGUGCGUCAUUAAGUCACCGGAGUUGGUUCCUCGGGCACCGAGCCUCUUAACGACGACAUACGAACGGACGUCAUGAAUGCGGGCAGCUGGCGCCGGCUGGGAACGCACCACGCGACGUCGCGAGGGACGAGGGUUUUGGUGUGCCAGGGUAGUCAGCUGCGGUCGUGGCAACGUUGGAGAUGCCCUUUGCUCACAUGCGAUCCCCGCAUGUCAUUGAAAAAGCAAGACGACCCGGCAUGGUCUCAGGUCCAGAGGAUACAGUUGGCCGCGCUACACCACUCCGCGGACGCGUCGCGGCGCCCCGUGCAUCCUCGACGAGCCGGGUGUUGGGGUGUGUUUGGAUUGUGGCCAAAGUGCACCUUACCAAAAUUUUGGUCAUGACCCAAAGAUUGGUCUUUGUUUGGAUGGUUGCCAUUUUUUUGGCAUGCCAAUGAACUCUAGCCAACUAUAGUUCAUUUUUCUUGCCAAUGUCGGCCAAAUCAUGGGCAACCAAUACCUCAACCAAAAUUUUGGUCAUGACCCAAAGAUUGGUCUUUGUUUGGAUGGUUGCCAUUUCUUUGGCAUGCCAAUGAACUCUAGCCAACUCUAGUUCAUUUUUCUUGCCAAUGUCGGCUAAAUCAUGGGCAACCAAUACCUCAACCAAAAUUUUGGCUACCCAAUGCUUUGAUGGGGCAACCUUGGGCACAAACCAAACAUACUGUUGGUCGUGCCACAGCACUAACGCCACCCUUGGCACACUGAAACCGACCGUGUCUUGCGACGAUAUGAGCGUGUCGCUCACCGCGGUCGCCGUGUCCAGAGGCGGUGCUGGAGCUGCACCCCAUUGUUGGCCCCAACGACCCACAUGAACGGUUGUCGAUGGCGAGGAGGUCGUGGGCCAGCUCCUCCAUUGGACUAGUCUGCGCUACGUCGUCCCGACGGGUGUGCCCCACAUGUCGGUUUCCCUGUUUUCCCGGCCAUAUUCGAGCGUCAGUGCUCCGCGUUGCGCAUUAGGCCUUUCACUAUGUAGGCCAAGCGAGACAACUUAUUGUUUAUUUGAGCCAUUCAAGUAUAAUCAUGUGGCGUUUGCUUAUUUCUCAUUCCUCUCCGACCCUCUUCUCCAUCGAUCAUGUCGCCCUCCAGUCGAGUCCAUCCUCCCGCAUGCCUCAUUUGAACGUUCCGCCGAGUAUCAUUCGCAUGUACCCACCCUAGUCCUCUUUCAAUAGAUGUCCAGACCCCGAGAUGAAAUCGAGAGGGAACGAGUGGGGGCACGUGAUACCUAAGGCGGAUUCAAAAUUUUGAACCGGUGAUCAUAGCAUCCGCAAAUCAUAUAUAAAGGGUAUUCAAUGGUCGUUUCAUUUUUGAACGUACAAUAUACUCCCCCUAUCCUUUCUAGUUUACAUAUAAGUUUUAUGUGUAGUCAAAGUAUCUCUACUUUGAUAAAAAAGGUAUCAACAUUCAACAACGCCCAAUCAAUAUUGUUAGAUUCGUACGUACUCCUAGAUUUGUACUCGAGAUGGUUUCCAAUUUGACUAUUGACAAGAUUAAUAGUACAUGAGAUGUAUAAUGUGAAAAUUAUAUCAUUGGAAACUCCUUUCACAUACGAAUUUGACCGUAUGCUUUGUGUAAGUUGCAUGUCAUAUAUUACUCUAACAUUUGGUCAAAGUUAGCCUCGAAAAACGCAUUAGACCCUGUAUGCUUUGUGUAAGUUGCAUGUCAUAUAUUAUUACUCUAACAUUUGUGUAAGUUGCAUGUCAUAUAUUGUUACUCUAACAUUUGGUCAAAGUAGUAUAGUGGAAGUGGAUCCUCUGACGUAGGUAUCCCUGCCUUACCCUCCCUUUCGGUCACUUACUGGCGGACCCCAUGCUUGCUAGGCCCCGCAUGUCAGUUACUCAAUGGGUUCGGCCACGUUAGGGGAUCCUCAUCCGUAGUAUACUCCCUCUGUUUUUAUUUACUCCGCAUAAAACGGAGGGAGUGGUGGUAUAAUAAAUGACGCGGGCGGGGGAGGGGGAGGGACGUCGGUUUGCUCUCAACUGCGGUCCCACAAGCGAGCGAAAACGCAAGAUGAAGCGCGUUCCAUUCAGUGAGCGACGUGGAGGGUCCAGCGUGCCGGGCUGCAACGCGAACGCGACAAGAGCAAUGUACAGUCAAAACCGAUUGACCGGUCGUCACCGGAACCACUAUUCACACCAGAACCUUCGCUGCUCGGCCUACGCCAGCAACUGCCCUAAAACAACACCAAAUCUCCAGCCCAUUCCCCCACCUUUCGAUCCCCUAGCCCGCAUCAAGCGCCCCCUAGUUCACCGGAAAGCCAUGGUGCGCCGCAAGAUCACUUACUACAAGAUGCUGACGCCGGAGCGCCGCGCAGAAAUCGCGGUGGCGGUCGGCGCCACAGACCUCCGUUCCCAAGCUCGCUUUGCGGCGGGCCAAUCCCCGAGUUCUCUGGAGCCAAGCUACGAGGAGGAGGAAGCCGAUCCAAUGUUCAUGGCGGAGGUCGCGGCGCAGAAGGCCCCCGAUGGGUAUGAGACGAUGGACGUCGACUUCGUGCCGGCGUCCGAGUCCCCCAUGGUGCAGGCGGACCAGCGGUUCAACAUGGCGAUACUAAAGGAGGACCGGGAGGCAGAGGCUCAACUCGACGCGGAGCACGCGCAUGCCGCUGCCAUCGAGGCUCUCCUGCAGGCGGAACCGGAUGUCGUGGAUGUGAACCGGGCGGCGGAGGCUCAACUUGAGGCGGAGCGCGCAGAUGCCGCUGCCAUCGAGGCCCUCCUGCAGGCGGAACCGGACGUCCUGGACUUGAACCGGGCCACAGAGGCUCGACUCGACGCAGAGCGCGCGGAUGCCGCUCUCAUCGACGCCCUCCUAUAGGCGGAACCGGACGUCCUGGACUUGAACCGGGCGGCGGAGGCUCGACUCGACGCGGAGCGCGCGGAUGCCGCUGCCAUCGAGGCCUUCCCGCAGGCGGAACCGGACGUCCUCGACUUGAACCGGGCUGUGCUCUCGUCCGUGCAGAGCGCCCGCACGCUCCGCUUGAACGAGUAGCUGGAGGCCGAGGACAACCACGGUGCGAAGACACACGUCGGCAGCGACGGCUGGUUCGCGCCGGCAGCCAAAGACGACGAGGCCGUCUCUUUCCGCAAGCAGUGAUAGUUUUUCUUUAUGUUGUUGUUUUUAUGGAUCUUUUGCUGUGUAAAAACAUAUAUUUGUUAUGUAAGUCGCCUGACUUGGGUCAGUCUACCAUUUCAGGCGGUUGGAUGAAUAUCCUACGUCUCCUAACCCUUCUUUCCUUCUUCCUCACCUCUUCUUCUUCCCCAACAGACCACCGCACGGGCCGUACGGAUACUCCCCAACAUGCGGUUGGAUAAACAUACUCUAUGAACGAAAAUUAUGUGUCAGCGAUAGGAUGGCUGAGUUUGGUUUGUUCACAUGCGACAGCACAUGUCAGUGAGGGUGCGUUCCCUUGGCUGGGUUUGCGGCGUGCAGGAGCGACUGUGGAGGGUGCGGUGCGACCGCGGAGUGCAGGAGCGACCGUGUGAGGGUGCGGUGCGACCGCGAUAGCCGUGCGCAAGUGUACCUCCUUCUCAUUUUGAAAACUUUAGGCAAGCUUGGCAAAAAUGUGUGGCGAAGUUUGGCAAUGCAAGGCCUAGACCCAAACAGGAUAAGUACGUACGUACUAGGAGUACUAGUGUUAAAAAAGAAAGGCGGGGUUUUCCUUCGCGGGAUUUAAUCGAUUCAAAUCCUCGUUUCACGUGUAAAUUAAUGCGUAUUUUUUCCUCCAAAGACCAAAGAGCUAACCAUCUCACUCCUCAUCGCUUGAUUAAUGCAGCGCCAUGCAAACCAACCUUCUCACUUCCGCAUGCAUGCAGGGGAUAUUAAUGUCCUUGGUUGCUAACCCCAUCAAUUUUGCCUCGAUUAGUGUUAGUGGCCCUUUCCAAAUUGUAAUUUUGAUAUACUGACCUUGUGGACAAAAAAAUGGAGGUAGUAACUAUAUUUGACUUCCUUCCCCAUUGCGGUGACAUCGACGAUAUCUUUUUUUGGUGGUUUGGCGAAGUGCGUUCGAUGGAGAACACCAUUGAGGGAGACCAUGGUAAGUCGUUCGCAAGUGCCGCCUGCAAGCUGAGACAACCGCCUUAUUUGCAUCCAGGAAGUCCUUUACUAGUACUACUAGGAGUACUAGUGUGGUGAGAUGGUUUCUCGAAGAAGACGAUGGAGAAGCGGAGUCAUCGAAGAGUGAAAUGAUGGUUGCUUCGUCCGUGCUUUUGUGAUUUGACACCUCACUGCUUUGUGAUUUGUGAUAGAAGGGACGGGGGAGUAGACUCUGUGCUCUAUACUGUACUACAUGCGUCCAAGCAUGGGAGAAAGAGGAGAGACGUUGCAUUUUUCUAUAGCUUCAAUCAAUCAAUCAGGGAGCUUCGGUUCCAUCUUUUUGGCUUUGGCAACACCGUCCACAAUGGUUCCCACGAUGCCAAAAGCUAUUUUCACAUUUGGCUACACAUUGUGGAUGCCCUUAACCGUACCACUUGGUUUUGCUCCUGUGUGCUAUCUGUACAAAUCUCAAUUAUAUUGAUCUAAAAAUUAUAGAAUCAAGAUUAGUAAAAAGGAGGUGAUUUUGCCACGCGGAUGGCGGGGGAGGUUUCUACUUUGAGCAAUGCUACAUCCACGUAAUGGUUUACGUAAAGUUACGAACUGAUAUGAUGUGGGACUAUUUGAUUGGAUUAAAGGAGAGGAUUAGGCCCACCCCACCUGAAAAUCAGGGGGGCAUAUAUAGAUUAGAUGGAAAGUAUACGUAGCAGCUACGUAGCCCUUUGUAAGUCUAGGAUUAGGCUUCUUAUUUUCGGAGGACGUUGUCCUGGCGGUUUGCUAACAUGCGGUCCCACGUGUCAGUGCUUUACCAAGCCGAUCCGCGUCCCACAUGAGGCAGAACAACGGCAGAAGCAACACGUGGUUAAGUUGAAGAAGAUGAGGGAGAAGCGGAGUCAGCAACGAGUGAAAUGAUGGUUGCUUCGUCCCUCCAACUUAACUGCGGGAAAGGUGCAGCUUGUGAUUUGAUGCCUCAUUGCUCAUUACUACGCCGGCGCCAUGACUGGGGUGCUUCACCCCGGCUGCUCUGCACUGUAUUCCGGUAUGGCACGUGGACCCGGUAGCUUGAUGUCCCACAUGUCGGCGAAAGGGACUAGAAGAUUUAUGAAAGCGAGCGCUCCACUCUUACGACGGAGGAGUAGACGACACGACGGCCCAGUGAACUGUCACUUGUAGUACUGUAUAGUACUAUAGUUUUGCUGUUUCGCACGAUCCAUCGAUACAAACCCGAUUAAACAGGAAAGGGCGGGAUUUUUCCCGCGCGGUAGAUGAUACUGGCCAUACAUUUCAAAGGCAAUUUUAAUGUAUGCAAACUGAAUAAUUAUAAGUAACAAUAUGAUAUCUAGUAAAACUAAAAACACAUAUGAUUUAUUGUGUUAGAGUGUAGUAGUAGUGCUGUAUUGCAUAGUUGUUAGAUGUAACAUGCGAGAAGGUGUAGAGAUGUAGUUUUGGAGGGCCUAUAGAGAGAAAAGCGUAAUACGGUCACCGAACUUCAGAAUAAGCUGAUUACGGUCACUAUAUACGUUUUGCGGUGAUUAUACGGUCACUUGCUCACAGUUCAGCAUCGGAUUGCAUUCUGUUGACCGGCCAAAUAGUCUGCGUGGCGCCAUGUUGACUAGUUAAAUUGACCACGUUCCUUGUGGGUCCCACCUGUCAGUUCGCAUAGGCAAAAGGUCAGAUAAACACAAAUUUACGCAGGCGCGACAAGGCUCCAACCCGUGCGCGGGAAUCACCUGGUUGUGUAUGUGUCUGUCAGGGCCUGAUGUGUGCGCAUGCACAUGUAGGUUGAGCACUUGAGCGUGAGAGUGUGUGUUGGUCGUGUGGUGUACUGGUGUGUGCAUGCAUGCGUGCGUGUGUGCGUGUGAGUGUUUCGUGCGUGCGUGUGAGUGUUGCGUGCGUGCGUGGCUGCAUGUGUACGUGUGAGUGUUGCGUGCGUGCGUGGGUGCAUGUGUUUGUGUGAGUGUUGCGUGGAUGCAGUUCGUGUGCAUGCGUGCGUGUGUGUAUAAUCACCACACCAGCUCCUGUGUGUUACAACCGACGGCUCAGCAUACCAAUACAAGGCCACCUUGUCCGCUGUGCCCGCGGUCAUGACUUCGAACCACCGUCCAAAUAUUUUUUAGUCGUUUGUUUUCAUUCUUACUAGCAAGAUGCCCGUGCGUUGCACGUAACAUCAAGAUGCAUUUGUAUGACUUGUUUAUCUUGUGAGAGAAAAGGAUGAACGAGGGAAGGCCUUAUUUGCAAAUGUGGAGAGGUGUGUGGGUACCUUUUUGCAAAAUUGCCAUAGUUUCUUUCCUAUCCGUCAGAUAUAAAUCGAACGGCCUAUAUUGCAGGAUGGCAGGCACACCAUCAUCACCAACUUUGUUUUUCAUAAGAGUGUAUUUUAUGUAUUUUAUAAGAGUGUAGAUGUAGAGUAGAUACAAGUCGACAGGUGGGCACGAUGGUAGUGAGAUAAUGUGAUGCAACACUAGAGGUGCCACGUGGAGCGUUUAACUGGUCAACUAGUCAUGUCAUGAGCAAAUACAGAGUUGUACCGUGAGCCCGUGACUGUAUAAUAACCACUAAACGUAAAUGGUGACCGUAAUGAGUGGAUUCUGAAGUCCAAUGUAUGUAUCGUGCUUUCGCUUCAAAUACAAUGAUCGUCAUUGCAUAUAUCGCGAGAGAAAGAUGAAACAUGCGUGAAUUUUCUAGGGGCUUACUUUUAGAGGACCUGGAGAUAGUUUUGUGUGCAUACGUGAAAGGGGCGUACAGGGGGGGUAUGCGAUGAAGAGAGAGAUGCUCUUCGUUUCUCUUUAUUAUGACUAACUUUGUAUAUAGUAUAAAAAUAUACAAAUUCACAGUGCGGAAUAAAUAUCAUUGUGGGCACCAUGCAAUGCAAAUUAGCGUUCGUACUCCUCCAUAUAACUUUGUAAUGUUGUAUAUAUGUAGAAACUCUAAAAUAAUUUUUUGGCCACACUUUAUUUAAAAGGAAUGUUGUAUGCGAAAGAAACGUGAAGAGAGGGCUUUUUAGAUCAAUGGGGCACGUGAUGUAACACGUGUGAAUGUGUAGUUGAUGCAUUUGGCGGGGCCUAGAGAGGUAUGUGUGUGUAUUACGUAUUCGAGAGAGGCAUGGAUAGAGGGNNNNNNNNNNNNNNNNNNNNNNNNNNNNNNNNNNNNNNNNNNNNNNNNNNNNNNNNNNNNNNNNNNNNNNNNNNNNNNNNNNNNNNNNNNNNNNNNNNNNNNNNNNNNNNNNNNNNNNNNNNNNNNNNNNNNNNNNNNNNNNNNNNNNNNNNNNNNNNNNNNNNNNNNNNNNNNNNNNGGGGGGGCGUGGGAGAGAUAGCACGAGAAAUGAGAGUCGUCUAGAGAGAGAGAGAGACGAAUAUGACGUCACGACAAGAGAUUCCAUUCCCUUGAGUGUGUAUAUGCAAGGGGGAGGGAAUAGAGGCACCAGGAGAAAUUUUCUGUGUGUGUGGUGUUUGUGUUGGUAUGUGUGGGUGUGAGAAGAUAAUGAGACGUGGGGGCAGAGGGUGUGUCACCGCGUGAGGUCCGGUGGGUCGAGGUGAGGCCCUUCGUUCGGUUCCAACCUACGCCACAUUGGUCGGCCCGUGACGCAUUUAGGAAGACCCAUGGAUGACUAGUCGUACAAGACAAAGAUAGCAGAAUUGUGAAGGACUCUAUGUCCACUGACAAAGCCGGCUAGGAUUUGUAACCCUAGGUUCUCGGACUAAGGUAACCCCUUUAUCUCUGAUAUUACUAUUCAUCCAACCUAACUUUAAGGGGCAUCCUACAGAAUGCUCUGCUAGAAUCAUACUCGUCGAUUAGGAAGAGAGGUGUGAGACAAUGCGUGAGAGACAGGCGUAAAGAUAAUGUGCGUACAUGAGACACGUAGGCAGGUCCAUGUAUAUAGAAAGGGUCGAUGAGGAUUGUGCGUGUGUAUGUUUGCGAGAGGAAGAGUGCUUGUGAUAAAGGUUAGUGAAAACCGUUGUAAAUGGUUACGAGAGGGAGGGAGGGUUAUAUCUAGAGCAUGUGUGCGAGAAAGACACCUCGGGAGAGAGUGUGUGAGCAUGUGUGAGAGACCACCGAUGGAGAGUGAAACUACACGUAAAAGACUGCUCUACACAUUGAUUAAAGAUAUAAAUUGUAUCCAAAUAUUAGGAUGGGAUCAUGAUAUUUGCAAUUCGCGUAAGGAGCGGUCAUUGAUCCAUCAGACAUCUAGAUUCUAUCGAAUUUGAGCAUGUCUAUGUUAUUAUUCGACACAAUUGAUCCACAUAGUUAGUAUUUUGAACUCCAGACAAUGCAUCGCUUUAGCAAUCGAAUAUAAACGUGAGUAUAGUUCAUGUUGUGUGUGUAAAGCACAUUAUACAUACGAAAGUUACACAAUGGACAUUAUAAAUAGCUACCUAUGAACUAGCAUACAUUUGAAUUCAACUUAAGGUGGUUUAAAAAAAUCGAAUUCAACAUGAAGUCCAUUCAAUUAUUUGAAUUUGAUAUCAUGGCAUUUGUAAACCAUACCUAAAUUAUGGGGGCACCAAUCUUUGCUCUGAUUUUGUACAUAAUAGCAUAUGUAGUCGUGUACAAAAUAGAUUCAAAUUUAGCUCCUCCAUUCCAAAAUAAUCGUAGUUAUAGGAUUUUCAAGUGUCAAAAUUUCAAAAAGAAGCGGAUAAUUUAAUGAGGUUUUCAAACAUACAAGGUCAAAUAUAACGUUGUCUAUUUAGGUCAAUCCUCAUAGUUCAAGAGUACUCUAAACGUGAAUGCUUGUGUUUCAAAAUUUCGAACGAAGCGCCAAAAGAGCCUCUACUCGCCCGAAACCGCGUGAUACCAAUGUUUGGUAGUACAAGGAAAUUACUUUUCUAAUAACUCCGACCCGUGAAACCUAUCGGCCCGACAUCCAAAGGUCUAAACCGGGGUAGGUUUGUAGCUUCAUCUAGACGCCACACAACCGCAUCCGAAAAACAUUCAUACACAAUGGCCGCCUAAGCACACAUGCGCGUGGCCGAAAUCGCUCCCGCCCACUAUUUGGGACACCUGGGAUUACCAUCCUACCCCCGACCCGCAGUAGGUCCGAAAUUUAAGAGGGGGGCAAAGUUUGUACUUCCCCAAAUUUCAAACAAGCGCGUCCCAUCUUCUGUUCAAAAAAGCCAAAAACAAGCACGUCCCAGACCGAAACAUGGUUCCCCCCACCCGUCCGAUUCCCCAUUCGUACUCCGUGGGCGCCAAAACUACCUCUCCACCAGCCGUGAAACCCCGGCGUCCUCCGUCCGCCACCCCAUCCCACCCAUCAGCCGUCGCCCUCCUCCAUCACGCCGGAGCCGAUACCCCGACGUCGUCGUCCACCGCAAUCUCAACCGCAACACCCUCCACGGCUAGUAGUUGCAGCCGAGGCCGAGCCGUCCGUACCCGAGCCAGUUCAACCACGCCGUCCUGCGCCUCACCGCUGCUGCUCCAACUUCGCCACCCUCCACCGCACCGGAGUUGUUCCUGCUACGCCGUCCUUCGCCGCCUCGGAUCUGCUUCCCCUCCGCCGACAUACGGCCACGGCAACACAGUCAACAAUUUGGCCAUGGGUUCGUCCAAGCCUGCACCCUGCAGAACAUCGGUUUCCCCGGUAAAAGGAAGAAGAUCAGCGCGACAUGUGGAGGUGACCACACCGGCAACCGAAAAAGGUACUCCUCUUCCCUUAUUCGUGCAAAUCUUACGUCUCUGCUUGCACGGUAUUCAUCCCACAGAAGACACUAGUUGACCGCUUCUUCUUGAUACUAGAUGUUCCUAGUAACUCGCGAUGCACAAGGUUUCUCCUCAUAUACUAUUUCACCUUAGCUAGAGGUCCGUCGCCCCCCUGAAUUUGAAUUUCUGGCCAGUUGAUUCCCAAUUAACGGAAGCAUUCCCCGGCAUAACAGGCGCUAGUACGCCUAUUACGUCGGGGAAGCAGCGCCUUGGUGUUUAUCUUAGGGGCGUGUGCGGCCUAGAGCUACUGGCGCCCGAUCUGGAGGUCGACCGGGAUUAAAGGGAUGGCCUGGGGGCGCUGCCAAGCACGGCGGUGGUAUGAGGUCGAUGGGAGGGCGGGGCGGCGGAGGCAGGGGUCUGGGCCGGUGGUCGCUGGCGGUUUGAGAAAGGUCGUCAACAGUGACUGGUGGGAGGUAGACGAAGGCCAUCCCGUUCCUUAUAGAUCGGACGGUUCAUUAAAAAAAUCGACUGACCUAUUUAUUUUCAGUCGACCAUUAUCUUAGAUAUGACCACAUGUGGUGGUGUGCUGGAGGAGUACCUGCAUUUCCUAUGCUCAUAUAUUACAAAAUCAUAUGGAGUAGAAUCUAAUUUUGUUUGCCAUGCAAUGUUGUAGAGCUAUCAUAUGUCUCCUGUCAUUUAUUUUUCAGCCACCUGCUAUCUGCUACUUUUACAGUGCACUAGUUCUGUACACACUUCACCCUUACUCUCACUAUUGUGUUUUUAUGCAAGGGUAUUUCAGACUCUGCUGCCAUGAGAGAAGCCAAAAAUAAAAGAGAGAAGUCGCUCCAGCUUUGUGUGCGGUUAGGCAAGACACGUUACAACGCUAUAAAGGGUGCAGUGUCAGCAGAUGGAGACGGUAAACGUAGCUCUGGAGUUGAUGACCUCGCUCGCAAUGAACCACCAUCCCAGGUGCUUGCUUUAACUUCGCGGUGUCAUAUGUGGUUGCAUGUUCCAUAUGGUGUCUAGCUUGUAUUCGAAAGGCCGAAGUCGGUAAGAUAAGGAAAUAUAUUUUUUACAUGAACCACCAUCCCGUGAGCACCAGAAGACAAAUAGCUAGUCAGGGCACUGGCCGAGCCAGUGACAAGCCCAGCAAAGAUAGGCAUCACCUGGAAGCCAACUAAAAAGCUGCGAUGGUGGCGAAGCAGCCCGCCUCCCACCAGGCUCUCAGGUCCUAGAUGAUCAUGCUCACGACUCCAGCCGGAUGUCUAGCUUGUAUUGCUUCCAAUUUGGUUAAAUUGCAUCUGCUUAGCUUACACAUUAUACCUUUGAAUAUGACAUGCUUUUCUGUUUUUGGUACAUACUAGUACAUCUGUGUAUUAACCAUGUUCUUACAUCAAACUAAUGUUCUUGUGUAUCCCUCAUCAAUCACUUAUGACGAGGCAGGCAGGCAAGGGGACUACUCCUCAUUUAAAGAAUGCAGCGUCAGCCUCCCGACAUGAUUCUCAAGAAAAAGAAAUGCUAGAUGAAGAUAGUGAACGUAGCUCUGUAGUUGAUUACAGCAUUUCCCCUACACUAGCAUCGCAGGUGCUUGCUCUAACUUGGCAGCGUGAUAUGUGGUUGCAUGUUGCAUAUGGUGUCUAGAUUGUAAUUCUUCCAAUCUGGUUAAACUGCAUGUGCUAGUCUGCUUAGCUUAUACAUUAUACCUGUUAAUGUGACAUGCCUUCCUGUAUUUAGUACAUAGUACAUCUGUCUAUUAAGCAUGUCCUUACAUAAAACUAUUUUUUUGUAUCCCGCAUCAAUCAACAUGACGAGACACCUUUAGUAUAUGUAGUGCGAUAUUAGUUGCAUCUUUCAUAUGAUUUAUAGCAUGUGCUGCUUCUAAUUUGUUGAAAUUCCAUUUAUGAUGGGACGCUUUUAACUUGGCAGAGUCAUAUUGGUUGCAUCUUUCAUGUGGUGUCUAGCUUGCAUUGCUUCUUAUUUGCUGGAAUGGUUUCUGCUUAGUUUACACAAACAGUUGUGAACAUGCCAUGCCGUCCUGUUUUUCAUACAUAUUCCAUCCUGGUAUCAUGUGUUUGCCUUACAUCAAAGUAGUGAUUGUCAGUAUCAUGCAUGAAUGAGUUCUGAAGAGAGAAUUUUAUUGCUUUUUCUUGUCGGUUUUACUUGACAAUUCAAAAUCAAUAAAGCGGAAGGAGGUUAGCAAGGCAGCGGAUAAAGGUGCUCCUUCCGAACGGAGGGCCUCUACAGUUUCUACUCCUCCACACCCAAGAUGAUUUCCAAGACAACACAUGCAUAGACACUCAACAAAGCUGUGUUUAUGAUGAGCACGUGUCCCCUAGUGCAGCAUCACUGGUGCUCCCUCUAACUUGGCACUGUUAUAUGUGGUUGCAUGUUAUGUGUGAUGUCUAGCUUGUAUUGCUUCUAAUUUUGUUGAAUUCCAUUUGCUUACUUUACACAUUAUACUUGAAUAAGACAUGUGUUCUUGUUUCUAGAACAUACAAUAUCUGUCUAUCACACCAUGUUCUUACAUCAAAUUACUACUGUUGUGUAACCUGCAACAAUCACUUAUCAUAAGACACGUUUGACUUCGGAGUGUGAUAUAGGUUACAUCUCACAUUCUUUUCUAGCUUGUACUACUAAUUUUUUUAAAUGGCACUUAUGACGAGACAGUUUUAACUUGGUAGAGUGAUAUUCGUUGCAUCUUUCAUAUGGUGUCUAGCUUUCAUUGCUUCUAAUUUGUUGAAAUGCCUUCUCCUUAGUUUACACAUCAUAAGCUGUGAAUAUGCAAUGCUAUGAAUAUGCAAUGGCACUAAUGACGAGAGACCUCUAACAUGGUAGUGUGAUGUUGUUUGCAUCUUGCAUAUGAUUUAUUUCUUGUACUGCUUCACAUUUGUUUAAAUGCCAUUUAUGAUGAGACACUGUUAACUUGGCAGAGCAAUAUUUGUAGCAUCUUUCAUAUGGUGUAUACCUUCCAUUGCAUUGCUUCUAAUUUGGUGAAAUGUCUUCUUCUUAGUUUACACAUCAUAGUUCUGGUUAUCUGUUCCGUCCUGUUUUUCAUACAUAUUACAUCCUCCUAUCAUGUGGUUGUCUAACAUCAAAGUUCAGUUCGUCUGCAUCACGCAUCAAUUUGUUCUGAAGAACUAAAUUGUUAUUCAUUUUUCUUGUCGGCUUGACUUAACAUGGCACAGAGAAAGAGGAAGAAACACAGAAUGGCAGGGAAUGAGAAGCGGAUGAAUCCUGCAGAUUCUGCUGGUACUGAUGGUGCAAUAGAAGGUCAAAGUCUAGCGGAAAAUUCUACAAACACGGCAUCCCAUGCUACACGAGUUGCAAAAAAAGCCAAACAGAAACAAAUAGCUGCCACCAAACAAGCAGAGACAGCCCUAGUUCUUGCAACACCUACCACAGUACUACCAGCUGCACGACUUACUCGUGCGUCAACUGAGCUAGCAGCACAUUCCCAAGCUCCCUUGCCACCUGACACUACUUCCCAAGCACUCUUGAAACAAGACGAGUUGGCAAUAUCAGAUGAACCUUGUGAGCUUCAACAACAAGAAGGUAGUUGCUGGAGUCAAGUUACAGUUGCAUGCUUCUUUAUAUGUAGUCUCACAGUUUGAUGUACACUAACACUUCCUAUGUUCGUUGUUGGACUAGCACCUAGGCGCAAGAGGAAACAAACAUCAGGGAUAAUGCUCGAUAGGUUAACUAAAUCUAGAGAAGGAAGAAUGGAGAUCCAUUUUGAGGCAGGUUUAAAAAGGCCACGUGAUGCUACAGAGUCAGCCAAGUUAGUAUCAGAGGCAGCGGUUGCCGUUAGGUGUCAUGUACGUAUCCUCCCAACAUGGAUUCAGUACAGGAAUGACAAAGACGAAACCCAGUUCAACACCUUCCUUGACCAUUUAUCUGUAAGUAUGGUUAUGUAUGAAAACUAGUAAUAUCGUCUUGCUCUGUCCCAUACUUUCUAGGUUGCUGAUAAUGAGACUCCCAUAAUUUUCAACAGAUGAGGUUCAAGUUGGAUAGCCAAGAUGAUGCAACCAGACAAGCUUGCACCCAUGUUUUCAAGUCUGCUCUGCGGCAGUAUCAGUAUAACUUGAGGAAAACUCACUUUGAAGGCAAGGCUAACAGUGAACUUUCCCAAACAUCUCCAGUGGAAAAUAUAUCGGAUGAAGACUAGAGGGGCCUUGUUAAACACUGGUCUGAUCCGAAGUAUCAGGUACAUUAUAUAUAUCUGAUCAGAUCACAUGUUGAAGUCCUAUUUACGCAUGUGCCACACAAAUAUAUCUUCUUGUAGGUGAACUGUUCAAAGAACAAGGCCAACCGUACGAAAGUGAAAUUCCAACAUAUGACAGGAUCUCGUAGCUAUAUUGCACACUGCGAGGCUCUUGUAAUUAGCUGCUAUUUCACUCUUUUCGCCGUACCAUAUUAUCAGAUCUAUAUUGACUUGUUCGAAAUGCAGAGGAAAGCCCGCAAGGACCAAAAAGCACCUGAACCAAAUGCUGUGGAAAUCUUCAAGGACUGUCACACCAGCAAGAAGAAGGGCAUGACUACACCAGUCAAAGCCGCUGUUGUAAGUCCUUAAUCCUCAUGCCUUUUAACUACUACUUACUCUGACUUGUGCCUUGAACUGCAUGGUUUGCAGCCAAUGUCUAUUACUCUUUUCAAUUUUAUACACAAUUGUCUUAGCGUAUUAUUGCACCUUACAAGGUUUAAAAGAGAGGAGUGAUGUUCCUUUGAUCUUGACCCGUAAUCUAGUUCCGUGCUGGACUUGCCCACACAAUGUUACAAUUGCCUGUUUGUCUGUUCUCAGUUGUUUUGUGAUAUGAAUGAUGUCAUACUAUGCUUACCGUAUUAUAAACUUCGUCUCUUUAUCCUUAGCCCUCAAUACAACGUGAAGAAAUAGACAAUACAUUAGCGAUGGUACAUGGUCAUAUGUUUGGAACCUGGUUUUAUUAUGUACUUUGCAAUAAUAUACAACUAAUAUUUUACAUGGGUUCACCAGAAUAAGUUCGGUAUAUAGACCAAAGCUAUUUUGUUUGGUUUUGCUGCCUCCUUAAUAUCUUCUGUUCUGGUACUACUAAUGUAAAACCUCAACUUUUCAGCAAGCUAUGGAAAAAAUGUGGAACCGCCACCUUCUGAAGGUGGCGAGGCAACUAUAACCGCAAUGUUAGCUCUUGCUACAGUGGGUCAGUACCUGUCCACUAACAGUGCCAAAAGCACGUUCCUGCGUAAUACUGGGUUGGUUGUUAAGGCAAUAUCAUCCAAACUGCCUCAUGAUCAAGAUAUGCAAGCUCAAAGCAAUGUUGUAUCUGCGCUCCAGACACAACUCCAUUCCCUAACAGAGACCCUUUGUGAAACAAGGAGAAACAUUGCUCAAUGUCGUCAAGAUAUGCAUGGUUUUGAAUCCAGACUAUCAGACAUUUGCUAUGUUGUUCAGGAGCCUAGGGGAAAUGACUGAGGGUUAUGGUGCUCCAUCGGAUAAUACAGCAUGAAAACGUAACAGUCAGGUCAAAUGAACUAAGCUUCUGAACUUCUGGUGGUGCAUUUAUCUGCUAGACUGUUAAGUUUUAUGCCAACCUUCCUUUUGUUAUAUAGUUGUAAUUUGUUUUGGUGCGAUACAAAAUUUAUUCUUAACGUGCAGCCACCGGCUGAAGAAAACAUCAAGCCAUUUUUGUAUAGUGUAGGGUGUUCCCUAUAUUUGCACUGGUGGCGAUCUUUGAUGCCGAGUGGAUGUAAUAUGUGCAAUCGCCUUAAUAGCCUAGCGUUAGUUUCGGCCUUAUUUAUUUCCUAGUCUUCUUUUUCCCUGGUUUGCUAGUGGCCGCAACUACCAUGGGCCAUAUACGGGCCGUAGGAUCCAUGGGUCUCCUACGGGCCGUCGAUAAAUGGGCCUGUAAUCGGUGGGCCUCGGGCCAUCGGAUAAAUGGGUCUACAUGGGCCGUAAUCAGGCGUAAUUGGUAUCGGCCCAGCACGGUAACAGGCCGUAGGACAGCAAAGGCUUAAUCCUGUCACAGGCAUAACGGGUCAUUAAUGGGCCAGAAUAUAGGACGGGCUGGAAACGGCGCAACGGGUUAACAGGCCAGAAACAGGCCGACUCUUGCCAUGGGCCGAAUUUGGCCCAUUAGGGUAACAGGCUAGUAGCGGGCCGACUCUUGCCAUGGGCCGAAUUUGGCCCAUUAGGGGAACAUGCCAGUAACGGGCCGACUCUUGCCAUGGGCCGAAUUUGGCCCAUUAGGGGAACAGGCCAGUAACGGGCCGGAAGUAAUCGAGGGCCGAAAAGGAGCCCAAGAACGUAUGGGCCAUCAAUAGGCCGAAACCUAACACGGGCUGGAAACGGUCCAUGUAAAUCACGGGCCGUUAACGGGUAUAAAGAAAAUUACUGUUCAUUAUGGGCUAGAGUCACCGUGGGCCUGUAAAGGGCCGAAAGAUACGAAGGCCUCAUAUGGGCCGAAAGACGUCAUGGGCCAUACAUGGGCCGAAAGUGAAAUGGGCUGGUGUUAUAUUCGACGGCCCACAUGAAGUUGUUGGGCCGAUUUCCUUUAGGGCCUAACGGGCCGUGAGUUAACGGGCCGUAAAAUGGGCUAUUUGCGAAGAGACCACUACUAGGAAAAGGGCUAUAGAUGGAAUGGCCACUAAUGGCGCACCAGACAUGUGGUGCGCCAUUGCUAUAUAGCAGUGGCGCACCAUGUGCUGGUGCGCCAUUAGUGUGAAAGACACUAAUGGCGCACCAGACACACGGUGUGCCAUUAGUAACAAUUUUUUUCCAAACAUACUAAUGGCGCACCAGGGCACAGUGCGCCAUUACUAGUUCUAACUAGUAAUGGCGCACCAGCCACAUAGUGCGCCACUACUAUAUUUUUNNNNNNNNNNNNNNNNNNNNNNNNNNNNNNNNNNNNNNNNNNNNNNNNNNNNNNNNNNNNNNNNNNNNNNNNNNNNNNNNNNNNNNNNNNNNNNNNNNNNNNNNNNNNNNNNNNNNNNNNNNNNNNNNNNNNNNNNNNNNNNNNNNNNNNNNNNNNNNNNNNNNNNNNNNNNNNNNNGAACAGUGCGCCAUUACUAGUUUAAACUAGUAAUGGCGCACUGUUCCCUGGUGCGCCAUUAGUGUCUUUUUUUUUUGCAAAACUACUAAUGGCGCACCACCAGCAGGUGCGCCAUUAGUAACCAGGGUUACUAAUGGCGCAUUAGGCGGUGGUGCGCCAUUAGUAACCUGGGACGAGCUAGAUAUUUUGGACAGCCACACCUACCCACUCACUUUCCCCACUUCAUCCUCUCCACCUCCUCCUCCAAGCUUGUCUCGGCUGCCUCCUCCUCCUCACCUCAUUUGCACCAUAAAUUCAUCCAAAUUAAGUGGUUAAAUUACCUUUUUUGAUAGGUAAGUAAGGGGGAAGCUAUCUUUAUGUUGUACUCCCUCUCGAACAACGUGCACAUGCACUUUUUAUGGCCUAGCUAGAUCUAUGUAUGUUAGUGGUGUUGCAUAUGUUUGUGGUGUUGCAUAUAUGUUUGUGUUUGCAGGUACCGGUAUUUGAAAUGCGAUAGUUGCCAAUAUUUUGCCGGAAUGUUGAUUCAUUUCCGUUUCGGCGAGAAUUUUGGCACUAUGCAUUCUUUUUGGUCCUAUUUUUAGGGAAAGUCAUGCCAAAUUUUUUCUUGGUUCUAAAAUAUCGUUUUGCUCUACCCCGCAGGCGACCAUGGUCAGCACGAUGACCGAAGGCAUCGUGAAUAGGUUUUUGAGCUCCGCGAAGGCCGAGAUGCUUGAAAAGAACGAGACGGAGAUAAGAUGUCCGUGUCGAAGAUGCAAGCUGAAGAGCCUUAUUGCGGACCCGGAUUCUGGGCAGGUGCGGGACCACCUGCUCUUGCGUGGUUUCAUGGAUGGCUAUCGGUGGCAAGGUGAUGAAGAUGACUAUGAAGUCGUCCAUGGGGGUCGGGCAAGAAAUGAGGAUGGGCAGCAAGACAACCACCGCGGCUCGGGCGGGCGAGAAGACGAAGAAUCUCCAGGACAUGAUCACGACGGUGAUGCUGUACACAGUCAUCAUGUAGAAGAUGCCGGACAUGAUGAUGAGGAAGAUGCGGGAGCAGACGAAGGGCAUGAUCAUGAAGAUGAAGAUGCCAGCGGAGCAGACGACGAUGGACCAUCGAUGGGCUGGGUGCAGGACCCUCAUAUUCAAGAGCUGCUUCUCAAGCAGACGGAUAACGCAAGAGCUGCCGCCCGAGAGAAAGCCAAGCUGGAUCAACUGGAGAUAGACGCGGUUACUCCAUUGUAUGAAGGAUGCAGGCCCGAGGAUACCCGCCUGAAAGUAACGCUCAUGGCUCUGGAGAUGAAGGUAAAACACAAAAUGACCGACGCAUGCUUCGACGAGAACAUGUCAUUCUGGCACGAACAUCUUCCCAAGGGGAACAAGUGCCCGACCAGUUUCGAGGAGGCGAAGAAAAUCGUGUGUCCUCUGGAUUUACCGCACGUGAAAUACCAUGUGUGCAUGAACAAUUGCAUCAUUUAUCGAGACGAGCACGCGGAGUCUACCAUAUGUCCGGUGUGCGGCGUCACUCGAUACAAGAAGAGGAAGAAAGCUCCUCGAAAAGUGGUGUGGUACUUUCCGAUCACUCCUCGUCUGCAGCGGUAUUUCGUGGACCCUAAGGUAGCAAAGCUCCUGCGUUGGCACACGGAUAGGGAGGAGAAGAAGCGAGAAGAUGACGCAAAUGAUCCGGAGAUAAAUAAAAAAGACAAGAUGCUGAGUCACCCUAAGGAUGGGAGCCAGUGGCAAGCGUUGAACUUUGAACACCCAGAAUUUGGGAACGAUCCAAGGAACAUCGUGUUGGGCGCGAGCACUGAUGGAGUCAAUCCGUUUGGCAGCCAGAGAAGCACACAUAGCACCUGGCCUGUGUUUGUGUGGAUGUACAACCUUCCCCCCUGGUUGUGCAUGAAGAGGAAGUACAUUCACAUGAGUAUGCUAAUUGAAGGGCCGAAACAACCAGGGAACGACAUCAAUCUGUAUCUGGGGCUGCUGAAAGAGGAGCUAGACACACUGUGGAAAACGCCAGCCAAUACGUGGGACGCCGCAGAGAAAGAAUAUUUCCCUAUGAGAGCCGCACUGCUGACGACGGUGCACGACUAUCUCGGUUACGGAUAUCUCGCGGGGCAGGUGGUCCACGGAUUUUCUGGAUGCGUUAGGUGCAUGGAUGACACAACGUAUCGCCAGCUAGAUAGAGAUCCCGGGUCUUCGAAAACCGUGUUCAUGGGACAUCGAAGGUGGCUUCGCGACGAUGACCCGUGGAGGAAACGCAAGGAUCUGUUCGAUGGUGAAACCGAACCCCGAAGACGCCCGCGUACGAGGAGCGGCGAGGAAAUAGACGAGCUGUUGAAAAAUUGGAAAGAUUGCCCACUGCCGGGAAAGAAGCAAAAGGCGCCAGAGCCGGGAAAGAAGCAAAAGGCGCCAGAGCCACUGCUGAAGGUAUGGAAAACGAGGUCUGUUUUCUGGGACUUGCCGUACUGGAAGAUCCACCGUGUGCCUCACAGCCUUGAUGUCAUGCAUAUCACGAAGAACGUGUGCGAGAGUCUGCUUGGUACCCUGCUCAACAUGCCAGAGAGGACCAAAGAUGGGCCGAAAGCAAGGGUAGACUUGAAAUCAAUGGGCAUCAGGGAGGAGCUUCACGCUAAUGAUGAUGAUGAUGAUGAUGAGGCGAAGCAGGACACGGAAAGUCGUCGCAAAGGCAAAAAGGCCAAGAAGACCAGAAAUGACUUCCCUCCCGCGUGCUUCACUCUAAGUCAGGAGGAGAUUGAUCAGUUUUUCACCUGCCUCGUAGGAGUAAAACUUCCUUACGGUUACGCGGGGAAGAUAAGCAGAUACCUAGACUCAGCGAAGCAGAAGUUCAGCGGGAUGAAGUCUCACGACUGUCACGUGCUGAUGACGCGGAUACUUCCAGUUGCAAUCCGUGGGAUCAUGGACGCGCACGUCCGUGAAACGCUAUUUGGCCUAUGCAACUUUUUCGACGUCAUCUCUCGGAAGUCGGUUGGCGUGAGGCAACUCAGAAGGCUACAGGAAGAGAUCAUGGUGAUACUAUGCGAGCUUGAGAUGUACUUCCCGCCCGCAUUCUUCGACGUUAUGGUGCAUCUGCUGGUCCAUAUCAUGGAGGAUAUCAUCCAACUCGGGCCGACGUUCCUGCACAGCAUGAUGCCGUUCGAAAGGAUGAAUGGUGUCAUCAAAGGAUACGUUCGCAACAUGUCACGUCCAGAGGGAAGCAUAGCCAGGGGCUUUCUGACUGAAGAGUGCAUCUCCUACUGCAUGAAUUAUCUAGGCAUCGAGAACCCCGUUGGUCUGCCCGUCAAUAGGCACCUCGGCAAGCUCGCUGGAUGGGGUCACCGUGAGGGUCGCCGCGAAAUGCAUGUCGACUUCGAUGGUCGACUCACCGACUUUGAAAGAGCAAACCUAGUCGCGCUACAACACAUAGACAUGGUCGAUCCUUGGGUGGUAGAGCACAAAACAUUUAUUGAGAAGACGUACAAUGACCGAGGCCAACAGAGGACGGACGGAGAUAUAAUCAAAGAGCACAACUCAUGUUUCACGCGUUGGUUCAAGCAGAAGCUUCUGUCGUACCCUUUACAUGAGGAUUCUUCCGCGGAAGAACAACUCAUAUUCGCCUUGUCACAGGGCGCCGAGCACAACCUGAUGACGUAUGAGGCAUACGAUAUCAACGGCUACACAUUCUACACCGAGGACAAGGACAUGAAGAGCGAUGGUUAUCAGAACUCCGGGGUAACGAUGGAAUCCUACACCGGUAACGACAAGGACAGAUACUACAGAAGGAUCGAGGAGAUCUGGGAGCUGAGCUACGCUGGAGAGAAGGUCCCGAUGUUCCGUGUCAGAUGGGCCAAGAGCGUCAUAAAAGAAGACCGGUAUUUCACCACCAUGGUUAUACCCGAAGCCAAAUCCAAGACCGCAGGCGCGAACGUCACCGCGAAAAAUGAGCCAUGGGUACUGGCUUCCCAAGUGGACAAAUGCUUCUUCAUUACCGACCCGUCAAAGCCCAGUCGUGUUGUCGUGAGGAGAGGCAAAAGGAAGAUCAUCGGAAUGGAUGGAGUUUCCAAUGAGCAAGACUUCGACAAGUACGGCGACCCGAAGAUGGAACAUGACGACAACGAUGAAGUAUCAGCAUACACCACAAGAAGAAGCAGGACCACCCUACCUAAAGGACGUCCGUUCGAGAGAAGAACUCCAUUUACGAAAAAUAAGGGCAAGAAGAUUGUGAACAGAUAGCUAGCUAAGAUCGAUUGUAUUUAAAUUGUAGCCUUCAUUUCUCGAUUGUAUUUCAUGGGCACUUUUUGAACUCAUGAAUAUUUAUAAAUUUCAUGGACACUCGAUCUCGAUCCCCCUCCAUCUCGAUCGCUAUCCCACCUCGCCAGAUCUGGUCCCCCUCGCCGCCGAGCACCCCCCGCACCCUCUACCCCGCUCCAUCGGCCGCCGUCGCCGACCCCCCCACCCUCCCCCGCUCCACCGCCGCCGCCNNNNNNNNNNNNNNNNNNNNNNNNNNNNNNNNNNNNNNNNNNNNNNNNNNNNNNNNNNNNNNNNNNNNNNNNNNNNNNNNNNNNNNNNNNNNNNNNNNNNNNNNNNNNNNNNNNNNNNNNNNNNNNNNNNNNNNNNNNNNNNNNNNNNNNNNNNNNNNNNNNNNNNNNNNNNNNNAUUACUAUUUCAUAUUCAUAUUCAUUUUCUAAAAAAUUAUUAGAUGCAACAAAAAAUAAUAAUAAUAAAAAGAUUACUAAUGGCGCACCUCUGGCUGGUGCGCCAUUGCUAUAUAAACAAAGUUUACUAAUGGUGCACCGAUCGUGGGUGCGCCAUUGCUAUAUAAAAAAACUUCUAAUGGCGCACCGCUUCGUGGUGCGCCAUUAGUAAGCUUCCCCCACACUAAAAUCCCCAAUCUCUCACAUUUCUCUCUAAUCCCUCCCUGCCUCAUCUCACCCGCGCCCGACCACCAUCGACCACCACCGCCCCCGUGCUCGCCGUCCCCUUUUCGGCUGAGUAGGAUUCGACAAUUGCUGAGUAGGAUUCGACAAUGGGCCUGAGUCAGUUGACUGGAGACUUUAUUAUUGGUAUAUCGAUCGGUCCAGCACGGAUUGAAAUACUCUUGCCAAGAUACUUGUCCCAUAUUCACUAAGAAACUGUUGUACCAGCUUUUGCAUGAACUAACCAAGCAUAUUGGUUUCGAUCACGUCUAUCCGAAGUCACUCAACUAUUCCGAUUCCAGCAAACGGAGGCCGUUAGGUCAAAGCCGUAGAUCGAUCAGUCUAGAAUCUGUAACCAAUUGGCUAAGUCGCUAAGUCAUUGCCGGCCGUGCUCGCUGCCCCCGCCGCACCAGACCACCACCGCCCCCAACGCCCCCUCCCCGAGCCGAGCGUCGCCUCCCUCACCGUCCCCCCUCCGCCCGCGCCCGCGCCCUCGACGUCCUCCCGCCGAACCGCCCCCUCCCCNNNNNNNNNNNNNNNNNNNNNNNNNNNNNNNNGGCCCCACCUGCGUCAACCUCGUGCUCGCCGUCCAACACCGCGCGGCCUGCCCAGGAGGACCUCCGCCAUCUUCCUCUUCUUCACCCAGCGGCGUGAGCUCGGCGGCGACAAGGAGUGGCGACCGCAACGACCCCGUCGCCGGCGUGAUUCUCCCCCGACGCUGGACUGGUCAGGCCCCGCUCCUCCCCCUCUUCUUCACCCCCCGCUUGUCCUCUUAAUUUCUAUUCUCUUUGGUUCAUUAAUUUGUAGUACUGUUCUUGGUCUGGUUCUCUGGAUAAUUUCUAGGGUUCUUGGUCUGGUGCCAAGAUUGGUCGUGUUUGUCAAUAGUACAACUUAGCUCACAUGUCUUCCAGAGAGAUCCCUGUUCUAGGAUCUGAGCUCUCUCUUCUCUGAAUUCAACUAAGGCAUGAGGAACAAGGGGGGAGAUAGCUACUGUCAAAAUUUUUAACACUUCCUUACUUGUUUGUCAAAUACAGUUAGCUACUGUAAAAAAAUUUAAAACUAGGUCUGAAUUUUUAACACUGCCUUAACAAAUUACUAACUGUCCAAAAAUACAGUUAGCUACUGUCAAAAAAUUCAGUUAGGUACAAUUAGCAUCAUGUAAGAAAAUGGCCAUAAUGUGCCCUGAUAAUGAUUUAUUUUGUCAUAAAAAUAAAUAGUGUACUGCCAUGAUAAUGACAUGGUCCUGUGUUUGCAAGCUGUCAUAAUGUUUUCAUUCAAAAACCAUAGAGUGAAAGAAGAAGCAUAGGCUUAAUUGAGCUGUGGAGUUCUUGUUACCUUGUCUGUCCGUCCUCGUUAGUUACAUGUAUCUCUCUGUUUGUGUUUCUGCGUAACAGGUUCGAUCGCAGUUGGAGAAAAAUUGAGGCGUUUGUUGGCUCGAAGACAGUGUGAUACAGGUAUAUACAUGUGCUUUGCUUACUUGUUUGGUUUGCAAUAGUUAUCAUGUGACAAAGUAUGCUUAGUUGUUUGGUUUGCAACCCAUAUUUUAUAGUUGAUAAUACAUUUCCCAGAUCUGCUUGGUUGCAAUCUUUUAUCUGAACGCGAUCAUUAUAAGUUUAUAGCUUUCCCACUGUCAGGCUUGUUCCAAUAAGUAGAUGCACUUGCUCCUUUCUUACAUAUUUGUGCCUGACAAACGCGGUCAUCAAGUCUACUUCCAUGUUGCUGCUAGUAGUAACCUGACAGCACAGCCAUACUUAGCCACUGUUCAUUAACAGCAAGUCAACAACAACAUCAGUAAAAUUCAGUUAACAACAACAUCAGUAAAAUUCAGUUAAUUAACUGAAGAAGAGAAGAGAGAAAGUAGAGAGCAAGAGGAGUACUUGCAUUAACUGAAACGUUUUACAUUAAACUUGCAAAAUUGCAGUACUCCCUGAAACUACUGCAAGCAAGAACUACUGUUGGAGGGCACUACUGUAGGAAUAUUCUCUGGUCUACUGAAACUUGCUGGAUGUAUGUUCAGAAAUGUGUUAACAGGUGUAUUAUUUAUAGUAGUUGUUGCAGAUGGUUUCUCUUGUCUUAACUGAAUAAUCAUGUAUUACAUAGUGUUCUUGUUUUUCUUCAUAGUUUGCAGCAUUUUCAGAUGUACACUGUUUUCCUAUGUGUCAAAAUGUUCCUAAUUUGAUAUUUGAAAGUAAGUGUGUGGUUUGAAAUUUUGAUCUGAUUAUGGCAUCUAGAAUUAUGUCAGUUUUGUUUUGUAACUAGAAGACCAAAGUGUGUUACUCACCUGGGAUCUUAACUGUUAAGUUUGUAAUAUUCCUUAUAUUGAAAUCGAACAUGAUGGUGCUACUUGAUAUUUUUGAGACAUGGCAUCUCCCAUGACCGAAUCAGCAACAAGGGGAGUUGAUUCCAUUUCUUGGUUUCUGUAAGAAUUUAAUGGACCUGGGCCUAGUUAAGUAUAGGCUUGGGCUUGUGGUUGAAUGCUACCGUUGUCCUAGCCAUGUAUUUUCAGAAUUGAGCUAAAGAUUUGGGGGUAGUAUUUCUGAUUUUAGAGCACCUUUGCUGGAUGUAUUUUACAGCAGCUGUCGGAAUCAAAACAAUGCUUGUGGGUUGUCCUGUUAAGUUGAGUGAGUCAUUAGAGGGCAGAUAGGGUCACCCACACCAAUUAAUGUUUAUGAAGAAGAAGAAUAAACCUGCUGCUGCUGCUGUUAUGCUUGUAUUCACUGCUGCUGCUGCUGCUGUACUUGUGAUGAUGCUACUUGUGAUCUUCUGAAAUGACCCAUUGGCGACUUCAUUACGCGGGGAUAACGAUUUUGCAGGUACCCCGAGAGGCCCUUGAGUUUGCCGGAAUGUCGAUUAACUUCCGUUCCGGCAAAUUCGGGUACUCCAUAUGUCCUAUUUUCAGCAAAGGUCAUGCUGAAAUUUUCCGUGAAUUUUAGCAUGACUUUGCUAAAAAUAGGACAUAUGGGGUACUUGCGACUAAUGCAUGGGCCGGGGUAUCUUAGUACUUAAUUAAGUAGGAUCAACUGUCUCUUGUGUUAUACAUAUAGAAGUGUGAUAUGUUUACUGUCUCUUGGUGUUUGUCCUUAAUUAAGUAGGGUAUAUUAUUAGAAGAUACCCAUAUAUAUCAGUCAACCUAGGGUGCCUCGGCAUCGAUAAACCCUAAAUGAUGAAAACUUAACUUAGCAUUUAGGGUGCCUCGGCGUCGAAAAACCCUAAAUGAUAAAACCUUGGCUUUUAGGGUGCCUCAGUGUCGAUGAGAACCUAAAUGAUGUACGCUUAGGCUUUUAGGGUGCCUCGGCGUCGACAAACCCUAAAUGAUAAAAGCUUAGCUUUUAGGAUGCCUCGGUGUCAACAAACCCUAAAUGAUGAGACCAUGAUCUUGUUCCUUGACAAUAACCAACUUUUUGACCAAACUUUUUUCCUAUUUAGAGCGAAACAUGGUCCACAACGAUGAGGCCGGCGGUUCGGGCGGCAAGCAAUUCUGGGAGCUGUCCCAGGAGAUGGAGGAAGAACCUCACCGCUAUGAGGACGCCGCCGCGGAAGACACCGAUCCUGACUACACAACCCCUAGUGGCGUCGGGGAUGACACCACUGAUGGUGCCGCCGACGAUGCCACCACUGAUGAUGGCGGCGCAUGCACAGAUGGCAGCCAACCGAAGAGGCAACGGAAGGACCGGCGCCCGAACGUGCUCGGCACCGUCAAGGAGGAAUUUACUGAAGUGAACUCCGACGGGCAUCCAACGGCGCCCAAACAUGUAGUCAAGGGGUACUCGGUUCAGCUCGGGUGCAUUCUCCGAAGCACCGUCUCGAUCAACACCGAGAACCUAAGGCAUAAGGACCGAGGGAAUUUGCGCAGCCUCCUCUUCACGAAGCUGCACGAACGAUACAAGUUCCCCGCUGAGUUUGCAAACACACGCCUCUCAGGGAAUAAAGUGAACAGUGCCGCCCUCACGAGGAUGAGCACGACCCUGUCUACAUGGAGAAGCACGGUGAAGGCAAUGAUUGAAAAAGGUGAUAGUUAUGAGAAGAUCAAGGCGAAAUAUCCUUUGAUGAGCGAAGAUGACUACAAGGAGUUCAAGAUCAAGUGCGAGAGCAGCGCAACCUCCGAAUCAAGUCAGUGGGGGAAAGAAAUGCGGGAGUUGAACUUAGGGGUCCACCAACUCGGUCCCGGCGGUUACAGAGUGGCGGAGCCUAUAUGGGACAAGGAGGACGCGGAGCGUGCCGAGCAAGGCCUACCGCCCCGCUUCGAGAAAUUACGUGACAAGUAGACCAGGAACUUUGUCAGGGCCCGGUACAAGGAGGACCCGGUAACAAAGGAGCUUACCACGGAUCCGAAGACCAGGGCACUUGAGCUUGUUCUGGUAAGGAAUACACCCCCGCGUAAUUAGCUCCAUAUGGUUGCAUUCUAAUUAAUGAAGCCAAAUUUCUAAAUGGUUAACAUUCCUUCCGCAGGAGGCUGAAAGCAGUAGCGCGGGGUCAUCUCAGAGCUCCCCUUUUGACACCCCUUUAAAUAGGGCGUUGAACGUAAUGAAAAACAAGGAUAAGCUCAGUAAGCCAUCGUCAGCUGGUCGUGUGGCCGGCAAAGGCUUGUCCACAAAAUGGUCGUCAUACUAUACCGCUGGUGGGCGAUAGGAGAAAAAGACCAGCUCGGAAAGCCAGUCACGUGAGGUUCAAGAACUCAAGGCACAAGUGGCGCGGAUUCCGGAGAUUGUCCAAGAGCAAGUGCAACAACAACUGGGAACGACGCUCACCGCCAUUGUGCCUACCUUGAUUCAGGGGCUGACGACGUGGAUUGCGGGCGGCCAACAAGGGCCUCCCCCGGUUCCCAGCUUCACGGCCAGCAACUCGCACAACGCGCAGGCGGUGCCAUUGGUGUCUCCGGCGAAGGCGGUAUUCGUGUCUCCGGCGUCGGCACGGGCAUUGGAGCUUAAUGCACCCGGGUGUACGCCGGCCGGCACCUCGCCAGCAAGCGGCCCCUCCGUCAGUUGCACGCGCACGCCCGCCGUUGGCGGUGCCUCGACAUUAGCCGAGCUCGACGGCAUCACGGUAACUAAGCCUCUCGGCCGAUGACUUCAUCUCCUUGCCUUUGACUGUGCAUCCCUGACGCCCUACAUGUUUUUGCAGGGCGCCACCGAUGUUCCUUGCACUCUCCUACACUUCGCGGGCGGCGAGUUGGUCGAUGUCGCCAAGGGCAGAAUCGUUCAACUGGGCAACCGCGUGUUCCACGGUAAUCCGAUGCCACCCACCUUGUAUAGGGUUGAACUGGUUCGGGUGCUGCCAGGCUGCGACGAGUUGUUACCUCCGAUUCGACCCGCUGGGGCCGAUGAAGAUGAUGUGAUGACCCUCAGCGCCUGUGUAAGCUGGCCCCUGCUUUGGCCGAAGAGCCAGAUUCGUUUGGGGGCGGGGGACACCACCCCACAGACAAGACCGCCAGUCGUGCCAGCGCCAAGCCAUGGCAAGAACGCCGCAACGCUACCGGACAUGCCGGACAUCCCUAUGGCACAGGAUCCGGACAUGGAUAUGGCACAGGAUCCGGACGACGACGACAACGACGGCGGUACAUUUUCCAACGUCGAUAAGUACUUUGCCGAACAUGGGUACGGUGACGAGUUCUGCGGGCCUCCUUCUCAAGAACCCAACCCUGAAAAAGACGACCCCGAUCUAGCUGGUACGGCGGAGAAACCCAAUUGCAACAGGCGUCGUCUGGCGUUCAGUUCUCAGGAGACGCCUCCAGCUGCCGCCUUCACCGAGCCUCAGAUAGCUGAGGUGCCAAAUAUUAUCAGCCCCAACACGCUCAAGAAGGCGGUCUGUGAGCAGAACUCGAUCCCAUUACAGCAGAUCAGGAAGAAGGGACGGAAACGAAAGACUAACAAGGGCGCCAGUGUGAGCCAGCCGGCACCGAGUAUGAUCCGUGCUCAGGACGGGCCACCUGCACCUAAGGAUAUCUCGAGGAGGGUGCAUGUGGCGGGUAGGCCGAUGCUACCGACAAAUAUGCUCAAUGCUGCAACCGGUGCUAUGCGGAGUCUCCAUGACAGUGUUCUUUCUUUGGAGAAGCGGCGUCUCAGAGAGAAUGAUGUGGCAUACCCGGUUUUCGUGGCCAAGGUGCCAGAGGGCAAGGGCUUUGUGGAUAGCGCCGUCGGGGGUACGAUCGUCCUGUGGUUUGAUGACAUCUUUCCUAUGCUUAACCUUCAUCCGCUGCACUACACCUUCGUUCGGCUGUUUUCGCUGAGUAUGGAGAUGCGGAUCAUUAGAGACAAGACCCCGGACAUUGUGAUAGUCGACCCCUUCUACAUGCGUGCCAAGAUCUUGGGCAGCGCUGGGGACCGGCAAGUCACGAGUUCACACCUCGAAGGCGUCAUUCUGGCAAACCCAGAUAAGGAUAACUUCCUCGUGCCUUACUUUCCCGAGUAAGUCAUCUCCUAACCGCCCCGUAACAUAUGAUUUCUUAGAUUUCGAUUGUUCAUUUUUUUCUAACAUUCCGUGUUCUGUGCGGUGACACACAUUGCACACUCAUCCUCUUAAGCCCGAAAUAUUCCAUGGCCACGUAUUUCGACCUGGACCGUGACUCCAAGAUAGACUACACAAAUAUCAAGAAAGUUCUUGAUGAUGCUCUCCCCGGCUACGCCGCAUCUGGAGGCACCUUUAAGAGGCCAUCUCGUAGGUACGGCAGGCACGUGUUCACCCACAAUACGACGUUCCCCUGCGUCAAGCAGCCGCCUGGCGGUCCGAAGGAUGCCUACUACGCCCUCCAUCACAUGUGGCCGAUCGUACGGGACCAUAAUCACCUUCUGCUACCAAAUAAUCUCAAAGAUUGGGCCGCAAGCUUGGCGGCAAUCCAGGACGCGGACAUCCGACAAGAAUUCUUUCGCAUCCAAUCGGAGUUUGCAGAAAUCAUCCAUCAAGAUGUCCUUCGUACCUCGGGGCAGUUCUACCUCAAAUUUCAACCGUCCAACAGUGAGAUAGACACAACGCUACAAAUGCAGGCUGACAACGCCCGCGACUUCAUGACCAUCACGACAGACGGCGGCUUCAUCCAUGCUCCGGUCCCAUGAGUCGAGUCGAAAGUAGUGAUGCUAUGUGUAGUUCUGAAACAUUGAUUAGCUCAUGUUGUAAUUAAACUUUAAUGAACUUGUAUGUCUCUUUGGUUUGGACAGUCGUUCAACUUAGAUGUAAUCGAUGCUAUUUAUUAGUAGGACCAUGAAUCGUGCUAUUAAUGUCUUGCUUUUCUCUUCCGAUCCUUUUGUUGCAUACUUAUAUAUUGCUUAUGUAUUGUCUGUUGUUUGGCUAGUGCAUAGAGAUGCCGUCGUAUGUCGUGUACAAGGGUAAGGUUCCCGGAGUCUACGACGACUGGGAGGAGUGUCGGAGACAGGUUCACCGUUUCAGCGGUAACAGUUACAAAGGGUACACCACUAGGGCGGAGGCGGAAUCUAGAUACGCGCGCUAUCUAGCGGGAGAGAGGACGGAGCGUUGGAGGAACCGGAUGAAGACCAGUUUCAUCGCGACGAUGCUCAUCGUGAUGACCGCAGCUCUCUUCUAUGUGAUGGUAGUUUAGAUGAUCGAUAUCGACUUGUAAUGUGAAGACAAACUCGCUACUCGCGGUCUCGAGACUUGUAAUGUUCUAUCUUUGUUCGGUCUUUUGAAUUCGGAGACUAAUAUGAUGAAUUGUAUUCGGAGACUAAUCUUCUAUUGUAUUCGAUGAAUCUGCUGUUGCUGUGUGGUGCUGCUUAUAUUCUGUCCAAUAAUAUAUUUUGUAAUCUGUGCAAAAAUCAGAAAAGAAAAAAAUAAUCCCUAAUAUACAUACUAAUGGCGCAUCAUCCCAAGGUGCGCCAUUAGUAUGCCAAAGGAUACUAAUGGCGCAUCACAACGCAGUGCGCCAUUAGUAUGCCAAAGGAUACUAAUGGCGCAUCACCCCGCAGUGCGCCAUUUGUAUGCCAAAGGAUACUAAUGGCGCAUCACCCCGCGGUGCGCCAUUAGUAUGGCUAGGCACAUGGGUAAAUAUGGCCCCCUGGGAGGCAUACUAAUGGCGCACCGUGGCCUAUACUAAUGGCGCACUGCCUGGUGCGCCAUUAGUAAAAAAUACUAGUGGCGUGGUACUAGUGGCGCACCAGUAGUGCGCCAUUAGUAGGCAAAACUGGGGCGCCACUAGUAGGCCUUUUCCUAGUAGUGGACUGUUAAUAGGCUUUUCAUGGGCCAGCCUGUUAACUUUUGACCAAGUCAAACGGGUCGGCUUUGUAAGCUAAAUGGGCCAGUGGUGGGCCGUGGCACGUGUCGACAUAUCAUAGGCGCCUAUCUGACCCACUGACGAGCUGACACGUGUUUCGUCCGACCAUAGGAAUUUUACACGUCGAAAUUUCCCAUUGGUCGGGGCUGUUAACGGGUUAUCGGAUCCAAAACCCGACCCGAUAGCUUAACGGCGUUCUGUUACGGUGGAUGCCACGUGUCGGUCACCCUUGACGAAAGCACUUCUGUGACGCGCGAUUUAUCGUCAUGGAAGUGGACACUUCCGUGAUGAUAAUUUUGGUAAUGUCAUGGAACACUUCUACGACAGCACAGUUAUGACUAUUUUGAUUCGGUCAUAAAAUCAUCAUGGAUGUACAUGCAUGACAAAAAAGCGACCUACUGUGACAAAGACAUAUCAUCACGGAAGUGUAUUUUUUUUGUAGUGAAUCAACGGGCUAUGGAGAUGCCCAUCAAUUGAUGUCAAUGCGAGGAGUAGGGAUUGCCAUGCAACGGAUGCACUAGAGCUAUAAGUGUAUGAAAGCUCAAACUAAAAACUAAGUGGGUGUGCAUCCAACUUGCUUGCUCAUGAAGACCUCGGGCAUUUGAGGAAGCCCAUCAUCGGAAUAUACAAGCCAAGUUCUAUAAUGAAAAUUCCCACUAGUAUAUGAAAGUGAUAACUCAAGAGACUCUCUAUAUGAAGAACAUGGUGCUACUCUAAAGCACAAGUGUGGUAAAAGGAUAGUAACAUUGUCCCUUCUCUCUUUUUUAUUUUUUUCUCUUUUUUUAUUUUUUUGUAGGCUUCUUUGGCCUCUUUUUUGGGGCUUCUUUGGCCACUUUUAUUUUGACAACCUCACAUGGGACAAUGUUCUAAUAAUGAUGAUCAUCACACUUUUAUUUACUUACAACUCAAUAUUACAACUCGAUACUAGAACAAAGAUAUGACUCUAUAUGAAUGCCUCUGGCAGUGUACCAGGAUGUGCGAUGAUCUAGCAUAGCAAAGAUAUCAAAAAACGGACAAGCCAUGAAAAUAUCAUGCUAGCUAUCUUACGAUCAUGCAAAUCAAUAUGACAAUGAAUGCUCAAGUCAUGUAUAUGAUGAUGAUGGAAGUUGCAUGGCAAUAUAUCUCGGAAUGGCUAUGGAAAUGCCAUAAUAGGUAGGUAUGGUGGCUGUUUUGAGGAAGAUAUAAGGAGGCUUAUGUGUGAUAGAGCGUAUCAUAUCACGGGGUUUGGAUGCACCGGCAAAGUUUGCACCAACUCUCGAGGUGAGAAAGGGCAAUGCACGGUACCGAAGAGGCUAGCAAUGAUGGAAGGGUGAGAGUGCGUAUAAUCCAUGGACUCAACAUUAGUCAUAAAGAACUCACAUACUUAUUGGAAAAAUCUAUUAGUCAUCGAAACAAAGUACUAUGCGCAUGCUCCUAGGGGGAUAGAUUGGUAGGAAAAGACCAUCGCUCGUCCCCGACUGCCACUCAUAAGGAAGACAAUCAGUAAAUACCUCAUGCUCCAACUUCGUUACAUAACGGUUCACCAGACGUGCAUGCUAUGGGAAUCACAAACUUCAAGACAAGUAUUUCAACAAUCCACAACUACCCACUAGCAUGACUCUAAUAUCACCAUCUUUAUAUCGCAAAACUAUUGCAAGGAAUCAAACAUAUCAUAUUCAGUGAUCUACAAGUUUUAUGUUGGAUUUAAUGACUAACCAUGUGAAUGACCAGUUUUUGUCAUCUCUCUAAAUAGAUAUAAGUGAAGCAAGAGAGUUUUAAUUCUUUCUACAAAAGAUAUGCCCAUUUUCUAACAAAUAUAAUUGAAGCAAAAGAGCAUUCUACAAAUGGCGGUUUUCUAUGUGAAGAGAAACGGGCAAUCCAAACUUCAAAAGAUAUAAGUGAAGCACAUGAAGCAUUCUAUAAAGCCAUACUCAAAAGAUAUAAGUGAAGUCCGAUGAGCAUUCUAUAAAUCAACCAAGGACUAUCUCAUACCAGCAUGGUGCAUUAAAGAAAAGUGAAAACUAAAUGCAAAAGACUCUCCAAGAUUUACACAUAUCAUAUGACGAAUAAAAAUAUAGCUCCAAGUAAAAUUACCGAUGAUUGUUAGAAGAAAGAGGGGAUGCCUUCCGGGGCAUCCCCAAGCUUGGUUGCUUGGGAUUCCUUGAAUAUUUCCUUGGGGUGCCUCGGGCAUCCCCAAGCUUAGGCUCUUGCCACUCCUUAUUCCUUUAUCCAUCGUGAUCUCUCCCAAAACUUGAAAACUUCAAUCACACAAAACUUAACAGAAAGUUCGGUAAGAUCCGUUAGUAUAAUAAAGCAAAUUACUACUCUAAGUACUGUUGCAAACCAAUUCAUAUUUUUUUUGCAUUGUAGCUACUGUAAUAUAACUUUUCCAUGGCUUAAUCCACUGAUAGAAAUCAAUAGUUUCAUCAAAACAAGCAAACUAUGCAUCAAAAACAGAAUGUGUCCUAAACAGGAUAGUCUGUAGUAAUCUGAACAUUCACCAUACAAAAAUUCUGAAAAAAUUAGGAAAAAUAAACAAUUUGUAUAGAAAGACAGUGCAAAAAGUUUCAGAACCGUUUGACGUUCCAUUAAAAAAAUGUAAAAUCGCGCACUACAGCCAAAGUAUCUGUCUUGCACCGCACAAACCAACAAGCAAUGUAAACAUCCUAAAGGCAAAUCUUGGCACAUUAUUUUUAUUUUUAAACUUUAUAAAAGCACACAACAGAAAUAAAUGUCUCUAUAAAACUUCCGGGUUGUCUCCCUGGCAGCGCUUUCUUUAAAGCCAUUAAGCUAGGCAUACAGUGCUCAAGUAAUGGAUCCAGCCGGAUCCCAAGGUAUAUCAAAGCCAAUUUUAAUUAACAAUGAUUUGUGAUUUAGUAGUGAGCACAAAGUAACAUAAAUCAUGCAACAACGAAGUCUAACUCCCUUCCUAUGCAUCGGCAUGUCAGAAAAGAACAAUUCAUGCACACAUAGUAAAGGCCAAUGCAUAGUAUAAACAGUUUCUUGCAAUUUUAUCAUAUUGGAAACAUGGAGAGGCGGAGAUGUAGUUCCUCUCUCAUAAUAAUUGCAAGUAGGAGCAGCAAGCACAUACAUAUUAUAUAUAUCAAAAUCAUCAUGUGUAGUAGUAAAACGCAACCCAUCAAUAUAAUCCUUAAUAAGGGCAAAAUUCUCCGAUAUAGUGUAGUCGGGAGAAUUCCAAAAGAUAAUAGGACUAUCAUGCGUGGGUGCAAUAGCAACAAUUUCAUGUUUAACAUAAGGAACUAUAGCAAGUUCAUCUCCAUAAGCAUAAUUCAUAUUGGCAUCUUGGCCACAAGCAUAGCAAGCAUCAUCAAAAAGGGAUAUUUCAAAAGAAUCAACGGGAUCAUAACAAUGAUCAUAGCAUUCAUCCUUCGGUAAGCAUUCAUUAGAAGGUGAGCACGGGUAGCUAAUCCGCUCUUCCUCCUUUUGUUCUUCGCUCUCAUCAUCAUCUUUUUCAUCCAAUGAGCUCACAGUUUCAUCAAUUUCUUCUUCCAUAGACUCCUGCAAAAUAUUAGUCUCUUCUCGGACAACGGAGACUUUCUCAAUAAAUUCAUCAAUAUCAUAAUUGUAUUUAUAGUUCUCAUAGCAAUAUUUAAGGAUAGCUAAAUUUUUAGGUCUAUAAACUGAAUCAUCAAAAUCUUCAAACUCUUUAAACAAUGAUUCAAUUUCACAAGCACCCUUAAAAGCACCAAAUUCUUCUAUUCGUUCCACAUCAUAGUAAUCAUAUAUACCAUUAGCAUAAGAAGCUAAGGUUUCAUUAUCAUUAAAUUCGCAUGAAAAGGGAAGGUGUGGAGCCUACAUCCUAGAGCAACAAGUAUAAUCAUAUCUCAAGCAUAGUUGCCGAGCAUACCAAUGCAACAUAUAAAUUGGAUCCCAUAAUAGUUUCCCUUUCUGAGUCAAGCGAUAAUCCCUAAGUAUUCACAUUGAUCCAACGUGUCUCCCAUUACAUAAUUGAAUGGGGUUUUCUCGGGAUUAUUAAAGUAGUGCAUAAUAUCUUUCACAUAAUGAGCAUCGAGGGUUUUAGGAGGUUCCCCAUCUCCAUGAGUAGCAAGUAAACCUAUUUUUUUUGUUAUUUCGUGUUUCAUAUCCAUAACUAAAUAUACAGAACAACUUAGAACAUCAAAUAAAAAUUACUUAAUGAUAAAGCAAACAAGCACACACGAGAAUAUUCACCCCACGCUAUUGCUCCCCGGCAACGGCGCCAAAAAAGGUCUUGAUAACCCACAAGUAUAGGGGAUCAAUUGUAGCCUCUUUCGAUAAGUAAGAGUGUCGAACCCAACGAGGAGCUAAAGGUAGAACAAAUAUUCCCUCAAGUUGUAUCGACCGCCGAUACAACUCUACGCACGCUUAACGUUCGCUUUACCUAGAACAAGUAUGAAACUAGAAGUGCUUUGUAGGUGUUGUUGGAUAGGUUUGCAAGAUAAUAAAGAGUGCGUAAAUAAAAAGUAGGGGCUGUUUAGAUGAAGACACAACUAAGUUAGUUUUAGUAGAGAGCUUUUUGUCACACAAGAAAGUUAUUUGUCCCUAGGCAAUCAAUCACUAGACCGGUAAUCAUUAUUGCAAUUUUAUUUGAGGGAGAGGCAUAAGCUAACAUACUUUCUCUUCUUGGAUCAUAUGCACUUAUGAUUGGAACUCUAGCAAGCAUCCGCAACUACUAAAGAUCAUUAAGGUAAAACCCAACCAUAGAAUUAUAAGGCAUCAAGUCCUCUUUAUUCCCAUAGGAAAACAACCUACUUACUCGGGUCUGUGUUUCUAUCACUCACGCCACCCACCAUAAGAAAAUCAUGAACAUAUUGCAAACCCUACAGUGGGGAUCCCUCACGCUUGCACGACACGGAGAGCACCAUAGACAGCACCAAUAAUAAAACAUGCAACUCAAACCAAUCACGAUCAUCAAUUAACCCAUAGGGCAAAACAGAUCUACUCAAACAUCAUAGGAUAGCCAUACAUCAUUGGGAAAUAAUAUAUAGCGUUGAGCACCAUGUUUAAGUAGAGAUUACAGCGGGUAAAAGAGGGGUUACACCGCUGUAUAGAGGGGGGAAGAGUUGGUGAUGAUGGCUGUGAAGUUGUUGGUGUAGAUUGCGGUGAUGAUUAUGGCCCCGGCGGUGUUCCGGCGCCACUGGAAGAGAGGGGGAGAGAGCCCCCCUUCUUAUUCUUCUUCUUCCUUGACCCUCUCCCUAGAUGGGAGAAGGGUUUCCCCUCUGGUCCAUGGCCUCCAUGGCAUGGGAGGGGCAAGAGCCCCUCCGAGAUUGCAUCUGUCUCUCUGUCUCUCUCUGUUUCUGCGUUUCAGAUUCUGUCCUUUCACCGUUUCUUAAAUUCCCGGAGAUUGGUAACUCCAAUUGGGCUGAAUUUUGGACACGAUUUUUAUCCGGAUAUUAGCUUUCUUGUGGCGAAAGAAGGGCACCAACCGCCUUACGGGGUGGCCACGAGGGCCCAGGGUGCGCCCCCUGCCUCGUGGCCCCCUCGGGCAUCGUCUCGCGUUGAUUCUUCUUCCCAAAAAUCAGAUAUAUUCCAAAAAAUUCUCCGUUAGUUUUUAUCCCGUUUGGACUCCGUUUGAUAUGGAUUUUCUGCGAAACAAAAAAACAUGCAAUAAACAGGAACUGGCACUGGGCACCGGAUCAAUAUGUUAGUCCCAAAAAUAGUAUAAAAAGUUGCCAAAAGUAUAUGAAAGUUGUAGAAUAUUGGCAUGGAACAAUAAAAAAAUUAUAGAUACGACGAAGACGUAUCAGAGAGCGGCCCGCCUAGCCGUUGGAACCGGCACUAAUGGUCACAUUAGUGCCGGCUCAAAUACAAACCGGGACUAAUGAGCUGAACAUUUGACCCUUUUUCUACUAGUGGAGGUACCACUUAAGCCACAACAUUGAAAUUAUCUUAAUUAAUGGAUCUAAAAUAUACAAAGAGCGAAUAUGGGUACCAAAGAGGUACCACAUUAAGCUACAUCAUCCAAAUAAUCUAAUCAUUGGAUUCAAAAUUUGUGGUUAGAUUUUAACACAAGAUUAGUAGUCAACUAACCAUGUCCAUAUAUCAGUGUUCAAAAUUUAUAUUGAGAAGGAUACAUUUCAAAUACGAAUCUGGCCGACCAGACAUGGAACCUGAUUACAUUUUUGUGCAAAAGGACCUAGAUCUAGUAUAAAAGUUCAUAAGAAAUACAAAGCACCCUAAACAUAAUCAAAAUUUCAUUGAGAACCCUACACCACCAAAUGACCACUACCUCCGCCAGUAUGAGCCACUGACGCACCUUUGUCGCCGCUCCAGUAUUGAAGCCGGCUUCACCUGAUCGAUGAUAAUCGGGAAGGCUUCGUGCGGGUGCCCCUAAGGAUCAGUGCCCGAUAGCCGCAGUCGUCGCCUUUGACUCCUCUUGACAUAUCUUCCUAGAACAAUAGUUGCGUUCUGAAAAAUGAGAGAGAAGGAAACUACAUACCUCAGCUAGCUAGAACAUAGUGCCGUCGAUAAAGAUGUGUCAGGAUAUGAACUGAUCAAUACAUGUAUGUAGCCAAGUAUGCUGAUAUACACAUAUGUGUGGCCAAAUAUACACCUCUAUUAAAGGGAACAAUUUCGCUAAAGCUCAUUGAUAACCCACAAGUAUAGGGGAUCAAUUGUAGCCUCUUUCGAUAAGUAAGAGUGUCGAACCCAACGAGGAGCCAAAGGUAGAACAAAUAUUUCCUCAAGUUCUAUCAACCACCGAUACAAAUCUAUGCACGCUUGACGUUCGCUUUACUUAGAACAAGUAUGAAACUAGAAGUACUUUGUAGGUGUGAUAGGAUAGGUUUGCAAGAUAAUAAAUAGCACGUAAAUAAAAUCUAGGCGCUGUUUAGAUAAAGACAAGACUAAGUUAGUUUAAGUAGAGAGCUUUUGUCAACAAGAAAGUUAUUUGUCCCUAGGCAAUCGAUAACAAGUACCGGUAAUCAUUCUUGUAAUUUUAUAUGAGGGAGAGGCAUGAGCUAACAUACUUUCUCUACUUGGAUCAUAUGCACUUAUGAUUGGAACUCUAGCAAGCAUCCGCAACUACUAAAGAUCAUUAAGGUCAUGAAACCCAACCAUAGCAGUAAGUAUCAAGUCCUCUUUACUCCCAUACGUCAUACCCCAGUUACUCGGGUUUAAGUUUCUGUCACUCUCGCAACCCACCAUAAGCGAACCAUGAACAUAUUGCAACACCCUACAGCAAAGGCCCCUCACAUUUGCGCGAGAACGGAGGGCACCGUAGGACAGCACCAUAAAUAAAAUAUACAAUCAUACCAACCAAGAUCACGAUUAACCCAUAGGACAAAACGGAUCUACUCAAACAUCAUAGGAUAAUCAUAGAUCAUUGGGAAAUAAUAUAUGAAGUUGAGCACCAUGUUUAAGUAGAGAUUACAGAGGGGGGAAGAGGCGCUACACCGCUGCAUAGAGGGGGAGAAAGUUGGUGUUGACGGUAGCAAGAUUGUUGAUGUAGAUCACCGUCACGAUCCUUGCCGCGGCGGCACUCCGGCGCCACCGGAAGCGAGGGGGAGAGAGCCCCCCCUCCUUCUUCUUCUUCCUUGGCCUCCCCCCUAGAUGGGAGGAGAGUUCCCCCUCUGGUCCUUGGUCUCCAUGGUGCCGGAGGGGCGGUAGCCCCUCCGAGAUUGGAUCUCCCUCUCUGUCCUCUUCUGUUUUGCGUUUCCCAGAUCUAGCCGAAAACCGUUUCUUAUAUUCCUGGAGAUCCGUAACUCCGAUUGUGCUGAGAUUUUUACACUAUUUUUUUCCGGAUAUAAGCUUCCUUGCGCUCGACGUAGAGCUCCAACCGACGUUCGAGGAGGGAACAACCCACCACCGCGUGCCAGGGCCUCUGGCGCGCCCUGGUGUCUUGUGGGCUGUGUGGGCCUCCGUUUGCGGUGAUUCCAACUCUGAAAAAUCACAUAUAUUCCAAAAUAGUUCUCCGUGAAAUUUUAUUGCAUUUGGAGUUCGUUUGAUAUGGAUACUCUGCAAUACAAAAAACAUGCAAAAAACAAGAACUGGCACUGGGCACUGGAUCAAUAGGUUAGUCCAAUAAAUCAUAUAAAAAGUUGCCAAAAGUAUGUGAAAGUGAUAUAAUAUUGGCAUGAAACAAUAAAAAAUUAUAGAUACGACAGAGACGUAUCAGCAUCCCCAAGCUUAAUUCCUACUCGUCCUCGAGCAGGUAAAUGAUAAAAAAGAUAAUUUUUGAUGUGGAAUGCUACCUAGCAUAAACUUGAUCAUAUAUCUAGUCAUGGCAUGAAUAUUAAGACAUAAGUGAUUCAAAGCAAUAGUCUAUAAUUUGACAUAAAGACAUCAAUACUCAGGCAUCCCAACAAACAGUCAUGUCUUCCAAAAUAUCAAUGCUAAAGAAAUUUAUCCCUACAAAAUCAUAUAGUCUUGUCAUGCUCUGUCUUCUUAACAGAAAGUAUUUAUCAUGCACAACCCCGAUGACAAGCCGAGCAAUUGGUUCAUACUUUUUAACGCGCUUCAGCUUUUUCAACCCUCAUGCAAUACAUGAGCGCAAGCCAUGGAUAUAGCACUAUAGGUGGAAUAGAGUAUGAUGAUAGGGGUAAAUAUAGAGAAGACAAAAAAGUAAGAAAGUCUCACAUCGACGCGGCUAACCAACGGGCUAUGGAGAAGCCCAUCAAUCGAUAUCAACGUGAGGAGUAGGGAUUGCCAUGCAACGAAUGCACUAAAAGCUAUAAGUGUAUGAAAGCUCAAUAUCAAAACUAAGUGGGUGUGCAUCUAAUCCUAUAAUGAAAAAUUCCCACUAGUAUAUGAAAGUGACAACAUAGGAGAAUCUCCAUAUGAAAAACAUGGUGCUACUUUGAAGCACAAGUGUGGUAAAGGAUACUAACAAUGCCCCUUCUCUCUUUGUUUAUUUUUCUUUUUCUUUUCUUUAUUUUUUUUUCUCUCAUUGUCCGGAGUCUCAUCCUGACUUGUGGGGGAAUAAUAGUCUCCAUCAGCCUUUCCUCACUGGGGCACUGCUCUAAAAAUGAAUAAUGAUGAUCAUCACACUUCUAUUUACUUAUAACUCAAAAGAAAUAAAAAUUACAAUUCGAUACCUGUCGGGGAUAUACCCCGCGGCGUAAACCGGCCGGAAGUAUAACCCGGCCGGACUUGGCGGUUUACUUGAGACCCGUCUGAGAAUUGACGAUCCACUGGCGACCCGUUUGGACCUGGCGGUUUACGAUUCAUUGGUAAUCCGGCAGGCGGGUUAGAGGAGCGACAAGACCCGGUGGCCCAACGGGCGAUUCAUGAAGGCCGGCUCAUACUAUGGUGGGCCGGUUUAAGAGGAAAGGCGUGAGGAAUAUUUGUCUUACAAGGAGUUAAGACCUGGACUUGUAUCCGGUUUGUAUUAGAGAUAGACUAGUCCUAAUCCUAAUAGGACUCCACAUGUAACCCGCCCCUUCAACAUAUAUAUAAGGAGGGGCAGGGCUCCCCAAAGAGGGACAUGCAACAAUCAAUAAACUCUAGGGUAGACACAAUUAGAGGAGAGCCGGUUUACGGCGACUCCCUCAUGAGCGUAAUGAGAUCUAGCCUCAAACAACAUGUAGGGUUAUUACCGAAUGAUGUUUCCCGGGGCCCGAAGCUGUCUAAAUCCUCGUCUUGUGUUGCGUCUCUCGAUUCCGCUCAACCCCUCUCAAGCUACUACAUAGAUGCGCUGACCUCACGACUAAGUCCUCACCCUAGGACAUCUGACAUGACAAUUCCACGACAGUUGGCGCCCACCGUGGGGCUCGCGCUCGGUGGUGUUGAGUUCUUGGAGGGAUUUUUCCCAGGGAUCGAGGAGUUCAUAAUGUUCCAGAUGAGGAAGAGCCGGUUGGAGAGGAUCUACUUCAGCUUCGAAUUCAUCGGUUCUGAUUCAUCGCUUGUGAGAUUUAAGGUUCAAGAAAAUCGAGGUUGCGAGAUGUAUGCUGCCGCAAUUCGCCAAGUCAACAGGAGCCAUCGACCUGAACCAGAUCGAUUUUCCUUUGCGUAAACUAGUCAUCAUCAAGACCGUUUGGAUACCCUGCAAGUCCAGAGGCCUCCCAUCGAAGGUACUGUUCACUCCAGGAGGAGAUCAAAGACAAGCCAACUACUCCCGUCAAGAUCAAUCGAGUAGUACUAUUAUUCAUCGGGAAGCAACACUGGCGUUCGGAUCCGCACGCGCGCAGCCAAAACGCAAAGGUCAAAACUCAACACGACUCGGACAGGUUUGUUCAAAUCGGCCAUGACCUGGAGAAGGACCCAGGCGUAAACCCGGACUUGGAUGAUUCUGCAACGGCAACCUCGCCCUGAGCCGCCGUACGCUGCGUCAGGAUAAGACUAUGCUAGAGGAGACUUGGCAUCCACUCCCACGUGAAGUUAAGGAAGAAUAAAAAAGGGGAUCACAUGAUUAAGGAUCCAAUCCGGAUUGACAGAUAGCAAUUCUAAUACUAGUCAAAAGAUCAACCAAAAAAUCAAAUGGCCACACGGAUGCCAAGCGAUCCAUCGCUCUGAGCAGCCGUUUUCAGACCGGCCAGGCCUCAGUUGAGCCGUCGUGGCCUGUCUCUAUUGAGACCUGCCGUCGAGACUGCCUUCACUAUCAUUUUGGUUCAAUGCGCCCGCCUGGGUUGACCCGACUGCCUUCGUCACGGCUGCAGCAUGGUUUGUUUUAAGCUGCCCUCACCAACGCGCACGGAGCCGCUGAAAGGUUGACCCGCUGCCCUUCUGAUGGUUUGCUGGGCCUGACUGCUGGCUCGCCGCGCCUGGUUCUUUUUGGAUGCAUCCCGUGAGUGUGUUGACUGAUCAAAAGACUCCUGCGGUGGCGAGGGUCAGUGGCAGCCUCUUUUUAUCUGGUCUGCAUUCAUAUGGUAUGGAAGAUAUUGAACCACAUGCAUACGGUUACACGAAGUGCACCCGAAGGCAGACUGCAAAACACUGGUGUUGUGGAUACAUUACAUAGUACUGCUAGUACUACAUGGAGAUUAAAAGCUACUGCCGUUUCUUCAUUUCAUCAAGACAAAUGAGUUUUUUAUAGACGGAAUAAAAAAGCAAUGAAUCAUUGCGGCAGUCGCGAAGACCACAUGGGGUGCUACUGCUACAUCAGCUACACGUACAUGCAGGCGGUUUAUUUUCUGACCAACUACGUCCAGCAUUAUCCACCAUCAGUGAGAAUUAUUCAUUACAAAGUGGCAUUAUACAACGGAGAUGAAGGCGUGCCAACAUUAUUCGGCACAGGUGGUCGUCCUUACUCAACAGACUCUCGCACCGGCUUACAAUGCUGUGGCUGACUCGCCCGUCCGCACCAUCUUACAACGCCACGGACGAUUCGCCCGUCCGCCUUAGCCGCCGGUUCACGCGUCCGCGCCGGCUUACAACGCGGAGGACAACUUGCUCGUCCGCACCGGCUUACAAAUGUCGUGGCUGAUUGAUCUGUCUGCUCCCGCGGCCGAUUCACCUGUGAGGGAUUUCAGUUUCACCUAGUGAUCAUCAACUUCAUGGCGGAUUAUUUUUCGGUCUAAACACAUCAGGUGAUGCCCAUCUAAAAAAUAUAUUUUAUUAGCACAUAUUAUUUUUUGUCAAAGAUCAGUUUAUCUUUGCCUUGGUCUGCAAUAUUGUUUAUGCAGGACAAUUAUUCACUACAGAAGCUAUGGUUGUGUCAUGGAUAUAUAACUCGCGCCACCAUUAUAAGGUGCUAGUAUCUUACCAUGCCAUCAAGAUCGAUGUAUAUAUGUGCAAACCACCAUUUUUGCAGACCGGUUUACAUCAAUAUAAUGUGGCUAACUCGCCCGUCCACGCCGGUUUACAACGCCGCGGCCGACUCAUGUGUCUAUGCUGCCUCUGAAGCCGCGGUCGUCUUUGUCGUCCGUCUCUCGCGGCCUGGUCUACAUCAACACACUGGGCCGCACCUGUCUGCAUGAGCUGUUUAUUGAGCAUGAGCAAGUCACAGCUUCGGUAGCCCGGUUUUCUUUCAACAAAAUGGAGGCAAAUUAUCAUAUACUAUCAACCGCCGUCUGCACUGGGUGGCUCAAUGGGCAGGCGCACAAGUCGCCGCCACUAUAGUUUGGUUAACUUCAAAUCGCCAGUUGGAAGGAACCAUUGGCCGAGUUGCUGACACGGCUCAUACGGGAUCAUUUACAACCCGCCGCAAUCACCUCAACCUUCUGUGGAUUCACAUCGUGCUAUCAACACCAAUGAUAUAUAAGUUAUGCCGGUUUAUAUCACGGUCAAAAUAUGGAGAAUCUCAAGCCAACUCCUCGAGUCACCUUUGAGACUCGGGGGCUACGAUGACAUGAUUCAUCAAAUCUUGCCAGUUUCAGCAAAUUUAAGAACCCCAGGACGAUGGAGGGACAGAUAACCCGGUCCCGUUGGCUACUGUUAUAUUGAUGAAAAUUUAAAGGCCGUCAGAAAAUUUCCGGCUUAGAAAGUAUAUGACAGUUACAAAAUCCCGGCUCAAUGAAGAAGUUCCGGGUCAUCAGAAAGCAUUCCGGUUUAAAAUCUGGCUUAAAGGAAGUCAGUCUCACUGAAGCUCUCAAUAUCCGGUUUACAAUCCGGUUCAAGGGAAAUCUAUUCUCCCACAAAGCUCUGAAGCGCUCAAAUCCGGUUUAACAAUGCCCGGUUCAAAAAAGAAUUAAUCUCUCGCAAGUUCGAGUUUAAAUGCCGUCAUAAAAUUUCCGGCUGAAAAUGAAGAUUCCGGUUUAAAAUCCGGUUCAAGAGAAAGAUGUCUCCCACAAAGCUUUGAAGCUCUCAAUAUCCGGUUUAAAAUCCUGGUUCAAGAAGAAUUUAUUUCUUGUAAAAAGUUAAAGGUUGCCGAAGAGGACCUGCUGCCAUGAUGCGCGGUUCAAACAUGGGUAUCCUGCCUUAUUGGCUUAUCAUAUUAUUGAUCACUUGGGGGCUUGGUCGUAUCCGAACCAUAGCUACACCUCUUGAUCGCCGCAAUGCCACGGCAUCACUUGGGGGCUUGGUCGUAUCCGUACCAUAGCUACACCUCUUGAUCGACGCAAUACCACAUCAUCACUUGGGGGCUUGGUCGUAUCCGAACCAUAGCUACGCCUCUUGAUCGGCGUAAUGCCACAGCAUCACUUGGGGGCUUGGUCGAACCCGAACCAUAGCAACGCCUCUUGAUCGGCGUAAUGCCACAGCAUCACUGGGGGGCUUGGUCGAACCCGAACCAUAGCAACACCUCUUGAUCGGUGUAAUGCCACAGCAUCACUUGGGGGCUUGGUCGAACCCGAACCAUAGCUACGCCUCUUGAUCCAAUUUGGGGCCUGGCAGCCACUACUAGGAAAAGGCCUACUAGUGGCGCACCAGUUUUGCCUGGGUGCGCCAUUAGUAACAAUUUUUUUUAAAAAAAAUUCAGAAUUUUUUUUUCAUUUUUUUUAAAGUUUUUCUUAAUCUCAGGUCAAUAUGCUUAAUCUCAAGUCAAAUCGCACUCUGUGGUCAAACUUCCCGGAAGGUCACCCAUCUUCACACUACAAUUUUUUUAAAAAAAAAUUCAGAAUUUUUUUUUCAUUUUUUUAAAAGUUUUUCUUAAUCUCAGGUCAAUAUGCUUAAUCUCAAGUCAAAUCGCACUCUGUGGUCAAACUUCCCGGAAGGUCACCCAUCUUCACACUACUCCAGCCCGAGCACGCUUAACUUUGUAGUUCUAUCCAACCCCAGCACCAACUCACUUCACAGGCACUUGUUGAUAUAUCUAUCAUAUCAAUCCUAUUAAACCUUGUUGAUGUCUAGGACUUUGUUCAUGUUCAUGAGUAUGAUGAAAUUUUGAAAAAAUAUUUCAAACUUCCCGGUCAUAUUACGUAUCAUAUUUUGAAAAAAAAUUCCAAUUUUUUUUUCGAAACCAAUUUUUUUUCUGUUACUAGUGGAAGCCCCGUCACACAUUUCACUGUUUGAGUUUGAAACUAUUGUUUUAAAAAACAAUAAUUAUUUAGUAACACUAAUAUUUCUUGAAUAAUUAGUUUGACCAUUGUUUGACCACAGUUUGACCAGAUUUGACCAAAAUUCAAAAAAACUAAAAUAAUUAUUUAGUAACACUAAUAUUCUAGAAUAAUUAGUUUGACCACAGUUUGACUAGAUUUGACCAGAUUUGACCAAGUUUGAAUUUUUUUCCACUUUUUUCCACUCUAGAUCUUAAAAGCCCCGUAACUUUUUUUUCUGUUAGGUUUUUGAGGAUUUUGAAAAUGUUUAACGAGGUUCCCUUGGUUAAAUUCAGAUUAACUUUUCAAGUAGAUGAUUUUUCAUAUAAAAAACUUUUUAAUCCGAGUUCGUAUGCAAAAGUUAUGCCCAUUUUACAAAUUCCAGAGAGAUUUUGCAAAUAAAGUCGAAAUUCAUAUUUGUAAAUUUUCCCAACAAGUAGACCACAUAUCACAUGGGAAACUUAUUUUCUUUUAUUUUUUUGACAUUUCCAUCAUUUUAUUUUAUUUUUUUAAACUGAAAAGGCGGUCCGGGGGGGUGCAUUCGGUGGAAUUUUUGGGCCAAGUUAGUAAUGGCGCGCCGUGGGAGUGGUGCGCCAUUACUAGUUCAACUAGUAAUGGCGCACCACACACACAGUGCGCCAUUACUAGUUUGAAAAAAAAUUGAAAAAAAAUACUAGUGGCGCAUCGUGGAUGUGGUGCGCCAUUACUAGUUUAACUAGUAAUGGUGCACUAUCCACUGGUGCGCCAUUACUAGUUUUGAAAAAAAAAUUGAAAAAAAAUUACUAGUGGCGCACCGUGGAUGUGGUGCGCCAUUACUAGUUUAACUAGUAAUGGCGCACUAUCCACUGGUGCGCCAUUACUAGUUUUGAAAAAAAAAUGAAAAAAAAUUGUUACUAAUGGCGCACCGUGGAUGUGGUGCGCCAUUAGUAUUUGGACACCAAUGGCGCACCGACACAUGGUGCGCCAUUAGUAUAUAGUAGUGGCGGACCACAUGUCUGGUGCGCCAUUAGUGGCCAUAUCAUCUAUAGCCCUUUUCCUAGUAGUGAGCCCGUGAAAAGCCUCGACUACAACGGUUUUAUUUGCCUUUUGCUAUGUUUCUCUUUAUUUUGAUAAGAUUUGUGAUGUUUUCAAACCGGUGUUUAUCAACCCGGUUAGGCUGUCAACUACAAGUUGUCAGUACAUGAUCAAAUUAUAAUCCGGAGACUAUCAGCCCAGUCUGGUUUGACUACAAGUCGCCAGUAUUAUAUAUGGUUAAUCCGAUGUUUAUCACAACCCGGCACGGUUUUAUCAUAAACCGGCACAAUAUGGAAGGAGUUAUCAGUACUCAAGAUUGGGUUAUCACCUUUAGUACAAUAAAGUUGGCCAACCAAUGAUGUGAUUUAAUGUCACAGGUAUGAUAUAUUUCAUAUUUGAUUAUACUUAAGUGCAGCCUUGGUUAUCAACCCAGGUUAUAUGUUGGGCAUUAUGACCCGUCCGGCGGUAAACCGCCAGGACACUUUAAACUUGUUAUAUGCAGAAACAGGUUGAAUAAAGCGUGAUUAUAAAUCACCGGAGUUUAUUAACCCGGCCUGGCUUUCGACUAUAAGUCGCCAGUAUGAUGAUAAAUUAUCCGGUGUUUAUUAAACCGGCCUGGCUUUAAGACGAUAAGUCGCCAGUAUAUGAUGAGAAAUUAUCCGGUGUUUGUUAACCCGGCCUGGCUUUGGACUAUAAGUUGCCAGUAUAUAUUUGGAUUGCGCCAUUGGAAUCAUGCGCUUAUAAAUCAUUGGGUUAUAUUAUUCAAAUAGCCAAACUUGGCUGAAUUUUCAUUAUGAUAUUGAAUGAAUAAGGUUUUCAUACCGGAUUAUAUUAUCUGGAAUAGCCAACAUGGCUGGAUUUUUAUUAUGGUUAUUAGUAACCGGUAUUAUUGAGGUUUUCAAAGUGGCUUUAGCGCAAUGGCUAUUAUUUUAUCAAAGGAUAUGAUUUAUUCUACAAUGGAAGGAAUAGUCCCGAGUCGCUGCAGGCUUACGACUCGGCACUUGGGGGCUACGUUAUUCAAAUUGAGAUUACAUGCAAGUCUCAUGUCGCUGCAAGCAUGCACCAUGACACUUGGGGGCUAAUGCAAAGUCUUUUUUACUAGUCUUAUUGAAAAUCCGACUCAUCACAUUGUAUGGAGCCGGCCCUUGGGGGCUACCAAUUGCUCCUGUCAACAAUUCAAGGUACACAAGUCUUAAUUCAUUAUAUUGAAAGGUUCAUUGCUCAGUUGGUAAAGCACAAAGCUCUUAACCUUGUGGACGUGGGUUCAGGCCCUACGAUAGAAGCUACAGUAUAAGAUAUUAUUUUUGAAGUAUAUAUCAAGUCCUGGUUCAUUAUUAUCUUACUAAGCCGGCCCUUGGGGGCUACACAUCACUGCUCAAGUCUACAUGAUUAUAUUUACAAAGUCCCUGCUCAUUAUUGCAUAAUGACCCGGCCCUUGGGGGCUACACUGAUUGAAGUUUUUAUAAGCAAUACAAGUCCCAGGUUGCUGCAAGCAUGACAACCCGGUACUUGGGGGCUACAUAUAUGGAGUAUUCAUUUGUGACUAGUAACUGGGAUGAACAACAUGGAUAUCUUUGAAAGUGGCAGUAUUUAUAUUGAAGCAAGUCUUAAUCCAUCACUUUGUUCUGCUCAAGACUUGGGGGCUACAGGUAUUAUAUUAUUAUCGGAGAAAUAUUUUCAAAUUAUCUGUUUUGAGCAAACCAGAUUGACCCGGCGUCACCAAUCAUUAUGACCCUGUGUCUGCAACCCGGCAUCAUCAAUAAUCAUGAUCCGGCAUUGGCAACAAUCAUGAACCGGCGUUGGCAACAAUCAUGACCCGGAAUUAUCAGUUUUAAUAACCCGGCAAUGCUGGUAAUCAUAAACCGGCAAGUUCUACAUUUUCAAACCGGUUGGAUAUCAGUUGAAUAUUUGAAAGACCAACGUUUUGGUUAAAGUCAGAGCAUUGAAGGCCGAUUCAAGUGGAUUUUUUAUUUACAAUACUUAUUAUACAAGUAAAUUGAUUAUGAAGCUGGUCUAUUGACCCGGAUUUUCUAGAAGGAGGAAAUGACAAGGACUUAAGGAGGAUCACGUGCCGGUUUACAAGAAUUCUUAACCCAGAGCACAACCUGUCAAAUUUGUCCUUGUGUUUAUUUUACAGGUCAGUUUAACAUGGAUAAAUCCAAAUUAAACUUGGGGCUAAUGUCGAGGAUAUACCCCGCGGCGUAAACCGGCCGGAAGUAUAACCCGGACGGACUUGGCGGUUUACUUGAGACCCGGCUGAGAAUUGACGAUCCACUGGCGACCCGUUUGGACCUGGCGGUUUACGAUUCAUGAGUAAUCCGGCAGGCGGGUCAGAGGAGCGACAAGACCCGGUGGCCCAACGGGCGGUUCAUGAAGGCCGGCUCAUACUAUGGUGGGCCGGUUAAGAGGAAAGGCGUGAGGAAUAUUUGUCUUACAAGGAGUUAAGACCUGGACUUGUAUCCGGUUUGUAUUAGAGAUAGACUAGUCCUAAUCCUAAUAGGACUCCACAUGUAACCCGCCCCGUCAACAUAUAUAAGGAGGGGCAGGGCUCCCCAAAGAAGGACAGGCAACAAUCAAUAAACUCUAGGGCUAGACACAAUUAGAGGAGAGCCGGUUUAUGGCGACUCCCUCAUUAGCGUAAUGAGAUCUAGCCUCAAACAGCAUGUAGGGUUAUUACCGGAUGAUGACGGGCCCGAAGCUGUCUAAAUCCUCGUCUUGUGUUGCGUCUCUUGAUUCCGCUCAACCCCUCUCAAGCUACUACGUAGAUGCACUGGCCUCACGACUAAGUCCUCACCCUAGGACAUCUGACGUGACAAUUCCACGGCAAUACCUAUGACAAAAUAUGACUCUAUAUGAAUGCCUCUGGCAUGUAGCAGGAUGUGCAAUGAUCUAGCGUAACAUGUAUGAAAAAUGAUGAACGGUGGCUGAGCCACAACUACUAUGUCAGCUAUAUGAUCAUGCAAAGCAAUAUGACAAUGAAUGCUCAAGUCAUCAAACAAAAGUGGUGGAAGUGGCAUGGCAAUAUAUCUCGGCAUGACCAUGGAAAAGCCAUAAUAGGUAGGUAUGGUGGCUGUUUUGAGGAAGAUAUAAUAAGCUUUUGUGUGAUAGAGCGUAUCAUAUCACGGGGUUUGGAUGCGCCUGCGAAGUUUGCACCACAUCUCGAGGUGCGAAAGGGCAAUGCACGGUACCGUAGAGGCUAGCAAAUUGCGGAAAGGUAAGAGUGCGUAAAAUCCAUGGACUCACAUUAGUCAUAAAUAACUCAUAUACUUAUUGCAAAAGUUUAUUAGCCCUCGAAGCAAAGUACUACUAUGCAUGCUCCUAGGGGGAUAGAUUGGUAGGAAAAGACCAUCGCUCGUCCCCGACCGCCACUCAUAAGGAAGACAAUCAAUAAUAAAUCAUGCUCCAACUUCAUAGCAUAACGAGAGACUAUACGUGCAUGCUUCGGGAAUCACAAACCGUAACACCAAUAUUCCUACUAAACACAACCAUUUACUAGUACCUCCCACAUAUUCCAUCUCUAUAUCGCAAAACUAUUGCAAGGAAUCAAACAUAUCAUAUUCAGUGAUCCGUAAGUUUUAUGUAGGAUUUUAUGACUAACCAUGCAAUUGACCAAUUCCUUUUGACUCUCUAAAUAGGUAUAAGUGAAGCAUGAGAGUUUAAUUCUUUCUACAAAAGACCAUGCUCUAAUAAAUACAAGUGAAGCAAAAGAGCAUUCUAUAAAGGCCAUACUCAAAAGAUAUAAGUGAAGUGCAAUGAGCAUUCUAUAAAUCAACCAUGGACUAUCUCAUACCAUAAUGGUGCAUAAAAGAAAAAGGGGAAAACUAAAUGCAAAAGACGCUCCAAGAUUUGCACAUAUCACGCGAACGAAACGAGAACGAAAACAUACCGAUACUUGUUGAAGAAAGAAUAUGGGAUGCCUUCCGGGGCAUCCCCAAGCUUAGACGCUUGAGUAUCCUUGAAUAUUUACUUGGGGUGCCUUGGGCAUCCCCAAGCUAGAGAUCUUUCCUCUCCUCCUUCUCCUCAUAUCGAGACCUCCUCGAUCUUUGAUCACUUAAUCCACACAAAACUCAACAGAAAGUUCGGUAAGAUUCAUUAGUAUAAUAAAGCAAAUCACUACUUUAAGUACUGCUGCAAACCAAUUCAUAUUUUGUUUUUGAAUUUUAGCUAUUGUAAUAUAAUCUUUUCAUGGCUUAAUCCACUAAUAGAAUCAAUAGUUUCAUCAAAACAAGCAAAACAAUGCAUAAAAAACAGAAUCUGUCUUAAACAGGACCGUCUGUAGUAAUCUGAACAUUCACCAUACCUCUGGUACUCCAAAAAUUCUGAAAAAUUAGGAAAAAAAUUUGUAUGGAAAGACAGUGCAAAAAGUUUCAGAACCGUUUGACAUUCCAGUAAAAAAUGUAAAAUCGCCCACUACAGCCAAAGUUUCUGUUUUGCACCGCACAAACCAACAAGCAAUGUACACAUCCUAGAGGCAAAUCUUGGCACAUUAUUUUUAUAAUACAAUGGAAUUGUACAAGGGGAUAAUUAUUUUUGUUGAAAAGUUUCUAUAGUUAAGAUUCACAAAGUUUCCAAGGGGAUGAACAAAGUUCAAGGCUAGCUCCCGCUUCCACGGUGCUCGUCUAUCUCGCUUUCACUUUUCUUUUUGUGAAGUUUUAAGUUCCCCUCUAUUUUUGUGUUUUUAAACUUUAUAAAAGCACUCAACAGAAAUAAAUGACUCUCUAAAACUUCUGGGUGGUCUCCCUGGCAGCGCUUUCUUUAAAGCCAUUAAGCUAGGCAUAAAGUGCUCAAGUAACGGAUCCACCCGGAUCCCAAAGUAUAUCAAAGCCAAUUUGAAUCAACAAUGAUUUGGCAUUUAGUAGUGAGCACAAAGCAACAUAUAUCAUGCAAUGACGAAGUCUAACUCUCUUCCUAUGCAUCGGCAUGUCUUACAAGAACAAUUCAUGCACAUCAAGUAAAGUCCAAUGCAUAGUAUAAACAGUUUCUUGCAAUUUUUUCGUGUCGGAAACAUAGAGAGGUGGAGAUAUAGUUCCUCUCUCAUAAUAAUUGCAAGUAGGAGCAGCAAACACAUGCAUAUUAUAUUCAUCAAAAUCAUCAUGUGCAAUGGUAAAAGGCAACCCAUCAAUAUAAUCCUUAACAAGAGCAAACUUCUCCGAUAUAGUGUAGUUUGGAGAAUUCAAAAAGAUAAUAGGACUAUCAUGUGUGGGUGCAAUAGGAACACUUUCAUUCUUAACAUAAGGAACUAUAGCAAGUUCAUCUCCAUAAGCAUAAUUCAUAUUGGCGUCAUGGCCACAAGCAUAGCAAGCAUCAUCAAAAAGGGAUAUUUCAAACGAAUCAAUGGGAUCAUAGCAAUUAUCAUGGCAAUCAUCCUUCGGUAAGCACGAGGGGAAAUUAAAUAAUGUAUGAGUUGAAGAGUUACUCUCAUUAGAAGGUGGGCACAGGUAGCUAAUCCAAUAUUCCUCCUUUUGUUCUUCGCUCUCCUCAUCAUCUUCUUCAUCCAAUGAGCUCACAGUUUCAUCAAUUUCUUCUUCCAUAGACUCCUGCAAAAAAUUAGUCUCUUCUUGGACAGCGGAGACUUUCUCAAUAAAAGCAUCAAUACCGGAAUUGUAUUUAUAAUUAUCAUAGCAAUAUUUAAGGAUGGAAUUUUUUUUAGGUCUAUAAACAUCAUCAUCAAAAGCUUCUUAUUUUUCAAACAAAGAUUCAAUUUCAUAAGCACCCUCAAAAGCAACAAAUUCUUCUAUUCGUUCCACAUCAUAAUAAUCACAUAUACCAUUAGCGUAAGAAGCCAAGGUUUCAUUAUCAUUAAAUUCACAUGAAAAGGGAAGAUGUGGAGCAUUCAGACUAGAGUAACAAGUAAAAUCAUAUCUCUGACAUAAAUUCCAAGCAUACCGAUGCAACAUAUGAAUUUGAUCCCAUAAAAGUUUCCCUUUUUGUGUCAACCGAUAAUCCCUAAAGUAUUCACGUUGAUCCAACGUUACUCUCAUUAUCAAGUUGAAUGGGGUUUUCUCAGGAUUAUCAAAAUAGUGCAAAAUGUUUUUCACAUAACUAGCAUCGGGGUUUUUAGGAGGUUCCCCAUCUCCAUGAGUAGGAAGUACCACUAAUGUUUUUGGUGUUUCGAAUUCCACAUCCAUAACUAAAGAUAGCGAAAAACUUAGAACUGGAAAUAAAAACUACUUAGUGAUAAAGCAAACAAGCACACACGAGAAUAUUCACCCCACGCUAUUGCUCCCCGGCAACGGCACCAGAAAAAGGUCUUGAUAACCCACAAGUAUAGGGGAUCAAUUGUAGCCUCUUUAGAUAAGUAAGAGUGUCGAACCCAACGAGGAGCUAAAGGUAGAACAAAUGUUCCCUCAAGUUCUAUCGACCACCGAUACAACUCUAUGCACGCUUGACGUUCGCUUUACUUAGAACAAGUAUGAAACUAGAAGUACUUUGUAGGUGUGAUAUGAUAGGUUUGCAAGAUAAUAAAGAGCACGUAAAUAAAAUCUAGGGGCUGUUUAGAUAAAGACAUGACUAAGUUAGUUUUAGUAGAGAGCUUUUGUCAACAAGAAAGUUAUUUGUCCCUAGGCAAUCGAUAACAAGUAACGAUAAUCAUUCUUGUAAUUUUAUAUGAGGGAGAGGCAUGAGCUAACAUACAUUCUCUACUUGGAUCAUAUGCACUUAUGAUUGGAACUCUAGCAAGCAUCCGCAACUACUAAAGAUCAUUAAGGUCGUGAAACCCAACCAUAGCAGUAAGUAUCAAGUCCUCUUUACUCCCAUAUGUCAUACCCCAGUUACUCGGGUUUAAGUUUCUGUCACUCUCGCAACCCACCAUAAGAGAACCAUGAACAUAUUGCAACACCCUACAGCGAGGGCCCCUCGCGUUUCCGUGAGAACGGAGGGCACCGUAGGACGGCACCAUAAAUAAAAUAUACAAUCAUACCAACCAAGAUCACGGGUAACCCAGAGGACAAAACGAUCUACUCAAACAUCAUAGGAUAACCAUAGAUCAUUGGGAAAUAAUAUAUGGAGUUAAGCACCAUGUUUAAGUAGAGAUUAUAGUGGGGGGAAGAGGUGUUACACUGCUGCAUAGAGGGGGAGAAAGUUGGUGUUGAUGGUAGCAAGAUUGUUGAUGUAGAUCGCCUUCACGAUCCUUGCCCCGGCGGCACUCCGGCGCCACCGGAAGCGAGGGAGAGAGAGACCCCCUCCUUCUUCUUCUUCCUUGGCCUCCCCCUAGAUGGGAGGAGAGUUCCCCCUCUGGUCAUUGGUCUCCAUGGCGCCGGAGGGGCGGGAGCCCCUCCGAGAUUGGAUCUCCCUCUCUGUCCUCUUCUGUUUCGCAUUUCCCAUAUCUGGCCAAAUACCGUUUCUUAUAUUCCCGGAGAUCCGUAACUUCGAUUGCGCUGAGAUUUUUACAUGAUUUUUUUCCGGAUAUAAGCUUCCUUGCGCCCGAAGUAGAGCUCCAACCGACGUUCGAGGAGGGCACAACCCACCACCGCGCGCCAGAGGACUCUAGCGCGCCUUGGUGUGUUGUGGGCUAUGUGGGCCUCCGUUUGCGGUGAUUCCAACUCCGAAAAAUCACAUAUAUUCCAAAAUAAUUCUCCGUGAAAUUUUAUUGCAUUUGGACUUCGUUUGAUAUGGAUACUUCGCGAUACAAAAAACAUGCAGAAAACAAGAACUGGCACUGGGCACUGGAUCAAUAGGUUAGUCCAAUAAAUCAUAUAAAAAGUUGCCAAAAAUAUGUGAAAGUGAUAUAAUAUUGGCAUGAAACAAUAAAAAAUUAUAGAUACGACGAAGUAUUGCACAUCUAAGUCAUAUCUCACUGAUUUUAUACUAAGAUUCGUGCAAUCAUUUCUUUUAUCUUUAUCUUUUUAAUCUGAUUGAGUCACUUAGAUGUGCAAUAAUUAGGGCACAUCUAGAUAUGCCCUAGACACACCCCGGAACCACAUAUCAAAUUUAUGGUUUAGACAUAAGAAUGUACUAGCCAUGCCACGCAUGGCGGCACACCGCCUUCAGCUGAAACAUUAUGUGAGAAAUCAUGUUUGCGGUGAUGUUAAAGUAAAGAUCGAUUUUGCAAGCUGACCUUUUUUUUGUUUUUGCGAGGGGAUUUUGUAAACUGAUCUAAUGGCCCAUCUUUGUCUUCUUCCUUUGCUCACUUUUGUUUAUCAUUUUUUCUUCUAUCUCCCUCGCUUCUUUUUACCUCUCGCCUUUAAAGUUUAAACUAUCAUCUCCUAUACCAUCCUCGCCUUCGUUGCUGUCACCACCGCGACAGAUCCUAUUUGGCCACUGCCUGCACUGGAUCAAGCGUUCGUCCUAAGCUCCAUUGGCUCCGAUAAACCGCUUAACCCCGGCGCCUAAUCACACCAACCUUGAUCCUAAUCGAUCCAGUGUGGUUUCUUUCCCAUGCCAACCUUCGAUUGGCCGUCGCUACGUUCACCACCGACCAGGAGGUUGAACUUGAUUGCACUCUAAAAAGUAGGCUACCAUGUUUUAACAAAUGUGAAAGAGGUGGGGUAAUGUAUAAACAUGAAAAGCAACACCAUGCUUCAGAUCUAUUCAUCAAACAUAAUGUUAUUACAAAAAAACAUAAAAAGUAAUAGAAAUUGCACCAAAGUCCAGAGAGCAUCUAGCGAGGAUUAGAGUCAUUUUGGAGCAAGACGAAGGCGCACCGCCAUCAUCGCCCCCACCCCCCACCAGAGCCGGACAAACCUUGUUGUAGUAGAAUUAUUUAUUCAAAAUAAAAGAAAGGACAUGUGGCUCUCUCUCUCUCUCGCAUGGUUCAAAUAAAAAAUAAUUGUUUGCUCAAGGCAAGAUAUAGCCUACCAAAACGUUAUAUAUUUAUAGGAAGGGGAGGGAGUAGUAUAGGGCGUGUUUGGUUUCAGUUUGCAACAGUUCCUGCAUAGCAUGUCCAUCUCCAGCCAGCCAGGUUCUUGAAAUGCAGCCUCACAUGCAGCAGAUGCAACCUGUUUGGUUGCCUGUAUCGCAUGAAGGGGCACUUACCCCCCUGCUGUUUGGUUGCCGUUUUUGUGCUUAGGGUGUGAGCAGAUGCAAAUUUCAGCUGUUUGUUGCAAACAACGUUUGUGUUCUGCUCACCCCAUUCAAAUGUGGUGGCCUUACCACCACAUGAUCAGCACAACAACAAGCACAUAUGAGAUCAAACAAAGCAAGCAACCAAAUGAAAUCAAACAAAGCAAGCAAGGAAAUGACAGCAAACUACUUAAGAUUAACAGCAGGGGCAUCCUCCUUCCCUGCUCCACGCCAGGGUGCUGCUCCCGGCCAAAAUAUGAACAAGUUCCCAGCACAAGUACCAUAAGUCUACCCACACACCAUAAAAGUUCAACACUAACACCUUACUUAACUUAACUACAUAGCAUGCUCAAUAUCACCAACGCAGUUGUGCUUGCUACGAUGAAACCUGCACAUGACCGAGGAGUGGUCGUUGUAGAUUUGAACCUUCAGUCCGAGUCCUGAGAUGCGCACAACGACGAGGUCGCUGGGGACUAUCUGGUGGCGGCGGCAGAAGUAGUUCCAGCCCCGGCCAAGCACCAUGUGCCCCUCGAAGUUCUGGACCUGCACCCAGAACAUGCACCGCUUGUUCGCCGACAGCCUGACCACGCAUGGAAGACGCUUGAUGACCAGCCAGGUGUUCAUCACCUCCACGAAUUUGCGAGGGCGACGAGCAUGGCGAGGUCCUCGUUGUCCUUGAUCUGCUGGUAGAAGCGCAUCGGCUCCCGGGCUCCUCCUCAUGGCCCUGCCUUGGAGAGCGUCCCCUUGAACGAGGCAGGCUCAUGAAGGCGAUCCUGCCAGGCAGGUCCAUCGUCCUGAGCCACCUGUUCGUGGGGAUGAAAUCCUCGGUGCCCUCAGCUCCGACCACCACCUGAGCUCCUCCACCAGCCACAUCCCAGUCACUCUUAAAUAUCUUGUCAGGCAAGAUGACAAGUAUUAGUGCACAAACUCUUUGCCAAAUGCCACUUAUCAAAUGCCACCGAUUAGUUGCACUAGCACUAUAACAAAUGGCACUGAUCAGAAACAUUUGCCCAAGAGCAAAUGCCACUGAUCAGUGCACAAACUCUUUGCCAAAUGCCACUUAUCAAUGGCCCUUGCUCUUGGGAAAAUUCCACUGAUCGGUGUCACUGAUCAGGAGACUUGCCCAACAGCAAGUGCCACUGAUCAGGAGACUUGCCCAACAGCAAGUGCCACUGAUCAGUGGCACUUGCCCAUGAGCAAAUGGCACUGAUCAGUGCACUAUCCUAAGCAUGGAAACAUCUAAAAAGAGCACUCAUCAGUGCACUAUCCUAAGCAUGGAAACAUAUAUCUGUCUGUCUUAUUAGUGAAGCCUCAUCCGCCCGGGCGGGUCACCCGGUCACGAUUUUUUGACCCAGACGGGCCUCUCAAACGGCCCUCAUACGCCCGGGCUGACCGGCACCCCCCAUAUCCAGCCCAAACAUGGGGCGGAUAUGGGGGCGCCCGAGCGCGCCCGCCACAUCGGACUAGGGUCCCAACUGGAAACGCCCUCAAACCCGGCGGUCCGAAGCUCAUCUCCUCCGUCGGACCGGUGGCGCCACGUGGCGCCGCUUCGGUGGGCCGCGUAAUGCAUUGCCCGGCUAUUUAAGUCGUCCAGCGACACCGAAACCCUACCAUCGAUCGACAUUUCCCCCCUCCUAUCCGUUGCCGCUGCCACUUUCCACCCCACCUGUCUGCCUUGUAGCCACGCCCCCACGCCGCCAGGUAUGGAGCGAUCCCUUUCUGACGCUGGAGCGCUGGCUUGAGCUUUGAGCACAACCGGGCUAGGCGCAAAGCCUGGAAUCGCCGCGGGACUACCUGUGGAUGCAGUUGAUCCGGAGGAGGAGUUGGAGGAGGAGGACGAGGAGGAAGACGUGGGGGACGCUGGCGACGGGGAUCUGUAGGCGGAGCAGCGGGCCAUCCUCAAUUCCCUCCGGUCGGAGUCGGUUGCGGAGGCAAGACGCCGCGGAGGAGGCGGAGAUGUUCGCCUGCAUGGAUGAUUGUGAAUAGNNNNNNNNNNNNNNNNNNNNNNNNNNNNNNNNNNNNNNNNNNNNNNNNNNNNNNNNNNNNNNNNNNNNNNNNNNNNNNNNNNNNNNNNNNNNNNNNNNNNNNNNNNNNNNNNNNNNNNNNNNNNNNNNNNNNNNNNNNNNNNNNNNNNNNNNNNNNNNNNNNNNNNNNNNNNNNNNNNNNNNNNNNNNNNNNNNNNNNNNNNNNNNNNNNNNNNNNNNNNNNNNNNNNNNNNNNNNNNNNNNNNNNNNNNNNNNNNNNNNNNNNNNNNNNNNNNNNNNNNNNNNNNNNNNNNNNNNNNNNNNNNNNNNNNNNNNNNNNNNNNNNNACAAUGGGGAAGACGACGCCUCCCGCUGUGGUCGGAAGGGCCCGAAAACUCCCGCCGCUCUGGCCAAAAUAUUGGCCGAACUAUAUAAAGGGGAGCAGGAGGAGUUCACCCAUCUCCAAAAUCGAGACGGGUUUUCCAUGUAAAAUUCUCCUAGCUGGGUAAGCUCUAACUCCACUAUUCGACUCCUCUCCUUGAAUUAAUUUUGAAGGGCGGUAUCUUAUUCAUUCAUGACAGGAAUGGCGAAAGGCUGUCGAGGGGAUCCAUGACCCUGCCCCUCAGUCGGAGAAUCACAAUCGGGAUCUUGACCCCGGAUAUGAGGAAGAUCCGGACAUAUUCGUGGAGCUCAAAGAUGGAGUUUUCUAUCAGACGAGCUAUGACGACACAGAUGUACCCAUCAUCGCCGAUUACCCCAGCCUCCUUCAUGUUUCGCACGUAAGUAAUCAGGAGACACUUUGUCUGAGAGGGUUUUCUCAUUCUUCCUCACUCACUGCACCAUCCUGUGCUCAGAAGGGGAGGCGUUUGGCACGUCGUGCUGCCCCGGGGGCAUCUCCAGAGAGAGCGGCUCCCGCGUCGGGCAGGCCUUCAAAGAGGAAGGCAAACAGAGAUACGGUCGGGCCUUCCUUGAAGAGGUAUGGGUUUGCAACUAUGCUCUUUUUAGCAGUCGUGUCCAAAUGUGAUUUAUAUGUUCAUUUUGUAUUAGGGAAAAGGUUCGACGGGCUGUGUCCGGGGACCCGACCAGUCGUAUUCCUGAUCACCAAGAUUCGGUCCCAGCCGAAAAGACGAGGCCUGAUAUGGGAGUGGCGCCGGACUGUCCUUCUGCCGAGGGUUCGGAAAAUAUGUCCGUCACCAAUUCAGAAGUGGAGAGCGCCAUGAAUCCCUGGCGCUGGAGGGCCGUUUUACGAAAUCCCCGCUUCUCAAAAGAGGCGUUUGGUGCCUUCAGCUCGGCUGAUGCAUACAUACGAGCUGCUUGAGAUGGGCUUAACAGAGCCACCGAGCAACAUUUGAAAGAUGUGCAGGUAAGUUUACCUCACUACUACAAAAACAGCUAUAGCCAAUAUGGACACUAAUGGCGCAGUAUGCAUGUGGUGCGCCAUUACUAAAUAGUAAUGGCGCACCAUGUGUUGGUGCGCCAUUAGUGUGCAAAUACUAAUGGCGCACCACAUCCACGGUGCGCCAUUAGUAAAAAAAACUUUUUAUUUAUUUUUUCAAAACUAGUAAUGGCGCACCAGGGGAUAAUGAGCCAUUACUAGUUAAACUAGUAAUGGCGCACCACUCCAACGGUGCGCCAUUAGUAAAUAUGUUUCAAUUUUUUUUCAAAUUUUUAUUUUAUUUUAUUUUUUAAACUACUAAUGGCGCACCGUGGGAGUGGUGCGCCAUUACUAGUUGAACUAGUAAUGGCGCACCACUCCCACGGUGCGCCAUUAGUAGUUUGGCCCAAACUUUCCCCCGAAUGCACACCCCCUGGACCGCCUUUUCAGUUUAAAAAAUGAAAGAAAAUGAUAGAAAUGUCAAAAAAUAAAAGAAAGUAAGAUUUCCAUGUGAUAUGUGGUCUAGUUGUUAGCAAAAUUUACAAACAUGAAUUUUCGACUUUUUUGCAAAAUCUCUCGAGAAUUUGUAAAAUGGGCAUAACUUUUGCAUACGAACUCGGAUGAAGAAGUUUUUUAUAUGAAAAAUCAUCUACUCGAAAAGUUACAUCCGAAUUUAAUCGGGGAACCCCGUUAAACAUUUGCAAAAUCCUCAAAAACCUAACAGAAAAAAAGAUACGGGGCUUUUAAGAUCUGGAGAGGCAAAAAAAUUAAAAAAAACAAAUUCAAACUUACUAAUGGCGCACCUGCCCAUGGUGCGCCAUUACUAUCUUCCCGCCUUCAAAAUUCAAAAAAAAAAAAAAUUUAAAAAAAAGUUAGUAAUGGCGCACCUGCCCAUGGUGCGCCAUUACUAUGCCGUAUAUAUGGCUGGGCGUGGUCCUCUCCUCCUUGCCUCUUCAUUCUUCUCCUCCACUCCACCUCUCCUCCACUCCAUCUCCUCCUCUCCUCCACUCCAUCUCCCCGUCUCUCCUCCACCAUACUACCCNNNNNNNNNNNNNNNNNNNNNNNNNNNNNNNNNNNNNNNNNNNNNNNNNNNNNNNNNNNNNNNNNNNNNNNNNNNNNNNNNNNNNNNNNNNNNNNNNNNNNNNNNNNNNNNNNNNNNNNNNNNNNNNNNNNNNNNNNNNNNNNNNNNNNNNNNNNNNNNNNNNNNNNNNNNNNNNNNNNNNNNNNNNNNNNNNNNNNNNNNNNNNNNNNNNNNNNNNNNNNNNNNNNNNNNNNNNNNNNNNNNNNNNNNNNNNNNNNNNNNNNNNNNNNNNNNNNNNNNNNNNNNNNNNNNNNNNNNNNNNNNNNNNNNNNNNNNNNNNNNNNNNNNNNNNNNNNNNNNNNNNNNNNNNNNNNNNNNNNNNNNNNNNNNNNNNNNNNNNNNNNNNNNNNNNNNNNNNNNNNNNNNNNNNNNNNNNNNNNNNNNNNNNNNNNNNNNNNNNNNNNNNNNNNNNNNNNNNNNNNNNNNNNNNNNNNNNNNNNNNNNNNNNNNNNNNNNNNNNNNNNNNCCUCCUCCCUCCUCUCCUCCCCUCCCCUCACGGUUUCUCCUUCCUCCUCUCCGGUGCUCCGGUGAACUCCUCUCCGGCGACCUCCUCCUCCUCUCCGGCGAUGUAGGCGAGCGCCUCUCCGGUGACCUCCUCCUCCUCCUCUCCGGUGACCUCGGCCCUCCUCUCCGGUGAACUCCUCUCCGGCAAAAGAACACGGCAAAAGAACGUACAAGAUCCAAAAACGAGAACAAAAUUUGAAAAAAAUUCAUAAAAAAAAAGAAAAAAAACGAGCAAAAAAUGGGCAAAAAAAUCGCGAUCCAGAUCCAAAUUCAAAAUUCAAAAAUAGCAAUGGCGCACGGUGGGGUUAGACGGUGCGCCACUACUAUUUUCCCGCCUUCAAAAUUCAAAAAUACUAAUGGCGCACCGCGGCCUAUACUAAUGGUGCACCAGUGGCCUAUACUAAUGGCGCACCGUGGCCUAUACUAAUGGCGCACCAGUGGUGCGCCAUUAGUAUUUAAUUCUAGUGGCGUGGUACUAGUUGCGCACCAGUAGUGCGCCAUUAGUAGGCAAAACUGGUGCGCCACUAGUAGGCCUUUUCCUAGUAGUGCCUUGUCCGAAUUUGAUAACCAUGUGCCCGUAGCCCCCGAGACUUGAAGUAGUUGGGACAAAUGUUUUAAGGAUCGUUGUAUAACUAGGUUCUUAUGGAGAAGAAUGACCUGCUAGCCCAAGAGCUGGAGCAGUGCCGGACAAAGCUAACUGCUGCUACCGCCGAACUGGAAAAGUUCAAGAAGGCGUCCUCUGGUAAUAUUUCCCUCCACCGAGAAACAAAAAAAAUAUACACCAGCUGUAUUCCACCUUCUGAUUGUCUCAUAACAGGGUCAUCGGACCAACUGGGACAGGAACUGAAGGCCGGUCAAACGAGCGAAAAAGAGGCGAAGAGACAACAUGCCGCAGGCGAGCGCGUUCUGACCCAAGUCAGAGAGGAGAAAAAUAAACUCCAGGAUUCGUACACCAAACUGCGCGAAGAACUGAAAGUUGUGCGAGCCCAGCUAGCCAAAAAGCUGCGAGGUGGCAUAUUCAGUAUGUGGCCGAAUUUAUCUUAUAACAGUUUGGGGGUACAAUUAGCUGAUAUAGCUGUGAUUGCAGGUAUGUUGACGGGCCGUCCCGAAGAGGAGGUGUCCGGAUCAUCAAGUGUUCUUCUGCAAGGGCUGUCGCAGUUACACGAGCAAGCUCGACAGGCAAUGCGGAGUGUAGCCACGGCCUUAUGGCCAUCCGCCUCCCCUCCAGGGAGUAUGGAGAAGCUUGUAGAGCUGUUCAAGGGAGCAUGGCAGCGUAUCCGAUUAUGGAAGAUAUCUGCCUGCCGAGAGGGUGCGCGAGAGGCCUGGGCCAUGGUAAAAACGUGGUAUACCAAGCUGGAUCCGAAUCACAUGGCCCGGGUCGGACCGCUAGGGUCAAAUGGGGAAGAAAUUCCCGUUAGUUUAGUAUCUAAACAAUGACCCAUCUUUGUUUUUGCGAGGGGAUUUUGUAAACUGGUCUAAUGGCCCAUCUUUGUCUUCUUUCUUUGCUCACUUUUGUUUAUCAUUUUUUUUCUAUCUCCCUCGCUUCUUUUUACCUCUCUCCUUUAAAUUUUAAACUAUCAUCUCCUAUACCAUCCUCGCCUUCGUUGAUGUAACCACCUCGACACAUCCUAUUCGGCCACUGCCUGCACUGGAUCAAGCGUUCGUCCUAAGCUCCCUUGGCUCCGAUAAACCGCUUAACCCCGACGCCUAAUCACACCAACCUUGAUCCUAAUCGAUCCAGUGUGGUUUCUUUCCCAUGCCAACCUUUGAUUGGCCAUCGCUACGUGUCAUCAAGGGCUCCACCUUAGCUAUGUUCACCACCAACCAGGAGGUUGAACUUGAUUGCACUCUAAAAAGUAGGCUACCAUGUUUUAACAAAUGUGAAAGAGGUGGGGUAAUGUAUAAACAUGAAAAGCAACACCAUGCUUCAGAUCUAUUCAUCAAACAUAAUGUUAUUACAAACAAAAACAUAAAAAGUAAUAGAAAUUGCACCAAUGUACAGAGAGCAUCUAGCGAGGAUUAGAGUCAUUUUGGAGCAAGACGAAGGCGCACCGCCAUCAUCGCCCCCACCCCCCACUAGAGCCGGACAAACCUUGUUGUAGUAGAAUUAUUUAUUCAAAAUAAAAGAAAGGACAUGUGGCUCUCUCUCUCUCUCGCAUGGUUCAAAUAAAAAAUAAUUGUUUGCUCAAGGCAAGAUAUAGCCUACCAAAACGUUAUAUAUUUAUAGGAAGGGGAGGGAGUAGUAUAGGGCGUGUUUGGUUUCAGUUUGCAACAGUUCCUGCAUAGCAUGUCCAUCUCCAGCCAGCCAGGUUCUUGAAAUGCAGCCUCACAUGCAGCAGAUGCAACCUGUUUGGUUGCCUGUAUCGCAUGAAGGGGCACUUACCCCCCUGCUGUUUGGUUGCCGUUUUUGUGCUUAGGGUGUGAGCAGAUGCAAAUUUCAGCUGUUUGUUGCAAACAACGUUUGUGUUCUGCUCACCCCAUUCAAAUGUGGUGGCCUUACCACCACAUGAUCAGCACAACAACAAGCACAUAUGAGAUCAAACAAAGCAAGCAACCAAAUGAAAUCAAACAAAGCAAGCAAGGAAAUGACAGCAAACUACUUAAGAUUAACAGCAGGGGCAUCCUCCUUCCCUGCUCCACGCCAGGGUGCUGCUCCCGGCCAAAAUAUGAACAAGUUCCCAGCACAAGUACCAUAAGUCUACCCACACACCAUAAAAGUUCAACACUAACACCUUACUUAACUUAACUACAUAGCAUGCUCAAUAUCACCAACGCAGUUGUGCUUGCUACAAUGAAACCUGCACAUGACCGAGGAGUGGUCGUUGUAGAUUUGAACCUUCAGUCCGAGUCCUGAGAUGCGCACAACGACGAGGUCGCUGGGGACUAUCCGGUGGCGGCGGCAGAAGUAGUUCCAGCCCCGGCCAAGCACCAUGUGCCCCUCGAAGUUCUGGACCUGCACCCAGAACACGCACCGCUUGUUCGCCGACAGCCUGACCACGCAUGGAAGACGCUUGAUGACUAGCCAGGUGUUCAUCACCUCCACGAAUUUGCGAGGGCGACGAGCAUGGCGAGGUCCUCGUUGUCCUUGAUCUGCUGGUAGAAGCGCAUCGGCUCCCGGGCUCCUCCUCAUGGCCCUGCCUUGGAGAGCGUCCCCUUGAACGAGGCAGGCUCAUGAAGGCGAUCCUGCCAGGCAGGUCCAUCGUCCUGAGCCACCUGUUCGUGGGGAUGAAAUCCUCGGCGCCCUCAGCUCCAGCCACCACCUGAGCUCCUCCACCAGCCACAUCCCAGUCACUCUUAAAUAUCUUGUCAGGUAAGAUGACAAGUAUUAGUGCACAAACUCUUUGCCAAAUGCCACUUAUCAAAUGCCACUGAUUAGUUGCACUAGCACUACAGCAAAUGGCACUGAUCAGAAACAUUUGCCAAGAGCAAAUGCCACUGAUCAGUGCACAAACUCUUUGCCAAAUGCCACUUAUCAAUGGCACUUGCUCUUGGGAAAAUUCCACUGAUCAGUGUCACUGAUCAGGAGACUUGCCCAACAGCAAGUGCCACUGAUCAGGAGACUUGCCCAACAACAAGUACCACUGAUCAGUGGCACUUGCACAUGAGCAAAUGGCACUGAUCAGUGCACUAUUCUAAGCAUGGAAACAUCUAAAAAGAGCACUCAUCAGUGCACUAUCCUAAGCAUGGAAACAUCUAUCUGUCUGUCUUAUUAGUGAAGCCUCAUACACCCAGGCGGGUCACCCGGUCAUGAUCUUUUGACCCAGACGGGCCUCUCAAACGACCCUCAUACGCCCCGGCUAACCGGCACCCCCCAUAUCCAGCCCAAACAUGGGGCGGAUAUGGGGGCGCCCGGGCGCGCCCGCCACAUCGGACUGGGGUCCCAACUGGAAACGCCGUCAAACCCCGGCGGUCCGAAGCCCAUCUCCUCCGUCGGACCGGUGGCGCCGCGUGGCGCCGCUUCGGUGGGCCGCGUAAUGCAUUGCCCGGAUAUUUAAGUCAUUCAGCGACACCGAAACCCUACCAUCGAUCCACAUUCCCCCCUCCUAUCCGUUGCCGCUGCCACUUUCCACUCCACCUAUCCGCCUAGUAGCCACACCCCCACGCCGCCAGGUAAGGAGCGAUCCCUUUCUGACGCCGGAGCGCCGGCUCGAGCUCCUUGAGCAGAACCGGGCUAGGCGCGAAGCCUGGAAUCGCCGCGGGGCUACCUCUGGAUGCAGUUGAUCCGGAGGAGGAGUUGGAGGAGGAGGACGUGGGGGACGCUGGCGACGGGGAUCUGUAGGCGGAGCAGCGGGCCAUUCUCAAUUCCCUCCGGUCGGAGUCGGUUGCGGAGGCAAGACGCCGCGGAGGAGGCGGAGAUGUUCGCCUACAUGGAUGAGGUCGAGCAGGAGGAGGAUGAGCCGGAGCCCUCCUACCCGCCCGUCCAGCCGGCGCCCCGCACCGUCGUCGUGGACAUCUCCGACGACGAAGAGUAGGUCGGGUAGUACGUCGAUGUAGUACGUAGGAUUUCUUUUGCAUGCUUUGUAUGAAUUUAGGGGAUGAAAUAUGAGUGAGACGGAUGCAAAGUCGCUAAUUUGAGGCAUGCCCGGUCAGUGCCCGCGGACGCACCCGGUCGCGUCCACGGGCGUUUGAGGGGCCGGAUUUACCAAGUCCGGCUGUAGAUACUUUAACAUAACUAAUAAAAACACCUAAAAAGUAGCCCUCCCGCCGGCUAGAAUUAUUGGGGUGCAGUACCGAUUAACCUUAUCCACUAGAUUACGAUGAAUUGACCUUGUGUAUGCAACUUGGUGGACAGUUCUUGGUCACUGAGAAAUAGCUAGCAGUUCCAACAAAUUACAAGAACGGUUCUUUUUGCCAUCAAUAGGCAGGCACGCACACGGUCGAAAUGAGAUUUAUUUAUUUCAGCAACCAUGCAUGCACGCAUCCAUACUACUAGUACAUGGCAUGUACACUAAUAAUGUAGACUAUUAUCCGCACACGAAGCUGCUCCUGCGUGGCUGCAGAG